Molecule: long non-coding RNA, 147483 nt
Filed under: Citrus maxima (pomelo)
Lineage: Eukaryota; Viridiplantae; Streptophyta; Magnoliopsida; Sapindales; Rutaceae
Description: long non-coding RNA (CMAX_LNC000737)
Rfam family: Small nucleolar RNA Z247 (bases 37480-37618)
Source: RNAcentral
AUUAACUGAUGCUUUGACUUAUUAGCAGGUUGCAAUGAAUUAUUAACUGAUGCUUUGACUUAUUAGUUCUGCAGCUAAGUUAAAUAAAAUAAGGUAUUUUCAAAAGCAAAAUGGAAUACAUAGACAAAACAUCAUCUUAAACAAAUCACAAUCUAGAAUUAGAGUGUUGAUUUGAGAUUCUAGAUUGUGAUUUGAUCGGCUCAUUUGUUAAGAAGUGUUGAUUUGAUCGGCUCUGCAAAUUCUCUUGGGACUCGGUUCCAAUUCCUCUUCAUCAAAACUGUAAUAUAAUUCCCCUUCAUCAGAACUCGAAUCAAAUUCACUUGCAGCAGUUCCACUCGCGCUUGGCAAAUCAUCUAAUUUCCAAACUUCGGUAGCAAAAUUGAGAGUAAAAGUGUUGGCUUUGAUCUCGCUGGGAUUUGCAUAUACUGGACAUACUCCGCAACGUUUUAUCUUCUGACCCUUUUGGACCUUUAGGUUUCGGCAACACUCAUUGAAGAACUUAAGUGAGACAGUUGUAUGAUGGUAACCAUCAGGAAAGCCAACAUUCAAGCAAGGUUUAAAACCAAGUAUGACAUGAUCUGAAUCAAUGAGGUCUUCAAUUGAGUGCGAAUCGAAACUCAGAUGAACAUGUUUGGUUUCAGAGAGAGUCUUUAUUUCUAAGUCGGAUCGACAGCCGACGUAAACAUUACGAAAACGAUCAGAAUAAAGUUGCUUAAAAUCAAGAACAGCACAAAAAGCAAACCCGAUUAAGUUUCUGCAAAAAGAGUGCGGUGGCAGUUGAAUACGUAUUGAAGAUCCUGAACUUUGAUUGCUGAACCAGUCAGGAAUUUUGCUCCCAGGUAAAACAAUUUGGGAUCGCCUGAGUUCAGAAAGUUUCUGUGAAACGACAUUUAAAAAAAGAAAAUUGUCAAAUGAAAACCAUGAUUUCAGAUAUAACAAAGAGGGACAGAGUAAACAAGAGAGGGAAUUUGAUACCUCGUCGAUUGUCUUUCCCCGUCUCAGUGAUGCUGCAAUUGCCAUACGUAGUGAAUCUGCCAAAAUCUUGUUGUUUGCUUUUCCAUCAAGUUUCAAGCAGUUAGUAAACCGAAAAUAAAUUGGUUGUGACAGUCGAUAUUCCGGAUGCCAUUCACAAAGGUCAGGAGAGGGUUUGGAUAGCUUUUCGAGUACGGAUGCAUCUAGUUCUUGUAGACAUGACGGAAUCUCUGGCAAAGAUUGAAGCCGGUUGCAGUUCGUUGCAUUUAGUGAAUGUAGACACAAUGGAAGUUCUGGUAAUGACCGAAGCAUGUUACAACCCGUCAAGUCAAGAGAUUCUAGACACAAUGGAAGUUCUGGUAAUGACUGAAGCAUCUUACAACCCUCCAAGUGAAGAGACCUCAGCUGCGACAGUUGCUUGAUACUUGCAGGUAAGCUCUCAAAGCUAUUUCCACUUAGAUUUAAUGUUGUCAGUGAGGAUAGACAGGCAAUCUCUUGUGGAAUUUCCAUUACAGCACAGUUCCUCAUAUCUAGAUGUCCCAAAUAAGCUAAACCUAAUAAAAACGAUCGAGGCAAUGAUACCAAACCUUUGCAGCGAGAGAAGUAAAGAACUCCAAGUCUGUUUGAAUAUGCAACAGAGGAUGAUGGUAGUUGACUAAUAGCUGAUCCAACUGCUGAGAUGAUAAACAAACAUUUUAAAUUGCCAAUGUUAUCCGGCAACUUAUCAAGCUUAGAGCAAUCUUCUACGAACAAUUCUUCAAGCCCCGGUAGAUUUUCAAAUGACGAUGGCAGCUCUGUAAUUGCCGUCUUGUUUAAAUUGAUGCGUUCUAAAUGUUCCAUUUUCUCCAAGAUUUCUGGGAAGCGCUCAAGGUUCACGCAGCCAUUAAGAAAAAGAUCAACCAAAGAUCUCAAUUUACAAAACCUAGUUGAAAUCCUCUUCAGCCGUUUGCAAUACUUCAAAUUCAACUUUUUAAGAUCAGUUAGGCACUCUAUUGAUGACGGAACUUCUUCUAUUGCAGACUUGCUCAAGUUUAGCGAUGUUACUUUCCCAGAAAUCAGUGGAAACUCUAUGAGAUUAACACAAUAGGAGAAAUUAAUAGUUACUGGACAAACAAAAUGAAGAUUGCUUGGAAAAGACCUAAGACUUUUGCAGCCCUCAAAAGACAACGCACUGAGAUACUUGAAAUUCUGGAUAGAUGAGGGAACACAAGCCAAGUUUGUAUAAUCCAAAAGAUAUGUUUCAACAUUUGGGGUUUCAAAUGGGCCUGGCAUCUUAAUGAAAUGUUGAGAAUGGCUGAGGUUAAUAGAUUUUAACUUGAAAGCUUCCUGCAAUAACAGAUAUAUAAAGACUAUAUUAAUUAAAAAGCAACAUUGAAUUCAACAAUUAAUUGCACGUAUAUUUAAAGAAAGAAAAAAUUAAUGUUUUAGUUUUAGUACAAAACUUACCUUUUCUCCUUCCCAAAGUUGCUCAACUUUACUACAACUCAAAUUCAGUGCAACAAGGUUCUUUGGCUUGAAAUUUGAUGGCAGUGUCCUUAAUGGAUAUGUGUCCCAAUGAAGAUAUCUCAAUUUUUUAGGAAGAUAAUCUAGGCCAUUUGGAAGCUGCACUUUAGAGUAUGAAAGAUGCUCUUCAAUGCUCAUACUUGGAAGCUUUUCAAUCCCAUAAAAUUUGAGCAAUCUCAUAUUAGACAUAUUUGUGAAGGCUCCGGGGUCUAAAUUGAUGCGUUUUAUUUUGGACAAAUCCAGAAAUAUGCCUUCAAUUGCAUCGGUCCCCUUAUUAAAAAAAAAAAAAAGAAUGAGUAAGCCUAAAACUCAAAAGAAACAUUCGUAAACUUUAUUAAUUAAGAGCUCCUUAAACAAAAAUAAAUUACGCAAUCUUUGAUUUUAUUUUUUUAAUAUAUUAAAUAUCUAUAUGCGAGAAAAGAAAAUUUUGGGGACCAUUGCAAAAUUAAACUAACUGAAAAAAAAUUCAAAAUUUCUCUAAUUUACAAACCUGUUAUCUUAAUAUCUAGAAGUUGAGAAGACAAGGCCUAUUUGAUUGGUAUAAGAUUUCGAUUUUUUUUUUUUUUAGUCCAUAGAAUCCAAAAUGUUAGUUCAAAAUUAGGGAAAAAGUCAUUUUUUUUCCACUAGCUGUAAUUGUAUCCAAGUCAAAUUGAGAUACGACCCUUUUCAAAAGGAUUUAACCAUCUUACAGCCUCCUUAAGGCACAUUUAAGCUAAAAGGAGUGAUUGGAGGCAGAACUAGGUGGGCCAAUCAGUCCAUUUUAUUAGUGACCGUUGCUUAAAAAAAAUUAUACUCUAAACCACACUUACUUUUUUGAAAAAAAAAUGUAAUUAUAUUGAAAUAAAAUCAGGUGGGCCAAUCCUCAUGGCACUCACUUUGUUCUAACACUCUUCACUAAAUUUGAAGAAAAAUAAAAUUAUACUCUUCACACUCGUAUUCAACAUUCCAAAAUUGAUAAAAUCGGGAGUUUUCUUUAAAAAUUUAAAAUUUGAAGACUUGUUCUCUUGACACCCUCAGUCAUUAAUUUUACCUAAUUAUGGUUUUUAUGAUUUUGGUUGUUUUGUUCAUAAAAAUGCUUUUACUAAAGGAUGUUCUGGUAAUAAUAAAAUUUAUAAAAAAAACAUGGGUGUGCUGAUAUAGUUGGAAAAAUAUGAGUGCAUAACUCCAAACAAAUAAAAGAUAUAUAUAUAUAUAUAUAAAUGGAGGAUUCUUACCUUAUUAUGCUUUAGUACGCGGCGGAUUUCCUUAGGAUCCCACAACCUGCUGCGUUUGCCUGGCUCUUUCUCAGAUUCUUGGCGAACAAUCUGUCGCCCCAUUUCUUGCAAUAUAUCAUGCAUCUGCAAGGAAUCACCUGAUAUUGAUAUGAGUGACUUAUCAAUAAGGACAUCCAGUCCAUCAGACUCAGAAUCAUCAAGAAUCCUUGCCAGAAAAUCUUUAUCCCCUCCCUCGAAGAAACACGCAAUAUCUAGAAAUAUGCUCUGCACCCUGGGCGUUAAUUCAUAAAAACUAAUCUUUAAUAUUUCAUAAAUAUUAUGAAUAUCAGAUUCACAAAUCCGAUUUAAGUCGUCCAAUACAUUUUCCCAAUGGCUUUUCCUCUUGAGAUACAGGGAGGAACCCAACACCUUAAGAACUAAUGGAUUGCCUUUGGCAUACUUUACAAACCUCCGUGAGUGCCGAUUGAGAUCUUCAGGACAAUGAUUUUCUUUAAAAGCGAAGUUACAAAAAUGCUCGAAAGCCUCAUCCAAUCUCAAUCCAUUGACCCUAUAUAUUUUCUCCACUCCAAAUUUUUCGAGGACUCGUUUAUCCCUGGUGGUUACAACAAUUCUACUUCCUGGACCAUAUUGAUCAAGCCCUCCAAUCAAACCCUCUAAUUGUUCAUCUUUAUUCACAUCAUCGAGUACAAUCAACACCUUCAUGCGUCGGACCCUCCCUUUAGUAAAUUGUGGAAUAUUGGGACCAGCUACUUCAAGUUUUUCACUUAAUAUUGUCGAAAGCAUUUCCUUUUGUAGGUCUUCUAGGCCACCCUCUGUUUCUGAUUUUCUCCUAACAUUUUUUGCAAAGUAUUUACCAUCAAACUCACCAGAGAAUUGAUCGAAAAUAGCUUCAGCAAGGGUAGUUUUGCCUAUACCACCCGUGCCCCAAAUUCCAACAAUUUGGACAGUAUCCCACAAAUCCAUACACAAAAAUGGUUUAAUCUGCUCAAUUCGUGAAUUUAAUCCAACUAGGCCGUUGGAUGAGUCCGUUGAGACUGUUAUUUUUUCCAACUUCUUCAAAACAUCUUCGACAAUUUUGUUUACAAGUUGCGCAUCAAGCCUAAUAUGAAGGUGCAAAGAUGCAAAAACAUUGAGUCAAAUCGGGCCAAGACAGAAACAGAGAAAAGAUGAAUUAGGAAAGAGAGUUACCUGAAUUUCGUGGAUUCAUGGCCGGCUAGAUGGGAUGUUUCUGUCAGUGCAUCCCUCCACUUCUGAACCAUUUCUGGUUUAUCUUUGAACUGUUUUUUGAGCUCAUCAAAACGGUCUCCAAAUGUUCCGUUUUGAUGCCGCACAUCAGAUGGACUUACUCCAUAGAAGACUGGAAUAAUAAUUUGGCCGUUUGUGUUCUUGCAUUCAAGAAUCUUGACAAGUUCAUUCAGGCACCAUUUUGAAGAAGCGUAGUCCUUUGAGAAAAUGACCACCGAAAUUUUUGAACCUUGGAUUGCGUACAAAAGGGCGGGUGAAAUCUCAUCUCCUCGCCUAAGCCCUUCAUCAUCAAUAAAUGUUUUGAUUUUCUUUCCUUCAUACAAUUUAUCAUAGAGAUAGCAAGUAAAGCUCUUACGAGUGUCCUCCCCUCUAAAGUUGAGGAAGACUUCAUAAUUGCCACAAGAAGAAGAGGAAGCCAUGAAGGAAAUUUUAGAAAAUUGGUGACAGAAACAGAGAAUUAAUCUUGAGAGUUGAGAGAGGAGAUGUAAGAAUGAACAUGUGUGAAGAUUCUUGCGAGUACAUAGUAAAUAAUUGAAUGGCUGGAGCUUUCUUAGUUUCCUGGAAAUUUCCUGGAGCUUUCGUAUACAUGAUUUGUCAAGUCAUGAAACAUAAUCAUGAUAAUGGGGCAGACCAAAAAGAAAAGCAACAAUUCAAAUAUUUGAUUCAACCAGUAUAAAAAGGAAGGAAAAGCAAAGAAAGGAAAUGUUGAAAGUAGAGUUAGGGAAUUAUAAAAAGCUGAAGGAAAUUGGAAUUUUGUACAAUUUCUCCAGCGAGGAACUUUCACAGUCGUUACCUCAUUGUUACAGUUUAGAUUAAGAUUUGAGGGUGCAAGCAUUUACCUAGAUUUUACCUCCGCACUAAAUUCUUAAGUUUGAAAAAUUAUGAGACCUUUAUAUUGGAAGAUAUUAUAAUCGAAUCAAAACUUAAAAUUUUAAUAUUGUUAAUCUUUAAUCUUUAAAAAAAAUUACCUUGCCGUUACAAUUUGGAUUAAGAUUUGAAUAAGCAUUUACCUAAAUUUUAUCUCCGCCUGUAAAUUCUUAUGUUUUAAAAAUUAUGAGACCUUUAUAUUGGGAGAUAUUAUAAUCGAAUCAAAAUUUUGAAUUUCAAUAUUAUUAUUCUUUUAAAAAAAUUUGAGAUAACAGAGUGAUUGAUAAUAGAGAACUUGUCUAGGCAAACACAUGCAUACACAAAAAUGUGAUGGAUUCAAAAAGAAAUUAAAGUGAUAAUGUACGUGGAUCCUUAAAACAAAAAGCGAAAUCGCUUGGUGGCCCAGUAAAAUUAAGACUGAAUAUUUUUUACACGAGAAGUCAAGCUCAUAAAUGGCAAAAGCCAUUUCAUUUCACUUUUACGCGUCAUUGACUUUUGUAACACGGUGUAUGCAUCGUCAAGUGGGGCAAAAGGGUUUCGAUUACAGUGGGAAAACAUGAACAAGAAUGCAUAAUGAAUAAUUCUUUCGAUAAAGCGAAAAUUAAACACAGAAUAAUCCUAAAAUUUAAACUCUAAUAUCUUAUAAUGUAUUGAUUAAAAAUAAUCCUAAGAGUUCCCAAUUGAAACUUUCAUAAGUAUUUUUAUUGUUUUGGAUAAACAAAUUGCACUAGGAAAACAAUUUGGCAAAUUCAGAGGAUAAUGAAAAAUAGCUAUGCUUCAAUAGGCCAAAGAUUAGAGAACAAAGAAGAAUUAGUUAUUGAUAUACGAAAGAGAAACACUCCAAAAUUUCAAGCAAAAUAUUUUCAUAUACCAUUUCGAUUUUGGAAGGGGUGUGGUUUUGAACUUCAAUAGUUUCCUCUAAAAUCAAAAGGCAGCAAUUAAGCUAGAAAGAGCAAAGAAGACUUUUUGGUACCUUAUUGAAGGUAAACAUUAUGGAACUUCCAAUGUCAUUACCUCACUGUUUAAUUUUUAUUGAGAUUUGUGCAAGCAUUUACCUAAAUCUUACCUCUGCCUGUAAAUUCAUAAGUUUUGAAAAUUAUGAGACCUUAUAUCGGGAGAUAUUAUAAUCGAACUAAAACUUAAAAUUUCUUUUCUUUUCUUUUUUUAUCAUAAAAGGGCUCUUAAGAGAGCUACGACAACACUAAGUGGGAGUGUGCAACCCCAUGAACAUCAUUAAUCAAUAUGUUUAGCGUAUUUGGAGGAAUAGAUUGAAAGCAAUGUAAACCCAAAGGAAACAAAAAGCUGUACGAAGUAAGGAAAUCUGCUGCUACAUUGGUUUCUCGGUAGAUAUGAUCCACUUUGAUCAGCCAAUCACGCCAAAGGAGUUCUUCGAUGGCCUGAAUGAGAAUAAAAUGCUCAUUGACGGGAGGGUUUUAGUUAGAGAUUAACUUCAUAACACACAUGCUGUCUACUUCCACGUAAAACUUAAAAUUUCAAUAUUAUUAUUCUUUAAAAAAAAAAUUGAGAUAUCAGAGUAAUAUCACAUAGAAAAACUUGCCCACGGACGGUAAGCCAAAUGUCUAGUCAACCACAUGCAUAAAGCUAAGUAGAACAAGAGAACAGAGAAACGCGUGGGUCCCUAAAGAAAAGGCAAGCACAUAAAUGAAAAAGCCAUUACAUUUCUAUUAACACGGUGUGGCAGCAUAUGCACAAUCAAGUGAGGCAAAAGGGAUUCGCUUAUCGUGGCAGAACAUGGACGAGGACGCGUGACGAAUAAUUCCUUCGAUAAAACGAAAAACAAACGCAGAGAAAAGAAUUUCUUAUAUGACAAGAAAUCAAAGAAAUGUGAAGGAACAUGAUGAAGAAAUUGCAGACUGAUCAAUUAUCCCCAUGGACUCCUAUAAAUUCAACCAAAAUAACAAUUCGAAUCUUACCAAAUUCUUGAGUUAAAUUUAUUCAAUGCUUUUAUUUUUUUAGAGAAAUUUUUUCCAUUGCUACUUUCCCUUUUUUGGGGAAAUUAGAACCGCGGCAUGUAUAGAAAACAUUGAGGUGUAAAGCAACAUUAAUUUCAUGGGAUAUGCGUUAUACGCAUAAUAUAUUUUCAGUCCAAAUUCAACUAUACAAAGAGGCUUGAGAACUUAAAAUUAAGCACAAACUAAACAGACGAAGUAAAUACAUGAUUAUGCAACAUAACAUUAAUUCUCUUAAUUUAUAACUGUUUUUGCCACAUGAAUCUUGCACAGUUAAUCCUAAUUGAAGACUAAAAAAGAGCAAUUGGAAGAAGGUUUUGGAAUAGAAUGGUAUACAAUCGAUAUGAUCCUUUUCCAGUAGUCAACGCUAAUUAACUGCAGUUUCUAGACUCCUAAUUAUACUAGCCAUAGAAAACUGGUGAUCAAAUUAGAUUUUGAAAGGAAAUAAUGUUCAUUUUCCCUUCGCUGCCUUUUUUUUUCUUUUCUUUUUAUAGCAAAGAAUUAUAUCAUGAAAAGAAUCAAUUUAAUCACCUUUUCCAGCAGCACAAUUUUUCUUUUAUAAAAUUUGACCACAGAGACAAAGAAGAAUUAUUCAUACCUUCAUCAGUGAGGAAAUACUUUUCGGUAUGGCUAGGGUGAGAAAAGGCUUUCCACAAACACUUGUACUUUGUAUUCCUGUAAAUUUUCUUUAAAGUCAAUAAAAACCAUAAGUUCUUUACAAUAACCACCUCUUUGAUAAAAAAGUGCCGUAUUCCUUUAGAAUUUAAAACCGGCAAAAUCGGAAUCAGUGUCUUUGAAGAGACAUAAUGGUCGUAAUUCUUUAAAUGAGUUGGCUAUGGAAAUCCUUAUCCAAGAUUCUUUUACGCCAUAUUCUUUCGUAAACCAAAAUUCAUUUUGGAAUACUCUGUUGAGAAUGUCAAAUAAAACGGCAUUGAAGGAAGUUUUCAAAGGUAGAAUCCGCACUUGUCAAAGGGAUGAUCUGCACUUGUCAAAGACACGAUCCGCGUCAAACGAAUCGACACAUUUCCUUUCGUAUUCGCAUAUGUAAUCUUUGAAAAAAUGUAGCUUCUGCAUCUAUAAAUAACGCUCAGUGUAUAAUGUUUUAUUCAAGAAAAAAAACAAGUUUCUUCAUACUCGUCGUCCGAACAUACAGAGACCGUCUCUCAUAACUUCAGCCGAAUACUUGUGAUGAUGAUCAUUUGUGAUUUCAUCAGGCAAAGGGUUGAUGGUGAAAAUUUUUGUAUGUGUGAAGAAUUGAGCUGUGGAUAUAGGGGACUUAAGUGUAAUCGAAAGAGAGUUAUUAGGUCAUAGUGCAGAUUGCAUUCAGUUUAUGGGUCGCUAUGCAGAUAAUUUGUUGACGUGGCGAAAUCUGUUAUGGUCGUUAGUAUUGUUUCUGGAAAUUUUCUAGAAACCUCAGCAUAAAAGGGGCUUUUGCAUAGCCUCUGGUGUGCGUGUGAUUUCUCUUUCGUUUCCUCAUCAAAUUCUGUAAUUCUUGCUUUGAUAAAAAGCUUGUAAUCUCUUCUGUAAUGUGUGAUCAGUGCGUAAUCAUUUUGAGCAAUAAACGCUUGUGGGUUUUUCCUUCAAACAGUGUCGUUUUGGUCAGUUUGUUAGUUUGAUCUGUUGGUGGAAUUUUCUUUGGUUAUUUGUUCUCAAAAUUCAACCGUAUAUAAAGUUUGAACUCUAAUGGCUUAUAAUGUAUUGAUUAAGAAUAAUCCUAAGAGUUCCCGAUUGAAAUUUUUAAUGACUAUUUUUAUUGUUUUGGAUAUACAAAUUGCAUUAAGAAAAAAUAUUGUCAAAUUCAGAGGAUAACGGGAAAUAAUUAUGCUUCAAAAGGCCAGAGAUUUGAGAACAAAGAAGCAUUCAUUACUGAUAUACAAAAGAGAAACACUCCAAAAUUGCAAGCAAACUAGUUUCAUAUACUGUUUGGAUUCUGGAAGGGGUGAAGUUUUGAACUUCAGUUGUUCCUCUAAAAUCAAAAGCAGCAAUUAAGCGUUCUCAAUUAGAAAUAGCAAAGAAGACUUAUUCGUACCUUACUGAAGCUAACAUUAUGGCACGGUUGUUCAUAUGUAAUGGCUGCUCUGUUAUGCUAUAUGCUCUGUUAUGCUAGCUUCUCUGUUUUUGCUUACAGUUUUGAACAUAAAUUCUUGCUCAAAUAACCCAUAAUUAAAUAACACUAAUAUGGCUCCUGAAAUCCCAUAAUAGCUAAUUACGCAACUUUCUCCUCCUCCUCAAUUAUGUCUUCCCCUGCUCGGACACUAACUUCAAAAUUCAAUGCCCCGAAAAACAACACAAGAAAUCUUUGAGUUAAAUCGUGACCAGUUUAUAUAUCGUAGCAAUUGAAAAAGAAAAAGAAGAAAAGAGUUAAUUAUUAUUCAGACCUUCACUUAUUAGGAAGUUUGUUCUGCUAUUGGGUGAGAUCAAGCUCUCAGCAUAUACUUCCACAUGAUACUUUCUAACAUUUUCUUGAAAGCCAUCAAUCAUAAAAUCUUCAUACUUUUUUCCAUCCUUUGGAUCAAUAAGUACAAAUUUCUCAUCUAAAACAGACAAAAUAAAAUCACUGUCCUUCAUGGAACAUAAUGGCUGCAAUGCCUGAACUGAAUUGGCUAAUGAAACAUAGUCUUCUUUUCUUUCUCGACAUGGAACAUAGUCUUCUUUUCUUUCUGGACAUAUGUCUCUGUACUUUUCUCUCUCUACUGAUCCACACUUUUUCAUACUUCUAACUAUCAUUUUGUUUUUUUUUUUGGUUAAGUUGUGAUUUAUUCAAUUAUUUUGUAUUUUUAAUGACAAUUAUUUAAUAUUUAGUUAGUUUUGAUAUUGAUUAGUGAUUGAAAGUGUAUUUUAGAAGACUUCCGGUCUCUUGGAAAAAGGAAAAAUGGAGACGAAGAAGAAGUGUUCUUGAUUUUUUUGUAGGCAUUAAAGUUAAACGGUUUGAAAUGAUAUUUUGUUUUAAUUUCACUCAUUAAUCUCAUUCAGGAUAAAAUUAUAAAUGCAAAUAAAUGGGGUUUCAUGAGUUUUUUUUAAUAGUGUUAAAAGGUCUACUCACUAAAUAAACAUGUUUUACCCAAACCAAUCCGAUUAAUAAAGUUAUUGGGUUGGGUUGAUCAGGUUAAAAAUCAAAAUUAAAAAUUAAAUAAAUAAAAAAGGCGUUAAAACUAUCUGUUACUUGAAAAUAAAAAGAAUUUCAAAUAGUUAGUUCUAAUGUCCCAUAUCCAAAACAUGCAUAUUAAAUAAAUAUUAUAAGUUAGAGAUAAAAUAUCCAAGAAAUAAUGAAUGAAUGAAAUACCAUAUUUUUGUUGAGAAUUAAGAGUGUGAUUUUAAUUUUGAUAUUGGAGUCUAAAGCAAUAGAUAGUACAAUGAAAUCAUGAAUGCCACAUUUAAAUAAUGUCUUUUAUAAAAUAAUAAAAAGAAGUUAAAAAUUAGGUUAGCCAUUUAGGCGUUUAGGGUUUAGCAGUUAAGGAUGAACAUAUUAUUAUUAUUGUUGUUGUUGUUGUUAUUAUAACAAUUAUUAUUUACAUAUUAAUUAAUCCAACCCAACCCAAUUAUUAACAAACUAGGAAAUAAAACCGCACUUCGUGCGGCUUUAAAAGAAAAUUAAUAUUAUUUUUUUAUUACUUUACAAUUGAUGAAACUAAUAAAAAAUAUGAAUUAUUUUUAAAAUGACGUAAUCUUAUAAAACUAAUGUUAUUUAUGAAAGUUAAUUAUUUUUUUGUUAACAUUAAAAAUAUAUAUUAAUGUGUAUAGUUAAGUGUACACAACUUUUUCAUCAAUAAAAAUUAUGUUCACAUUAAUCAACUCUCCAUUUUUCUUAGUAUUAACAGACUCUCACAUCUUACAAAGUCUGACCCUUAUUAUUCAACUAUCUUUAUCAUAGUUUAACUCAUGAAGAAAAUAGUACUCCAUGAAGCAUACAAUACUAAAAAUUUAAAUAAGUCAAAAAAUAAAAACACAAAAACAUUUCUAAAGAGAAUGUUGGUUAAAUAAUAAAAAAAACUCAAACAUAACAAAUCUUAAAUGCUUAAUAUUUAUAGAGCUUGAAGAAGCCAAAAGAUACUAAAUAAAAGGUUGCAUAAUUAAAUAUAGGAUUAUAACAUUAAAAUUAGGUCAUAAGGCAUUGGUGAGGGAAGAGGAAGGAACAUUCCUUCUUAUAUUAAUUAGUUGAUGUAUUUUAAACCACUAAAGUUUAUUUGUUGGCUUAAUAAAAUAAAUGAAUGUUUCAAAACUUAUAAUUAAUUUAUUAUUAAUGGUUAUAUAUUGUUGAAUUUAAAUAGAAAGAGAAAGAGACAUGUAAUCUUUUGUAAUCUAUUAAUUAUUUUAUAUUUUUAAUAUUUUGUAAUGUAAUUAUUUUUUAAUCUCAACCAAUAUGUUAGAUAAUAGAGAAUAUAAAAAGAUGAGAAAUAAUAAUGCCACAAAUCUUAACUACUUAAUAUUUAUAGAGUUUGAAGAAGUCAAAAGGUACUAAACAAAAGGUUGCAUAAUUAAAUAUGAGAUUAUAGCAUUAAAAUUAGACCCCACUGGCAUUAUUGAGAGAAGAUGAAGGAACAUUCCUUCCUAUAUUAAUUAAUUGAUAUAUUUAAGCUACUAAAAUUUAAUUGUUGGCAUAAUAAAAUAAAUAAAUGUUUCAAGAUUUAUAAUUAAUUAUUAUUAAUGGUUACAUAUUAUUGAAUUUAAAUAGAAAGAGGAAGAGACAUGUAAUCUUUUAUAAUCUAAUAAUUAUUUUUAUUUUUAAUAUUUUAUAAUGUAAUUAUUUUUUUAAUAUCAACUAAUUUAUUAGAUAAUAGAGAAUACAAGAAGAUGAGAAAUAGUGAUGUCACAUCACCUCCUCUAGUCCCAACUUUAUAUAUAUAUAUAUAUAUAUAUAUAAUAUUUUGUAAUGUAAUUAUUUUUUAAUCUCAGCCAAUAUAUUAGAUAAUAGAGAAUAAAAAAAGAUGAGAAAUAAUGAUACCACAAAUCUUAAAUAUUUAAUAUUUAUGGAGUUUGAAGAAGCCAAAAGGCACUAAACAAAAGAUUGAAUAAUUAAAUAUGAGAUUAUGACAUUAAAAUUAGACUCUAAUGGCAUUGUUGAGGGAAGAUGAAGGAACUUUCCUUCCUAUAUUAAUUAAUUAAUGUAUUUUAAGCCACUAAAAUUUAAUUGUUGGCAUAAUAAAAUAAAUGAAUGUUUCAAGACUUAUAAUUAAUUAUUAUUAAUGGUUACAUAUUGUUGAAUUUAAAUAGAAAGAGGAAAAGACAUGUAAUCAUUUAUAAUAUAAUAAUUAUUUUCUAUUUUCUAUUUUAAUAUUUUGUAAUGUAAUUAUUUUUUAAUUUCAACCAAUUUAUUAGAUAAUAGAGAAUAUGAAAUGAUGAGAAAUGGUGAUGCCACAUCACCUCUUGUAGUCUCAACUUUAUAUAUAUAUAUAUAUAUAUAUAUUAAUUCAUGUCUUUUAUACCACUAAAGUUUAAUUGCUAGCAUAAUAAAAUAAAUAAAUGUUUCAGAAGACUUAUAAUUAAUAUUAUUAAUGAUUACAUAUUGUUGAAUUUAAAUAGAAAGAGAAAAAAAUUACAAAGAAUAUCCACCAAUAUUUUAGAUAUUUUAGAUAAUAGAAAAUAUAAAAAGAUGAGGAAUGAUAUAUAUUAAUAAAGUUACUAUUUAUUAAAUGAGUUAAAUACAAUCAAAUUAAUUAUGAGAAGAUGAAAAGCCAAAUCUAAAAAAAAAAUCUCUAUUUAUUAGAUAAUAGAGAAUAUAUAAAGAAGUAAAAUGGUGAUGCCACAUCACCUACUCAAGUCCUAGCUUUAUAUAUACACUAGAAAAUAGAACCGCGUUUCACGCGGCUUUGAAAAAAAAUUUUAAUGUUAUCUUUUUUUUUUAUUUUGCACAUGAUGAAACUGAUAAAAAAUAUGAAUUGACUUUUUUUUAAGAUGAAGCAGCCUUAUUAAAAAAAAACUAUUAGCCAGCAAUACAAAUAAAGAAGUAAUGUAAGAUAAAAAAUAAAAUGAGAGAAUAUAUUAUAGAAUGAUUUUAUUCAUUCUAAUUGUGUGGUACAAAACAAAAAGAUGAGCUCUCAUUUUAUAGUUACAUAAUCACUCCAUGAAAUUAAUGAAAAAUUAUGGAUCAUAAUUCCUUGUGAGAUAGUGGGAGUUAUAGGGAAGCUAAAGGUUGCUAAUGGAAGAUAGUGGGGAGACUAAGAGAUAUAUGUUAUGAACAUCUACAUUUAUUUUAAUAAAUUCAUAACACUCCCCCUUUGAUGUUCAUUAUAAAAAAUAUGCCUCAUUAAAAUCUAUUAGCCAACAAUACAAAUAAAAAAGCCACACAAUAUAAAGAAUAAAAUGAGAGAAUAUAUUAUAGAGUGAUUUCAUUCAUUCCAAUUAUGUGUGUACAAAACAAAAAGAUGAGCUCUCCUUUUAUAGUUACAUAAUCACUCCAUGAAAUUAAUGAAAAAUUAUGGAUCAUAAUUCCUUGUGAGAUAGUAGAAGUUAUAGGAAAGCUAAAGGUUACUAAUGGGAGAUAGUGGAGAGAGUAAAAGAUAUAUGUUAUGAACAUCUACAUUUAUUUUAAUAAAUUCAUAACACUCCCCUUUGGAUGUUCAUUACAAAAAAUAUGUCUCAUUAAAACCUUUAUAUAAUUGUUAUUGUGUAAUAACAAUCAAAUUAAUUAUGAGAAGAUGAAAAGUCAAAUCUAAAAGAAAAUUUCUCUAUUUAUUAGAUAGAUAAUAGAGAAUAUACAAAGAUGAGAAAUAGUGAUGCCACAUCACUCUCUCAAGUCUCAACUUUAUAUAGAUAUAUAGAUUUGAAAUGAUUGACUCAAUUAAUCCACAAUAAUUCAUUCAACUCGUCUAAAUUAGAUUAUGUUGAAUUUGAUUUGCUACACCUACAUUGAGCAACAAACCUCAACGACAUUCUACGAGCUCUUUGAUUGUUUAUAAAAUUGAUUUAGAGUACAUAAAGUGUAUCGACAAUGAAAGUGCAAAACAAAUUAUUGUACAUAUUAAAAUGUGCAAAACAAUGAAUUAUAUGUACAAACGAGUGCAAACACAUUUUUCAAUAAGAAGUUAAAAGAUAUUUAUGCAUGAAAAAGCCUACGUUUGUAGUUAUUCUAAAUUUUAAAAACAAAAUUUACAUUUAGAUCCCUAAAAUUUACGUAUAAGUAUAAAAGUUUCAAAUAUUGUCUAUUAUUUUUUUAACAUGCCUAUUCCUUAUGGAUAAUUCUGUCUCAUCACUAAUGUUGUUUCUUGCUUAGAAAAAAUAAAUGUCAUCUCCUUUUACAAUUUUUAUAGCGUCUCGAAAUAGACAAUAGGGGAUUUUGAAUUUUUUAAGUCUCAAGAUAGUCUCUAAUCGUGUGAGAAAGAUUUUCUUUCAAUAAUUUGGAGCUAAACAUAACAUAUUUUUUAGACUAAAAUCUAACUCUGCUGGUUAGUAGUUGGUGGUAUCCUUUUCAAGACUUGAGUCUUUAGAUUCGAGUUUUAUAUAGUGUACAUGUGUAUUUAAUUAAUAAUUUUUUUCAAAAAAAAAAAUUACAUCAAAUACUAAUAUUCAUGACAUAAUUUAGUUCAUAAUUUUUUUAAAUACAUCGAAAAAUAUAAUUUUUUAACAACUUAUAGGCACGACAAAUUUCAAGAUAUAAAUAUCAGUCAAAAUAAAUGAAAGAAAUAAUGGUGUCAAUUCUAAUUUCUUAACUAAAUUAAUUAUUGCAUGAGCCCCGAAUACGACAUGAGAGUUUGAUGGGCUAACUUGGCACAAGAACGCGAAUAGUUAACUCAUUUAAGAAAUAAUUCAACAAAAAAUAUAAUUGAUAAGAAUUCAGUAUUGAAAUGAAUUUUUUACGAAACAUUGAAUUAAUGAUUAUUAAGCAAGAACAAUAAAAAAAUAAAAUAAAAAUAAAUAUUAACCAUUGAUAAGCUUCAACAAGAACUUAACACAACCCUCAAUCCUAAUUCAAAUCAUAAAUGUCAUUCAUAUAUUCAUUAUAAAUCAAUAACAAAGGUUAUAAAUGUUUAGAAAUUCUAGAGGGAAGGAAGCUAUCUCCGGGGAAUCAACAACUAAAUUUGAUGUAAUUGUGGCACACGAUGGAAUAUGGAAACUACACCAUAAUUUCAAAUGCCGCCAUAGACAUUGACUUAUCUACAAUAACAAUGAUCUAAUUAAAAUUAAAAUAAAGUUUAUGGGCAUUUAUUAUUUUGCCAUUUCUCAUUUGCAAACAGGGAUAUAAUUAUAAUUUUACUUAGUCAAAGCAAUCAGUAAUUUUCUUCAUUAUCGGAGUGAAGUAAAAACAUUUAGAUUUUAAUGAGUGUACGGAAAAUUUAUCUUUAAAAAUACUUUCUUAAUGUGUGUGUAUAUAUAUAUUGAAAUAUUAUGCUAUCAAAAGUUAAUUUUAGAAAUUCCAAAUCCAAUAGCUAACACAAUUCUUUAAAGAAAAAAAAAAAAAGGUUGAUAAUCAGCAAUUAGUAUUACUUUCUAAACUUACUUCAACUGGUCGUUAAUGAGGGGCCUUGGGCAAGAGUGAUGAAUGUUUAGUCGGUGCAUUUGAUUGAUAGAUAUAUAAAGGGCCGAAACUUGAGAUUAUAUUACUUUUACAAAUUUUAAUCCAAUCACAUAUUUACUGAAACACAAAAUGAGUUAGGAUACUUUAUUUAGAACCCACAUUUUAAUAAGGCUUCAUUUGAUGUAGUUUUUCAAACAGUGAUUAUUUGAGUAAAGUUUCCUCAAUAGAGUUUUUAUCAAAUAAAUUUUAUUUAUUUGGUUGUCGAUAAGAACUUUUAUUAAAAAUUAUAAAAUUAUUUAAAUAAACAUAUUUUUUUAAAAUUACAUUAUAAAAAGAAUUAAAUAAAGUUAUAAAAGUAAAAUAUAUUUUAGAUAUUUUAAUAUUUAAGAAAAAAAUUUUGAAUCUCUACUUUCAGAAGCUCAAAUUUUUAGUUUUUAGUUGUAGAGACAAAAUAUCUUAUUUAAUCUUUAAAAGUUCUGCUAAAAACAAUCAAAUAACUAUAAAAUUUUUAAUAAGAGUAUAUAAAAUUAAAUAAGCAUUUAUUAAUAAUCACUUUAGUGUACUUAUCUAAUGACCAUAAGUGUUUAUUUAAUCUCAUAAGUUCUUAUUUAAUCUCAUGAGCUCUUUUCAAUUUUUUUUGUUGUUUGCUUUUUUUAGUAGAGUUUUUGAAAAUUAAAUAAACUAUUUUGUCUCUAUUAGGAAAAACUCAAAUUUUAGGUUUUUGUGAGUAAAUGUUUAAAUUUUUUUAAAAAUAUUAAAAUAUUAAAGUAAAAGUUGUAGAGACAAAAUAUCUUAUUUAAUGUUUAAAAGUUCUGCUAAAAAUAAUCAAAUAACUACAAAAAUUUUAAUAAGAGCAUAUAAAAUUAAAUAAGCAUUUAUUAAUAGUCACUUUAGUAUACUUAUCUAAUGACCAUAAGUGUUUAUUUAAUCUAAUGAGCUCUUUUUAAUUUUGUUUGUUUGUUUUUUUAGUAGAGUUUUUGAAAAUUAAAUAAACUAUUUUGUCUCUAUUAGGAAAAACUUAAAAUUUAGGUUUUUGUGAGUAAAUGUUUAAAUUUUUUUUAAAAUAUUAAAAUAUCUUUUCUUUAUUUCAUAAUCUUAUUUCAUUCUUCACAACAUAACUUUAAAUAACUCACCUAUUAAAAUAAUUUCACAAUUUAUAAUAAAAAUUUUAAUUGACAAUCAAAUAACAAAUUUUUUUUUAUAAAAACUCUAAUAAUAAAAAUUCUACUUAAAUAAAUUAUAUUUGAAAAGGUAUACCAAACGAACCUAACAUAAAAACAAAAAUUUUUACAUCCACACAAUUAAGCUUAAAACAAUUUCAAAUGAAUUUUAGACUACUCAAAGUACAAUACGUACCAAGUUUGGUAACUUAUUGGGGUCCGCUUGUAAUACAGCUCAUGAGCUCUUUUUAAAAAAAUUUUGAAUCUCUACUUUCAGAAGCUCAAAUUUUUAGUUUUUAGUUAUAGAGACAAAAUAUCGUAUUUAAUGUUUAAAAGUUCUGCUAAAAACAAUCAAAUAAUUACAAAAAUUUUAACAAGAGCAUAUAAAAUUAAAUAAGCAUUUAUUAAUAAUCACUUUAGUGUACUUUAUCUAAUGACCAUAAGUGUUUAUUUAAUCUCAUGAGCUCUUUUUAAUUUUUUUGUUGUUUUUUUAGUAGAGUUUUUAAAAAUUAAAUAAAUUAUUUUGUCUCUACUAGGAAAAACUUAAAAUUUAGGUUUUUGUGAGUAAAUGUUUAAAUUUUUUUACAAAUAUUAAAAUAUUUUUUUCUUUAUUUCAUAAUCUUAUUUCAUUCUUCACAACAUAACUUUAAAUAACUCACCUAUUAAAAUAAUUUCACAAUUUAUAAUAAAAAUUCUAAUUGACAAUCAAAUAACAAUUUUUUUUUAAUAAAAAUUCUACUUAAAUAAAUUAUAUUUGAAAAAGUAUACUAAACAAACUUUUUUUAGACUAAUCAAAGUACAUCUUCUCAUAAAAUAAUUUCACAAUUUCUAAAAAAAACUCUAAUUGACAAUUAAGUAACAACUUUUUUUUUUUUGUAAAAACUUUAUUUAUAAAAAAUCUAAUAAUAAAAAUUCUAUUUAAAUAAAUUAUAUUUGAAAAUGUAUACUAAACCAACCUAACAUAAAAACAAAAAUUUUUACAUCCAGACAAUUAAGCUUAAAACAAUUUCAAAUGAAUUUUAGACUAAUCAAAGUACAAUACGUACCAAGUUUGGUAACUUAAUUGACAUCUUCUCAUAUAACCUUCGAUCAAGUCGAUUCUGACCUGACGACUAAUUGGUACAUCACCGUUGUUCUCUAUACUCGCAUGCAUCCGAUCACAAAUCUCACUCCAAUUGUCGUCUUUCUUCGGCGUUUUAGCGCAUCCUUCUUGAAUUUCCCGCAUUUCGUUCCCUCCUGUUACAAGUCUCCGGUCAGGUCAGUUCACUUGACGAUUAAUUCGGCAAAUCUCGAAUCUCUUCUCUAUCCCUCUCGUUUUCUCGUGUCUCCUUUCAGUUUAAGUGAUUGAAUCAAUUUUAUCGCAGUCUUAAGAGAAAUUAAGUAAUGCUCUUGGAUUUAAAAUUUUUUUGCUUUCGACUUUAGAUCUCGAAAGUCAAACUCUGCUACGAAUCCAUAGAUUCUCAAUGUUUAUAAUCUUAUUUGUGUUUGACCAGGUAACUGGAUCGUGAAAUUCGUCGUUUUGUAUCAAUUCAGGCUUUCGCGAGCUCAUGGAAUCACCUGGUGAGUUGUGGUGAAACGUUAUCGUUUCAAUUUUCGCUUAAUUCUUUAUUGCAUAUUUUUUCUCUAACAUUUCAGUUUAAUUUAGAAAAGAAAGAGGACCCAAAAAGAGAGAGAGAGAGAGAGACUCUACCAUACUCAAUUCCUUGCUCAUUCUGAUUUGGCCUGAAUGUUGGCAUUGACUAUUAUUUGUUUUCAUUUCGAUUUAAUUCUCAUUUAGACAGUCUUUACUAACGGUCAAUAAUAGUUUAAGGAAAAUGAUAAUAGGGAUUCUGCAAUAAUCUUUCUGCAUUGUUCAAGUUAGUAGACGAUGAAUAGGAUGUUUAUGUUUACCUCAUUUUGAACCCUGAGGGCUUCGUUGAGUAGUUGAUUCAACAUAUCCAGCAACGGUUGAUGUGAGAACAGGAUGCCACUUAGAUAGGCUUAAACUGAUUUUGGAGGUUUGUAUUGGUUCUAUUGUACGUCUUGCUUACAAAUUUUUUAUUUUUUAUUUUUAAUUUUGUAUAAUAUGCUCUUUGUUGGUAAAUCUCAUUUGACUUAGAAGAGAUAGUUUUAUCCCAACAGUGGGAUAAAUCAUUGAGAUGCAUGGCAGUGUGAAUAUAGUAGACAAAAUCAUUGAGACACAUGGUGGUGUGAACAUAGUAAACUUCAUGGAAGCAAUGAAGCUUGAAAUUGAACGUCUGCAGCUGAAUCUUUCUGCAGCUGAAAGGGAUAGAGCUUUAUUGUCAAUCGGAACUGAUCGUGCCUCUAUAAAUCCAAAUGUAUUGCUUGAUGAAUCUUACAUGGGAAGACUGUGUCGAGUAGCAACCACUCUUGCAUUACUUGGCCAAACUUCCCUAGAAGACAAAAUUGUUGGUGCAAUUGGCCUUGAGAAUAGUGAUGAUAGUGUUUUAGACUUCUGGAAUAUUACUAGAAUCGGAGAGAGUUGUUCUGGUGGCUGGUGGCGGGUGCAAGGUUCGUGCAGAAACUAAGGUGCCUGCUCUUGCUUCCUCAACUGCAACAUCUGUUGGAGCUUCACAAUCCCCUUUGUUGUGUUCUCAAUGUGAAAGAAAAGUUUGCAAAGUUUGUUGUGCAGGAAGAGGAGCUCUACUGUUUUCAAAUUAUAAAUCAAGGGAUGUGACCAACUACAAUGGCUUCUCAAGUCAGAGUGGAUCAAGCCAUGGAAGCCAAGUUGAUGUACCUACCAGUCGUUCACUAACACUGGAUGGCGUUGUCUGUAAACACUGCUGCCAUGAGAUUGUGCUUGAUGCAUUGAUGUUGGACCAUGUUAGGGUCUUGAUUAGCUUGCGAAGAAGUUCCCGUGCAGACAACACAGCAUACAAUGCUUUGAAUGAGGUUGUUGGAUCCUGCUUAAAGGAUAGUCUUUCUGAAAGGAUUCAGUCUUCCGAUAACGUGCAAGCUGCUGAAGUCCUUCACCAAUUAUGUGGUGGACAGGAAUCAGUUGCUGAAUUUCCAUUUGCUAGCUUUUUGCACUAGGUAUGUUCUUGGUUUGUAUUCAGUUCUCAUCAUGUUAUGUUUUCCUUUUAAAUUUCUUUUCUUGAUUAAAAUUUUUAGAAAUAUGUUUUAGUAUUUGUUCUUAUGAUAUAUGCCCAGAACAUUCAUCCCACUUAUCCAUGAGAAUCCUUGUCUGGUUUGAUUUUCAAUUGAGACAUUUUUGGGAACCCUGAGCAGGUUCCAUAUGCUAAUAAUCUUUGAGGUAAGGUGUUGUAGGAUGCCUUGAGAAGCUAAAAACCAAUUACAAGGAAAAGCUCUUGCAUUGUUUUGUGCAAUCUGUGUGCUAGCAAGUCAUGUCUCUAAUAAUUUCAUAGUUCGCUUGAUUGGAAUUUUUUAUCUUGAUAUGGAUUGUUUAUUCUAGAUUCCUUGGUGCCACUGUAGGUUGAAACAGCAAAAGAUUCAGCACCGAUUUUGUCACUGCUUGCUCCAUUAAAUUCUGGAUCAAGGCACUCAUAUUGGAGAGCUCCACCUAGUACUACUUCUGUUGAAUUUGUUAUUGUUCUCGGUUCUGUUUCUGAUGUCAGUGGGGUUAUCUUGCUUGUUAGUCCUUGCGGCUAUCUGUGGCUGACACUCCGAUGGUAAGUGCCAUAUUUAUUCCCUUAUUUCCUUGUUGUUCAAUAAAUUUGGUGAUAAGCCAAGUGGCCUUAAUAAUGAAGCCCAGUACCAGGGGUGGUGGGUAAUCGAUAUUCAACUUGUGAAUAUUCCUAAGCAAGCACGGAAUCAACAUAGACGUCGGCAAAAAUUCUCCAUGCUAUUAUAACGAAAGUCAUAUUUUGAAAUGAUUAAAAGAGUCCCUUUGUAGUGCCAUUGCCAAAGAAAUUGCAGCUGGGGGUUUAGUUUCAUGUAGGUUAGUUUCCGAUAAUAAACUUUCCAUUUCAUUAAUUGCUGAUGAAAAAACCAAGUAAGAACAGUUUCGUUGCUCGUCAUUUAUGUAUAUUUUGGUAAACUGUAAUUUUAAAUUCUCAACGAUCUUCCCUUGGUAGGUAAGAAGAUGGUCCACUCACUUUAUAUUUAUGAUUGUAGAUCAGGUUUCUAUUGGUUUGCCUUUAUCAUUGGGAACCCAAGUUUGAUAUUAACAGAGAUCACGUCAAUAAUAUCCUAUUUGGGUAGAUGUGGGUGAGGAUUUAAAAUCAAAUUUGAAAUUGGGGGAAAGAAGAGAAAAGGAACCACAAUAAUUAAACAAAAUAUUAGGAACUAUUCUGAUGAGUUUUAAUCUCGAGAGGAACAAUUUUCAAAUGCAAAUUUAACUGCUAGAGAAAUUGUAGCUUUUUGUCAUUAGUUAAGAGGAAAGAGAAUAAGAACUAUCCAGCCCUUUCCUUCAUGAAUGUGUGUUGAGGUUGCUGUAUUAUUUAGUCAGUAUUUGUAAUUUUCUUCCCUGCAGUGCUCUCUGCCUCCUGAAUUUGCUACUGAGUCCAUAUUUUUCUUUGAGCUGUUGCUUCCUAUUGCUGUUACAAGUACAAAUCUGGGCAAGCAAUAAGAUACACCGGGAGGAAAGGUCAUCAAUGGGAAAAUGGGAUGUCCAAUCCCUCAUCACAUCUUCUUCAGACUUGUAUGGUCCAGAAAAGACAGCUAGUGUUGAAAAAUUACCUAGGCAUGUAAAAUUUACUUUUAAGAAUCCUGUUAGGUGCCGCAUUGUUUGGAUCACAUUACGUCUUCAGAGACCUGGUUCGGCUUCAGUUAAUUUCGGGAAGGACUUCAGUCUUUUGUCUCUUGAUGAAGAUGAAAACCCCUUUGCGCAAGUAGACAGACGUGCUUCAUUUGGAGGAGCAGUUGAAAAUGAACCAUGUAUUCAUGCCAAAAGAAUUCUUGUAGUCGGAAGCCCAGUAAAAAGGGAGGGGCUUACCUCAUCACAGAGCUCUGAGCAGCUAAGUAUUAGAAACUGGUUGGAUAGAGCUCCACAAAUGAGUAGAUUCAAGGUAUUAGUUGCUUUCACUCUUUGUUCAUUCAUAAUUCCAGCUUUCUGCUUGAUGCCCUGCCUCUGAUAAACCUCUUUUUUUCUCUUCAGGUCCCAAUUGAGGCCAAGAGAUUGAUGGACUACGAUCUCGUCUUGGAACAAUAUCUACCUCCAGCGUCACCUUUGCUUGCCGGAUUCCAUCUAGACGCUUUCAGUGCAAUAAAACCUAGGGUUACCCAUUCACCUUCCUCAGAUUCAGAUAUCUGGGACAAAUCAGUAACAUUUUUAGAAGACAGGUACAUCUCUCAAGCUGUGUUGUAUUUACAAGUAUCCGCACUCCAGGAACCACAUAACAUGGUAACUAUUGCGGAAUAUCGACUGCCGGAGGCUAGAGCCGGAACGCCAAUGUACUUUGAUUUCCCAUGACCGAUACAGUCCCGACGAGUUUCAUUCAAGCUUCUUGGAGAUGUUACAGCAUUUGCAGAUGAACCUUCAGAACAAGAUGAUUCAGGAUUGAGAGCUCCACUUGUGGCCACAGGUUUGUCUUUGUCAAACAGAAUCAAGUUAUAUUAUUAUUGUGAUCCUUAUGAGCUCGGAAAAUGGGCAAGCCUUUCUGGAGUUUGAUCGUUAUUUAUAUGUCAGAGAAAGGGUUUUGGGUUUGAUUUUGAUUUUGAUUUGUAAUUUUUGUCAGUUUAUUGAAAUUUUUUGUUGUAUAAAAGCAGAAUGUAAAGGUAUAAAAAUUCAUUGAUGCUGCAAUGUCUGUGCUUUUGAGAAAGAAGAAUUAAUUGUCUUUUCUAUGCCAUUGGAGUUUCCCACUGCUUGUAUACUUGGGCUGUCGAAUGCUCUGUGAACCUUAAGGGCUAUAAAGUAAUUUUCAAGACUGAAGGAUUUAUUAAUCGAGUUCAAAAGAUUGUAAGUUGGUGACUGGUGAGCGUUGGCAUUUAAAAAUCAAUUGUUAUUCUCUCAAUAAUCUCUCUCUUCUCCUCGUGAAGUGUUUUCUUUUUCGAGUGAAGGUGGUUUUCCACUUGCAUACGUCGGGGGUCUUAUGAUAUGUAAUGUGUGAAAUUUCUUUCUCAUUUUACCAUAAAGAAAAAUGUUGUAAUAAUCUAAAGCUCGAGUCUUAAAUUAUCUUAAAUUUAUAUUUAGAGUGGAGCUAUUCGCAACCCUAUAUUAAAAUUACAAUUAAAAACAAUUGAAAAUUAAACACUUAUAGAUUCUUUUUACAGCAAAUUACUUAAUUCAUAAUCAAUCCUUUAAAAAAAAAAUACAUAUGUUAUUUCUUAUCUAACUAAAAUAAAUUGUACAAAUUUAGAAUAAUCUAUUGUUCUCUUUUGAUUUCUUAUUAUUUAAAUAUUUUUAUACAUAAAGUUACUUUGAAAUUAUAAUUUGAAAUAUGUGUUAUUUCAGCCAAUGAUUAACACUAAAAAAUUUAUCACCCAUAUAACUUUUUAAUUUGUGUGUAGGGUAAUAAUAAAAUCGAAAAUAAUUAAAAAAAUAGUACAAUAAUGAUUUUUAACAAUAAAACAAAUCAAAUGAAAAUUGAAAAUUUAGAAAAGUGUAUCUAAAAAAAGGAACGUUUUCAAAAAUAAAAUGAAUAUAACUAAAAAGAGAUUUUAUGAGGAGAUCACUGGGGUGCCAAUAGUCCAACUUGUAAUUAAGAAUCUCCCAUUAUAUUGUCAACCAAAAAGACACUUGAAUAAGAAGAAGAAUUUAUCAGUUUGAUUUUAUUUGUAGAUCCAACAUUUCUCAUAUCCUGAACGCCUUUUCGUAUCAAAUUAAAACAGUAGUAGCAAAAUCGUAGUAUUAAAAUCGUAGUGCACAUUCAAUUAACCAACUAAUAGUCUUUGGUAUAAGAUUUUAUAUUAGGUAGCCAAGUAGGUUGUCCAUCCCACUCAGACAUGCACGAAAGCUAAAUUCAUCAAAUGAAUUACUUAAGAAGUAUUUGAUAAUUUUGAAAUUAUCAAAAGGUGUUAUACUAUUAAAUAUUUUUAUACUUAAAAUUGUUUUGAAAUUAUAAGUUCAAAUUAAAAUAAUAGUAGCAAAAUCGUAGUGCACAUUCAAUUAACCAACUAAUAGUCUAAGAAGCAAAGAGAGGAUUACAAGUUCACAACACCAUUACAAAGGAUUCAAAAUUCCCACACGAAUACAUCAAUGUACAGAUUAUAAACAAUCCGAAUUGGACACAAGAAAAACCCUUCAAUAGAUUGCUUGCCUUCCCAAUGCUAUAUACUGUGCAAACUGCGCAUUGGCCAAGAAAAUGUUUUCAAUUUAGUGUAUUUUCAAAAUGCUUAUUUUCUCAUAGUAUAAAAAAUAAAAAAAAUAAGAAAGAAUUCUCACAUGUUUCAUCAGCAUGAUUAAAAUCAAAGAAGAAAGCGAGACAUAAUGUCUCUGACAUAAUAAAAUUACAAAAAUUUCAAGGAAAAAAAAAGGUUAAAACAUGUAAUCUUCAGAAGCAUAUAAUAAAAGAACACUUCCACAAAUUACUACAAUUUCAUGCAGUAGAGAUUGAAGAGUUGAAUUCCACUAAUUUUAAUAAUGAAAACAACAACAGAGGAUUAACUGAUGCUUUGACUUAUUAGUUCUGCAGAGCAUCUCCAAAAGCCUAUAUAAAUUUUACUCUUCAAAUACUUAUUUGCUUACCUAUGUGGCAAAUAAAAGGGUGAAAAAAUAUGAUAUUCUCCAAAAGACUCUUCAAAUAGAAAAAAGUUAAUAUUAUUUUAAUCAUAUAAUUAAUUUUUUAAAGAAAAAGUCAAUAGCAAUUAAAGCACUUCUCUCUCUUUCUUCAAUGAAAAGUAAUAAAAUAUAAAUUGAAGAGGGAGAAAUUAACUCUCCAAAUUUGAAGAGAGAGAAUUAAUUCUUAUUUAAAGAAUCUUAAUUGAAGUGUCUUUUGGAGCUUUAAAUAUUGAUGUGGCUCUUCAAAUAAGUAAUAAAAUCUUAUUUGAAGAGCCUUUAAAUAAGGUGCUUUCAAAAGCAAAAUGGAAUACAUAGAUAAAAACAUCAUCUUAAACAAAUCACAAUCUAGAAUUAGAGCAUUUUCGACAUACCUAAGGAAAACGAAUACGUGAAAACGGGUGAUUCAUUUGUUAAGGAGUGUUGAUUUGGUCGUCUCUGCAAAUUCUUUAGGGACUCGGUUCCAAUUCCUCAUCAUCAAAACUGUAAUAUAAUUCCCCUUCAUCAGAACUCGAAUCGAUGCAAUAUAAUUCCCCUUCAUCAGAACUCGAAUCAAAUUCACUUGCAGCAGUUCCACUCGCGCUUGGCAAAUCAUCCAAUUUCCAAACUUCGGUAGCAAAAUUGAGAGUAAAAGUGUUGGCUUUGAUCUCGCUGGGAUUUGCAUAUACUGGACAUACUCCGCAACGUUUUAUCUUCUGACCCUUUUGGACCUUUAUUAUGUUUCGGUAACGCUCAUUGAAGAACUUAAGUGAGACAGUUGUAUGAUGGUAACCAUCAGGAAAGCCAACAUUCAAGCAAGGUUUAAAACCAAGUAUGACAUGAUCUGAAUCAUGGGGGUCUUUAAUAGAGUCCCAAUAGAAACUCAGAUCAACAUGUUUGGUUUCAGAGAGAGUCUUUAUUUCUAAGUCGGAUCGACAGUAAACGUAAAAAUAACGAGAACGAUCAGAAUAAAGUUGCUUAAAAUCAAGAACAGCACAAAAAGCAAACCCGAUUAAGUUUCUGCAAAAAGAGUGCGGUGGCAGUUGAAUACGUAUCGAAGAUCCUGAACUUUGAUUGCUGAACCAGUCAGGAAUUUCGCUCCCAGGUAAAACAAUUUGGGAUUCCCUGAGUUCAGAAAGUUUCUGUGAAACGACAUUUAAAAAAAGAAAAUUGUAAAAUGAAAACCAUGAUUUCAGAUAUAACAAAGAGGGACAGAGUAAACAAGAGAGGGAAUUUGAUACCUCGUUGUAUGCAUUUUCAUAGCCCAGUCUCAGUGAUGCUGCAAUUGCCAUACGUAGUGAAUCUGCCAAAAUCUUGUUGUUUGCUUUUCCAUCAAGUUUCAAGCAGUUAGUAAACCCAAAAUAAAUUGGUUGUGGCGUCACAUAUUCCGGAUGCCAUUGACGAAGGUCAGGAGAGGGUUUGGAUAGCUUUUCGAGUACGGAUGCAUCUAGUUCUUGUACACAUGACGGAAUCUCUGGCAAAGAUUGAAGCCGGUUGCAGUUCAUUGCAAUUAGUGACUGUAGACACAAUGGAAGUUCAGGUAAUGACCGAAGCAUGUUACAAUCCUCCAAGUGAAGAGUUUCUAAACCCAAUGGAAGUGCUGGUAAUGACUGAAGCAUGUUACAACGCCACAAGUGAAGAGUUUCUAGACCCAAUGGAAGUUCUGGUAAUGACUGAAGUAUCUUACAAUCCCUCAAUUCAAGAAAUUUUAGGCCCAAUGGAAGUUCUGGUAAUGACUGAAGCAUAUUACAAUCCUCCAAGUAAAGAUAACUUAGCCACGACAGUUGCUUGAUACUUGCAGGUAAACUCUCAAAGUUAUUUCCAUUUAAAUUGCCAAUGUUAUCCGGCAACUUAUCAAGUACAGAGCAACCACUUACGGACAAAAGUACAAGCCCCGUUUGCAAUGCCUCAAAUCCAACUUUUCAAGAUCAGUUAGGCACUCUACUGAUGAUGGAACUUCUUCUAUUGCAGUCUGGCCCAAGUUUAGCGAUGUUACUUUCCCAGAAAUCUGUGGAAACUCUAUGAGAUUAACACAAUAGGAGAAAUCAAUAGUUACUGGACAAACAAAAUGAAGAUUGCUAGGAAAAGACCUAAGACUUUUGCAGCCCAUAAAAUCCAACCUACUGAGAUACUUGAAAUUCUGGAUAUAUGAGGGAACACAAGCCAAGUUUGUAUAAUCCAAAAGAUAUGUUUCAACAUUUGGGGUUUCUAAUGGGCCUGGCAUCUUAAUGAAAUGUCGAGAAUGGCUGAGGUUAAUAGAUUUUAACUUGAAAGCUUCCUGCAAUAACAGAUAUAUAAAGACUAUAUUAAUUAAAAAGCAACAUUGAAUUCAACAAUUAAUUGCACGUAUAUUUAAAGAAAGAAAAAAUUAAUGUUUUAGUUUUAGUACAGAACUUACCUUUUCUCCUUCCCAAAGUUGCUCAACUUUACUAAAACGCAAAUUCAGUUCAACAAGGUUCUUUGGCUUGAAAUUUGAUGGCAGUGUCCUUAAGGGAUAUGUGUCCCAAUGAAGAUAUCUCAAUUUUUUAGGAAGAUAAUCUAGGCCAUUUGGAAGCUGCACUUUAGAGUAUGAAAGUUGCUCUUCAAUGCUCAUACUUAGAAACUUUUCAAUCUCAGGUACAUAAAAUUUGAGCAAUCUUAGAUUAGACAUUUUUGUGAAGGCUCCAGGGUCUAAAUUGAUGCCUUUUAUUUUGGACAAAUCCAGAAAUAUGCCUUCAAUUGCAUCGGUCCCCUUAUUAAAAAAAAAAACAAAGAAUGAGUAACCCUAAAACAGAAAAGAAACAUUCGCAAACUUUAUUAACUAAGAACUCCUUAAACAAAAACAAAUUCUGCAAUCUUUGAUUUUAUUUUUUAAAAAUAUUAAAUAUCUAUAUAUGAGAAAAGAAAAUUUUGGGGACCAUUGCAAAAUUAAACUAACCAAAAAAAAAAUUCAAAAUUUCUCUAAUUUACAAACCUGUUAUCUUAAUAUCUAGAAGUUGAGAAGACAAGGCGUAUUUGAUUGGUAUAAGAUUUCGAUUUUUUUUUUAGUCCAUAGAAUCCAAAAUGUUUGUUCAAAAUCAGGGAAAAAAACGAAAGUUAUUUUUUUUUCCACUAGCUGUAAUUGUAUCCAAGUCAAAUUGAGAUACGACCCUUUUCGAAAGGAUUUAAUCAUCUUAUAGCCUCCUUAAGAUACAUUUAAGCUAAAAGGAGUGAUUGGAGGCAGAACUUAGUGGGCCAAUCAGUUCAUUUUAUUAGCGACUGUUGCUUAAAAAAAAUUAUACUCUAAAACACACUUACUUUUUUGAAAAAAAAUAUAAUUAUAUUUAAGUAGAACCAGGUGGGCCAAUCCUCAUGGCACUCACUUUGUUCUGACACUCUUCACUAAAUUUGAAGAAAAAUAAAAUUAUACUCUUCACACUCUUAUUCAACAUUCCAAAAUUGAUAAAAUCUGGAGUUUUCUUUAAAAUUUUAAAAUUUGAAGACUUGUUCUCUUGACACCCUCAGUCAUUAAUUUUACCUAAUUAUGGUUUUGGUUGUUUUGUUCAUAAAAAUGCUUUUACUAAAGGAUGUUCUGGUAAUGAAAAAAUUUAUAAAAAAACAAACAUGGGUGUGCUGAUAUAGUUGGAAAAAUAUGAGUGCAUAACUCCAAACAAAUAAAAGAUACAUAAAAAAAAAAAAGGAGGAUUCUUACCAUAUUAUGCUUUAGUACGCGGCGGAUUUCCUUAGGAUCCCACAACCUACUGCGUCUGCCUGGCUCUUCCUCAGAUUCUUGGCGAACAAUCUCUCGGCCCAUUUCUUGCAAUAAAUCAUGCAUUUGCAAGCAGUUAUCUGACACUGUUAUAAGUGACUUGUCCACGAGGACAUCCAGUCUGUGAGACCCAGAAUCAUCAAGUAUCCUUAACACAAAAUCUUUAUCCUCUCCCUCAAGGAAACACGCAAUAUCUAGAAACAUACUCUUCACCCUGGGCGUUAAUUCUUUAAAACUAAUCUUUAAUGUAUCAUAAAUACCAUGAAUAUCAGAUUCACAAAUCCGAUUUAAGUCGUCCAAUACAUUUUCCCAAUGGCUUUUCCCCUUGAGAUACAGGGAGGAACCCAACACUUUAAGAACUAAUGGAUUGCCAUCGGCAUACCAUACAACCCUCCAUGAGUGCCGGUAGAGAUCUUCAGGACAAUGAUUUUCUUUAACAGCGAAGUUACAAAAAUGCUCGAAAGCCUCAUCAAAUUUCAAUCCAUUGACCCUAUAUAUUUUCUCCACUCCAAAUUUUUCGAGGACUCGUUUAUCCCUGGUGGUUACAACAAUUCUACUUCCUGGACCAUAUUGAUCAAGCCCUCCAAUCAAACCCUCUAAUUGUUCAUCUUUAUUCACAUCAUCGAGUACAAUCAACACCUUCAUGCGUCGGACCCUCCCUUUAGUAAAUUGUGGAAUAUUGGGACCAGCUACUUCAAGUUUUUCACUUAAUAUUGUCGAAAGCAUUUCCUUUUGUAGGUCUUCUAGGCCACCCUCUGUUUCUGAUUUUCUCCUAACAUUUUUUGCAAAGUAUUUACCAUCAAACUCACCAGAGAAUUGAUCGAAAAUAGCUUCAGCAAGGGUAGUUUUGCCUAUACCACCCGUGCCCCAAAUUCCAACAAUAUGGACAGUAUCCCACAAAUCCAUACACAGAAAUGGUUUAAUCUGCUCAAUUCGUGAAUUUAAUCCAACUAGGCCAUUGGAUGAGUCCGUUGAGACUGUUAUUUUUUCCAACUUCUUCAAAACAUCAUCGACAAUUUUGUUUACAAGUUCCGCAUCGUGCCUAAUAUAAAGGUGCAAAGAUGCAAAAACAUUGAGUCAAAUCGGGCCAAGACAGAAACAGAGAAAAGAUGAAUUAGGAAAGAGAGUUACCUGAAUUUCGUGGAUUCAUGGCCGGCUAGAUGGGAUGUUUCUGUCAGUGCAUCCCUCCACUUCUGAACCAUUUCUGGUUUAUCUUCGAACUGUUUUUUGAGCUCAUCAAAACGGUCUCCAAAUGUUCCGUUUUGAUGCCGCACAUCAGAUGGACUUACUCCAUAGAAGACUGGAAUAAUAAUUUGGCCGUUUGUGUUCUUGCAUUCAAGAAUCUUGACAAGUUCAUUCAGGCACCAUUUUGAAGAAGCGUAGUCCUUUGAGAAAAUGACCACCGAAAUUUUUGAACCUUGGAUUGCGUUCAAAAGGGCGGGUGAAAUCUCAUCUCCUCGCCUAAGCUCUUCAUCAUCAAUAAAUGUUUUGAUUUUUUUUCCUUCAUACAAUUUAUCAUAAAGAUAGCAAGUAAAGCUCUUACGAGUGUCCUCCCCUCUAAAGUUGAGGAAGACUUCAUAAUUGCAAGAAGAAGAAGAGGAAGCCAUGAAGGAAAUUCUAGAAAUUUGAAAGUAGAUUUAGGGAAUUAUAAAAAGCUGAAGGAAAUUGGAAUUUUGUACAGUUUCUCCAGCGAGGAACUUUCACCUCCGCACUAGAUUCUUAAGUUUUGAAAAUUAUGAGACCUUUAUAUUGGAAGAUAUUAUAAUCGAAUCAAAACUUAAAAUUUUAAUAUUGUUAAUCUUUAAUCUUUAAAAAAAAAUUACCUCGCCGUUACAGUUUGGAUUAAGAUUUGAGCAAGCAUUUACCUAAAUUUUAUCUCCGCCUGUAAAUUCUUAUGUUUUAAAAAUUAUGAGACCUUUAUAUUGGGAGAUAUUAUAAUCGAAUCAAAAUUUUGAAUUUCAAUAUUAUUAUUCUUUUAAAAAAAAAAUUGAGAUAACAGAGUGAUUGAUAAUAUAGGAGAACUUGUCUAGGCAAGCACAUGCAUACACAGAAAUGUGAUGGAUUCAAAAAGAAAUUAAAGUGAUAAUGUACGUGGAUCCUUAAAAUAAAAAGCGAAAUCGCUUGGUGGCCCAGUAAAAUUAGAGAACAAAGAAGAAUUAGUUAUUGAUAUACAAAAGAGAAACACUCCAAAAUUUCAAGCAAAAAUAGUUUCAUAUACCAUUUCAAUUUUGUAAGGGGUGAGGUUUUGAAUUUCAAUAGUUUCCUCUAAAAUCAAAAGGCAACAAUUAAGUUAGAAAGAGCAAAGAAGACUUAUUAGUACCUUAUUAAAGGUAACAUUAUGGAACUUUCAAUUUCAUUACCUCACUCUUCAAUUUUUAUUGAGAUUUGUGCAAGAAUUUACCUAAAUAUUACCUAAAAUUGAGAUAUCAGAGUAAUAUCAAAUAGAAAAACUUGCCACGGUAAGCCAAAAGUCUAGUCAACCACAUGCAUAAAGCUAAAUAGAACAACUAACAAGAGAACAGAGAAACGCGUGGGUCCCUAAAAGAAAAGGCAAGCACAUAGAUGAAAAAGCCAUUACAUUUCGAUUUUACAUGUCAUUAAUUUCUGUAACACGGUGUGUGGCAGCAUAUGCACAAUCAAGUGAGGCAAAAGGGAUUCGAUUAUCGUGGCAGAACAUGAACGAGGACGCGUGAUGAAUAAUUCCUUCGAUAAAACGAAAAACAAACGCAGAGAAAAGAAUUUCUUAUAUGACAAGAAAUCAAAGAAAUCAAAGUAAUGUUUCAUUUUCCCUUCCCUACCUUUUUUUUGUUUUAUUUUUAUAGCAAAGAAUUAUAUCAUGAAAAGAAUCAAUUUAAUCACCUUUUCUAGCAGCACAAUUUUUCUUUUAUAAAAUUUGACCAGGGAGACAAAGAAUAAUUAUUCAUACCUUCAUCACUAAGGAAAUACUUUUCGGUAUGGCUAAGGUGAGAAAAGGCUUUCCACAAAAACUUGUACUUUGUAUUCCUGUAAAUUUUCUUUAAAGUCAAUAAAAACCAUAAGUUCUUUACAAUAACCAUCUCUUUGAUAAAAAAGUGCCGUAUUCCUUUAGAAUUUAAAACCGGCAAAACUGAAUCAGUGUCUUUGAAGAGACAUAAUGGUCGUAAUUCUUUAAAUGAGUUGGCUAUGGAAAUCGUUAUCCAAGAUUCUUUUACGCCAUAUUCUUUCGUAAACCAAAAUUCAUUUUGGAAUACUCUGUUGAGAAUGUCAAAUAAAACGGCAUUGAAGGAAGUUUUCAAAGGCAGAAUCUGCACUUGUCAGAUGGAUGAUCUGCACUUGUCAAAGACACAAUCCGCGUCGAACGAAUCGACACAUUUCCUUUCGUAUUCACAUAUGCAAUUUUUGAAAAAAUGUAGCUUUUACAUCUAUAAAUAACACUCAGUGUAUAAUGUUUUAUUCAAGAAAAGAAAACAAGUUUCUUCAUGGUAUCAGAGCCAUGAAUACGCUCAAGUUUCUUCAAGUUUCGCUGCUCUGUUUGUAACAAAAACAGAGAAAACCAAAAUCUUCCCACAACCAUUUUUUCCACCAUUUUCUUCCUUAAAAUCAUUCCUACCAUUAUAGAAAUCCAUGCCGAUCAAAAAACAAGCCACCCAUACGUAAAAAACUUGAGUUUACAAAUUUAUCAACAAUCUCAUAAAUUAGAUACAAAACAACGUGAUGUUAAAUCUCCAGAACUGCAGCAGUCUUAAAACGACAUGUCGUUUCUAUUCCAUCAGAACCGACAUAUCAUUUCUUUAAGCAGAGGCCAAACGACUUGUCGUUUUUUUUUUUAUCUAAAAAAGUUAUUUUUUCUUAUUUCAAUCUAGACGCCAAAAAAAAAACAAAAAAAUGGAGAAAACUCCAACUGAAUCUGAUCCUGUUGUCAUUCAAUCUGUUCAAUCUGAUGAGUAUUUAAUGUUGGAAUUAUCUUCACUGAGACAAACUACGAUAUUUGGUCUUAAAUAAUGGAGUUGCAUCUCGCAGAAAGAGAAAAACUCUCAUAUAUUUGUAGCAACACAAAGUCAUCUGAGGAAUCUUCAAAGGAAUAUGAGAAAUGGUAUAGUGAGAAUGAAAAGGUAAAAAAAUGGUUACUCAUAUCCAUGUCUCUGGAUAUCAUGAAGUGAUAUUUACGAAUUCCUACAGCCUACGAAAUAUGGGAUGCAUUAUCAAAAGCCUUCUAUGAUGGAAUCGAUGAAUUACAAGUUUUCACUCUAAACCAGAAGGCGUCUCUACCAAGAAAAAUUGACAGCCACUAUCUAAAUUCUACGGAGAAUUGAUCGAAAUAUUUUGAGAACUUGAUCACCGAGAUAAAGUGAUCAUGAAGGAUCCAGAAGAUGUUGUAAUAUACAAAAGGUCUGUUGAAAGAUUGAGAGUUCACAUUUUUCUUGUUGGGCUAGAUGAAGAAUUUAACCAAGUUCGUGGAGAAAUUCUAUGAAAAGAUAUUAUCCCAGACUUAGAAGAAUGUUAUUCUUUGAUCUGAAGAGAAGAUGUACGGCAAAACAAACUAAACAAGAAGGUCGACUCAGAAACGUUUGCUAUGAUAGCACGACAACAGCCUCAAAGGAAGCUUGUUGACAAGUCAUCACUCCAUUGCACUCAUUGUAGGAAGAAGGGUCAUAUGAAAGCACAAUAUUUUGAAAUCAUUUGAUAUCCUGACUGGUGGGAUACUUGAAAGAAAAACAUCAAGCAGGGAUAAAAAACUGCAGUAGCUGAAUCCACAUCCACUACAGAUCUUAGAAAAGAAUCUUCAGUGCAAAUCGCAACCUCUGUUAGUCCAGGUAAGGCCCUUAAAACUCUUAUACUUGUUAUUAAUAGUACAUGGAUAAUUGAUUCUGGGGCAACUGAUCAUAUGACUUUUGAUUCUCGACAAGUUUCUCAAUUGAUACCAUCUUCACAAAAACAUGUUUCCACUCCAAAUGGAACCACAACCUUAGUUAUUGGGGAAGGAUCUUUACGACUCACAUAUAAAUUAAAUUUAGACUCUGUGUUAAUUGUUCCAUCUUUAGAUUAUAAUCUUUUAUCUGUGUCUCAAUUAACCACUUACUUAUCAUGUGUUGUAAUUUUUUGGCCUGAUCAUUGUGUGUUUAAAGACAUCCAAACGAAGCAAACGAUUGGUUAUGGUAUUAGACGGGGCCACUUGUACUAUUUGGAGAUGACAUCAACAAACACUGGAAAGCUAAGCCCUGCACUAGUCGCAGAUAGUUCCAUAAAAAAAAGGAAAUCAGAAAUUUGGUUAUGGCAUAGACGUUUAGGGCAUGUGUCAUUUGGUUACUUAAAAAAAUUAUUUCCUAGUUUAUUUCUGAAAUUUGAUAUUUGUAACUUUAAAUGUGAUGUUUGUGAACUUUUAAAAAGUCAUCGAACUACUUUUCCAUUGUCCUUAAAUAAGAAUCAAGUUCCUUUUAUGGUAGUACAUUCUGAUGUAUGGGGGCCAUCGAAAGUUUCUACAAUUGGAGGUGCUCGUUGGUUUGUUACAUUUAUUGAUGAUUGUAGCAGAAUGACAUAGAUUUUUCUGAUGAAAUCGAAAGACGAAGUAAACUCUUUAUUUUAAAGAUUUCAUAAGAUGGUGACGACUCAAUUUCAGACACAAAUUCGAGUUCUACAUACUGAUAAUGGAGGCGAGUAUAUGAGCACAACAAUUCAACAGUUUCUGAAAUCACAAGGAACUGUCCAUCAAACCACUUGUGUGGGGACACCCCAACAAAAUGGCAUUGUUGAACGAAAAAACAGACAUUUACUAGAAGUUGUUCGAGCAUCACUAAUCCAGGCCCACAUGCCACUAUCUUAUUAGGGAGAAGCACUGGCAUCCGCAGCAUACUUGAUCAAUCGAACACCUUCAAGCUCCCUUGGAUUCCAGACUCUUUUCCAGGUUCUAAAUGAUGCAAUUAUGUCACCAAAUGUGCCGAAUUUACCCCCACAUGUGUUUGGCUGUGUUGCCUUCGUUCAUUUGCCGCAACAAGACAAAUUAUCUCCUCGAGCACUACGUUGUGUGUUUGUAGGGUAUGCCUUACAGCAAAAGGGAUACCGAUGAUAUGAUCCACCAUCAAGAAAAAUAUACAUCACCAUGGAUGUCGUCUUUCAUGAAGAUAUCAUAUACUACUUGUCAAAGCCUGAAUUUCAGGGGGAGUAUAAUGAAGAGGAAAUUCAUAAUCUUAUAUAUCUUCCACCUAAAGAAGAUCAAUCUUCCAUUGAGGUUGUAAACCUUCAAGAUACUGGAAAAGAAAAUGGUGGUGAUUCUCAGGCUGAGAUAAGUGAAGACACAUUUGGGGAGCAAAAUAACUUAGACACAACUGCAAUCGAGAAUGAGUCACAUGAAGAAAUACCUAACUAAUCGUCUGCAGAGGAUGUUCCUACCACAAGUCCUAGUCUAGUCAGAAGAAUUCUUCCUCAGCGUCAAAAUAGAGGUAUCCCUAAACCCACAUAUGAGCCCGACCUUUCUAGUAGAGUCAAAUACCCUAUGAUUUAUUUUGUGUCUAACCAUCGCUUGUCAGAAUCAAAUCAGUCAUUUGUGAAUCAAUUAUCUACUGUAUCUAUUCCUAAUAGUGUGCAGGAAGCCUUAAAAGACCCAAAGUGGAAAGCGACUAUGAAUGACGAAAUGUGAUCUCUUCAAAAAAAUCAAACAUGGGAACUAGUUGAUCUUCCACCUGGAAAGAAACCAGUGGGUUUCCGAUGGAUCUACACUAUAAAGUACAAAGCAGAUGGCUCUAUUGAACGAUACAAAGCAAGGCUCGUAGCUAAGGGUUACACCCAAACCUACGGGAUAGAUUAUGCCAAUAUGUUUGCACCGGUAGCAAAAAUUAAUACUAUUCGUAUCUUAUUAUCAUUAGCAGUCAACUUGGAUUGGCCAGUGUAACAGUUCGAUGUAAAGAAUGCUUUCCUCCAUGGAGACCUGUCUGAAAAAAUUUAUAUGGAUAUGCCACCAGGAUGUAGUGGACCAGAACGACUCAAUCAGAAAGUAUGCAAAUUGAAGAAAUCAUUGUAUGGGUUGAAGCAACCCCUAAGAGCAUGGUUCGGGAAAUUCACAAAGGCUAUGGUUCUUUUUGGGUAUAACCAAAGCAAUUCAGAUCAUACCUUGUUCAUUAAAAAAUGACAAGGUAAAAUCACUGCCCUCAUUUUCUAUGUGGAUGAUAUGGUAGUCAUAGGUAACGACGGGGAAGCAAGAGAGGCUCUUCAGAAGUACUUGUCGAGAGAGUUUGAGAUGAAGGAUUUAUGAGCCUUAAAAUACUUUCUUGGAAUUGAGGUUUCUCGAUCUAAGGGAGGAAUUUUCCUGUCUCAAAGGAAAUAUGCUUUAGAUCUAUUAAACGAAACGUGAAUGACAGCUUGUCAGCCUAUUGACACCCCAAUAGAAGAAGGACUGAAGUUUUGUAUUACCUCAGACUAAGUUCCAGUAGACAAAGGAAGAUAUCAAAGGCUGAUUGGAAGAUUGAUGUACUUGUCCCACACAAGGCCAGCUCUUGCUUAUGCAUUGAGUGUUGUAAGUCAGCUUAUUCAUAAUCCCGGAGAACAACACAUGAAAGCAGUAAUGCGGAUCCUAAGGUACCUGAAGUCAAAUCCAGGAAAAGGAAUCCUAUGUUCCAAAAAUGGAGAUUACAGCAACAUAGAAGUUUAUACUGAUGCAGAUUGGGCCCGGUCAGUUAGUGAUAGACGCUCUACCUCAGGAUACUUUACCUUAGUGGGAGGCAACCUUGUCACAUGCUGCUUCACUUGCUGCCAAUCCAGUUCAUCAUUCAAGAACAAAACAUAUAGAGAUUGAUGUUCACUUUGUGAGAGAUAUAAUUUCCAACGGCGGAGUGGAAGUAAGAUAUGUCCCUACUGAAUAUCAGCCUGCAAACAUCUUCACAAAAGCUCUUCCUGCUGAUAUGUUUCAACAGUUGCGAGACAAGCUACAUAUUCUUCCUAGAACAUUGCGCUUGAGGGGGCAUUAUGAAAAUAUUGUAGCAGAGCUACCAAACUUGAGUAAUACGAAUUCAAAGUUGUUAGAUGACAUGGCAGCACACUUGGCAUUCAUUGGUGUUUUGGAAAGUUAAAGUGAUCAACCUUAUCUCUUAGCUUAUCAUUAAUUCAAGCUGCACUUUUGUAUUUAUCAAGAUCAAGAUAAAGAUAACAAUUGUGCUAGGCUUGAUCUUAUUCUUGGCAUUAUCGUGUUUCCUGUAGAGCAUUAUAAAUGUAAUGAUUAUGAGAUGAAUAAAAUAACGAAAAUGUGUUUUGUUUCUUCUUUAAGCUCAUCUUUAUAAUUUAAGUUGGUAUCAGAGCAUGGCGAGCUCCAAUUCUGCGAAAUUAGUCAAUAUGAAUACUGUAAACCAAACACCACAAAUUUCUAAUUUUUUGACUCCUGUCAAAUUGGAUAGGCAAAAUUUUAUGAUAUGGAAGUCUCAAGUGCUACCUUCCAUUCGUGGUAACAAUCUUGAAAGCUUGAUCAAUGGAGCAAAACUUGUACCCACUAAAUUCUUGGUGCAAGUAGAAGAGGAUCAAACAGUAACGACUGUGGAAAAUCCAGAAUAUAUACAAUGGCUGAGACAAGAUCAGCUUUUACUUAGUUGGCUUUUGUCCACUAUGACUGAAUCAGUUUUAAGCAUAGUGGUGCAGUAUACAACCUCUUUUGAGGUUUGGAAUGCCUUGAAGACAUUGUUUGCAUCUCAGUCAAAGGCUAGAAUUUUGUAGCUCAAGAUGCAACUCCAAACCACGAAAAAGAAUGCUAUGACCAUGAGUGACUAUGUCAACAAAAUGAAAAAUUUAGCUAAUAGCCUGGCAAUGGCUGGAAAAUAUGUUACUGAAGAUGAUUUAAUUUCUUAUAUUCUUGCAGGUUUAGGAACUAAAUACGACCCUGUGGUUGUAAAUAUUACAGCAAGAACAAAUGAUUUAUCUCUGCCUGAAGUAUCCUCUCUUUUGCUCAAUCAUGAAAGUCGAAUGGAACAACUCUCAGCUGCUGCAAAUCUUGAGUCUAAAGGCAGUUUUAAUGCAAAUUUUGCAGGAGCUUCUUUUCACAAAAGGAAAGUUAUAAGAAAAGGCUUUAUGUCAGGAAGUUUAUGAGGCAAUGAACGUGGUAGAGGCAAAGGAAGAACCAAUUUUAGCCGUGGUGGAAAUAGGCCAACCUGUCAGAUAUGUGGCAAAUAUGGACAUUCAGGAUAUCAAUGUUUCUUCCGCUUUGAUCGGGGGUUCUCUGCAAGACAAGAGGCAACACAAGCAGGUCAAGCCUCUGCCUAUAUGGCACUCCCUGCUGAAGAAAUAGAUAAUGGAUGGUAUUUGGACAGCGGAGCAACACACCAUGUUACAAAUGAUUUAAACAAUCUGCAGAUUAAGUUAGAAUUUAAGGGAGGUGAGAAGCUGGUAGUAGGUAAUGGUAAAACUUUAGCAAUAUCUCACAUUGGCAGUGCACUUAUUUAUAUUCCAAACCAUGAACCAUUGUUGCUUAAUGACAUUUUAUAUGUGCCCAAAAUCACCAAGAACUUAAUUAGCAUUUCAAAAUUACUUUCUGAUAAUAAACUAAUGCUUGAUUUCUGUGACAAUGUUUGUACUCUUAAGGACAAAGUUCUGGGGAAGAAGCUGCUGCAGCGAAAAAUUGAAAGAGGCUUAUAUCGGCUACCAGUGCUUUCAAGACAAGCCAUUCUAUCUGAUUCAAAAAUUAUUUCCAAUAAAUCUUAUUAGUCUUCUCUUCCAUUUAGCUGUUUCAAUUCUAGCUCAACAAUAAGUUCUGUAAAUGAACAAGAAUUUAUUUCCAAUUCCAAGCCUAGCAGUUUUAUAAAUCUUUUGCACAGAAGGAUGAGACAUCAUCAUCUUGCUGUACUAAAACAAAUUCUACCUUUGUGUAACAAAACAAGUCAGUUAAAUAAAAAUCUCAUUCCUCAAUUCUGUGAUGCAUGUCAACAAGGAAAAAGUCAUAGGCAAACUAUCAAAGCAUCAAAUAGUAGAGCUUCAGAACCUUUAGAAUUAUUGCAUCUUGACUUGUGGGGGCCUGCACCUUUAAUGUCUAGAAAUGGCUACAAAUAUUAUUUGAGUAUUGUAGAUGACAACACACGUUUUACAUGGAUAUUUCCACUUAAAGUUAAAUUACAAGCGUUUGAAGCUUUUAAGUAUUUCAAAGUUCAAGCCGAAAAACAAUUAGGAAAGAAAAUCAAAAGUUUACAAACUGACGGUGGAGGAGAGUUUCAAGCAUUUACAAUUUUUUAAAAGAACAGGGUAUUAUUCACUGACUUUCUUGCCCACACACGCAUCAUCAAAAUGGUAGAGUGGAGCGAAAACACCAACAAAUUGUAGACACUGGUUUAACACUUUUGGCAUAGGCUGGCAUGCCACUCACUUUUUGGUGGGAUGCUUUUCAAACAUCUGUUUAUUUAAUUAAUAGAAUGCCUACUUCCAUCUUAGAAAACAAAUCACCAUUUCAAAUACUUUAUGAUGAAGAAUAGGAAUCAAUAUUAUACUAGGAUUAGUUUCCUUAUUAACUAAAGUUUAAGACUUUUAAAUUCCUUUCUAAUUUAGAAUUUUGUUUCCCUUUCAAUUUAGGAUUUUGUUUUACUUCAUGAAUUAGGAUAAUUAUUACUACUAUAAAUAGCUCCCUCUUGUAGCCUUUAAAGGCAGAGAAUUUUGAGUUUAAUAAUAUUUCAAUUUUCAAAUCUCUUUGUGAGUAUUUGAACAGUUAAUUCUCGGUAUUCUGCGAAAUCAACGAGUCUUAAAUCCCUAAGUUCGCGGUAUUCUUUUGAAUCAACAUGAAUUUAGUUGUUCUUUUAUUCUGGUAUUCUCUAGAAUCAACGGAAUAUUUUGAAUAUUAAACUUCCACUGCAUCACUUUACAAGAAAAUACCUGAUUAUUCUUUUCUAAAAGUUUUUGGAUGUGCUGUAUUUCCUCAUCUUCGAGAUUACAACAAACAUAAAUUAGAUUUUUGAUCAGAUAAAUGUAUAUUUUUAGGCUAUAGUACAGCUCAUAACGGGUAUAAGUGUCUCCACAAGUCAGGAAAAAUUUUUGUAAUGCGACAUGUUGUCUUUAAUGAAUAUGAUUUUCCUUUUAAAAGUGAUCCCUCCUUCAAAAUCUCAAAGAGUUAUCCAAAUCAUGAUUCUAGUACUCUCUUUCAGUCUCCUAUGUUUGCAGGUUUUGAAAGUCCUAGAGCCUAUAAGACUCUCUCGGUUAUUCAUGCAACAGACUCUCUACUAGAGUUGGUUCAUAACACAAUAGUUAUAGAUCAGGCAUCAAGUCAAGAUGAGGAAACCAAUUUUGAAUCCAACACCAAAAGCCCACCUGGAAAAGCCAACCUUGAAUCAAGCACUGAAAUCCAAGCAACUGAAAACACCACACAAUCUUUAUCUAUCCCCGCGUUUAUCAAUCAAGAAGCCGAUCACACAAUCUCUCAACCACCUAGUUCAACUCCUCAUUCUCAACAGCCAACACAUACACAAUCCACUCAUCCAAUGAUCACUCGUGCCAAGGCCGGCAUCUUUAAACCCAAACCUAGACUUUACCUAACAACCUCUCAUACCAAAAUAAGUGUACAUGCCAGUGUUAGUGAAGCUUUGGAAGAUCACAAUUGGCGUAAUGCUAUGACAGAAGAAAUGAAUGCUUUGGCUAGGAAUAACACACGGUGUUUAGUUCAACCUACUUCUGACAUGAAGAUUGUGGGAAAUAAAUGGGUUUUUCGGAUAAAACAAAAGGCUGAUGGUUAGAUAGAGCGAUAUAAGGCUCGGUUGGUUGCAAAAGGAUUUCAUCAGACCCCAGGAAUCGAUUUCAACGAGACUUUUAGUCCUGUUGUUAAAGUUGCAACAAUUCGAUUGGUGUUAAGUAUUGCUGUGAUGAAAAAUUAGGGUGUAAUACAACUGGAUGUGAACAACGCCUUUUUAAAUGGAGACUUAGUAGAAGAUGUUUACAUGAUGCAGCCUGAAGGCUUUAUCAACAAAGCACAACCAAAUCAUGUGUGUAAAUUGAGAAAAGCAUUGUAUGGGCUUAAGCAGGCUCCAAGAGCUUGGUUUGAAAAACUCAAGAGAGCAUUGAGUGACUGGGGUUUCACAAAUUCUAAAUUAGACACAUCACUAUUUAUUUUGCAGCAAGGAAGGGAUAUAAUAUUUGUCCUUAUUUAUGUGGACGAUAUUUUAAUAACAGGAAGUAAAGAAAGUUUGGUGCAAGAAGUUAUUGAACGACUUAAUUGUCAGUUUGCUUUAAAAGUGCUCGGACCAUUAAGCUAUUUCCUUGGUCUUGAAGCUCAUCGCACAGAGAAUGGCCUACAUCUUAGCCAACACAAAUAUAUUUGUGAUCUCUUGAAGCGCACAGAUAUGGAUGGCUGCAAGGAAACAUCUACUCCUAUGAGUGUAGUACCGAAACUUUCAGCUGAAGGUGGUAAGCAAUUUUCUGAUCCUACACUUUAUCGUAGCAUCGUUGGAGCCUUAUUAUACGUAACUAUUACUCGGCCUGAAAUUUCUUAUGCUGUUCAUCGUUUAAGUCAGUAUAUGCAAAAUCCUUUACAGCCGCAUUGGCUUGGGUGUAAAAGAAUCCUUAGAUAUUUACAAGGAACAGCUGAUUAUGGAAUUUAUUAUACUACCAAAGGAAGAAUGACGCUCACAGGCUAUACAGAUGCAGAUUGGGCAAACAAUAUUGAUGAUAGAAAAUCAACUGGAGGCUACUGUAUUUAUCUUGGCAAUAACUUAAUCUCAUGGAGUUCAAAGAAACAAAAUGCAGUAGCAAGGUCUUCAACUGAGUCAGAGUAUCAAGCACUUGCAAAUACCACAGCAGAAAUUUUAUGGCUUCAAUCUGUGCUUAAAGAGUUGCAGGUGCCACUAACUGAAAUUCCAAUUAUUUGGUGUGACAACACUGAAGCUGCUUCACUUGCUGCCAAUCCAGUUCAUCAUUCAAGAACAAAACAUAUAGAGAUUGAUGUUCACUUUGUGAGAGAUAUAAUUUCCAAAGGUGGAGUGGAAGUGAGAUAUGUCCCUACUGAAUAUCAGCCUGCAGACAUCUUCACAAAAGCUCUUCCUGGUGAUAGGUUUCAACAGUUGCGAGACAAGCUACAUAUUCUUCCCAGAACAUUGCGCUUGAGGGGGCAUCAUGAAAAUAUUGUAGUAGAGCUACCAAACUUGAGUAAUACGAAUUCAAAGUUGUUAGAUGACAUGGCAGUACACUUGGUAUUCAUUGGUGUUUUGGAAAGUUAAAGUGAUCAACCUUAUCUCUUAGCUUAUCAUUAAUUCAAGCUGCACUUUUGUAUUUAUCAAGAUCAAGAUAAAGAUUACAAUUGUGCUAGGCUUGAUCUUAUUCUUGGCAUUAUCGUGUUUCCUGUAGAGCACUAUAAAUGUAAUGAUUAUGAGAUGAAUAAAAUAACGAAAAGGUGUUUUGUUUCUUCUUUAAGCUCAUCUUUAUAAUUUAAGUAAAGGGACUUUUGCAUAGCCUCUGGUGUGUGUGUGAUUUCUCUUUCGUUUCCUCAUCAAAUUCUGUAAUUCUUGCUUCGAUAAAAAGCUUUUAAUCUCUUCUGUAGUGUGUGAUCAGUGCGUAAUCAUUUUGAGCAAUAACAGCUUGUGGGUUUUUCCUUCAAACAGUGUCGUUUUGGUCAGUUUGUUAGUUUCUGUGUUCGUCUGAUUCCAUUGCUCUUGUUCUCUGUUCUUGAUCUGUUCGUGGAAUUUUUCUUUGGUUAUUUGUUCUCAAAUUUCAACUGUAUAUAAAGUUUGAACUCUGAUUGCUUAUAAUGUAUUGAUUAAGAAUAAUCCUAAGAGUUCCCGAUUGAAAUUUUUAAUGACUAUUUUUAUUGUUUUGGAUAUACAAAUUGAAUUAAGAAAAAAUAUUGUCAAAUUCAGAGGAUAAGGGGAAAUAAUUAUGCUUCAAAAGGCCAGAGAUUAGAGAAUAAAGAAGCAUUCAUUACUCUAUCAAAAAAAAAAAAAAAAAAAAAGCAUUCAUUACUGAUAUACAAACUGCUUUUAUUUGGAUUUUGGAAGGGGUGAAGUUUUGAACUUCAGUUGUUCCUCUAAAAUCAAAAGCAGCAAUUAAGCGUUCUCAAUUAGAAAGAGCUAAGAAGACUUAUUGGUACCUUACUGAAGCUAACAUUAUGGCACAGUUGUUCAUAUAUAAUGGCUGCUCUGUUAUGCUAGCUUCUCUGUUUUUGCUUCUAUUUUUGCUUACAGUUUUGAACAUAAAUUCUUGCUCAAAUAACCCAUAAUUAAAUAACACUAAUAUGGCUCGUGAAAUCCCAUAAUAGCUAAUUACGCAACUUUCUCCUCCUCCUCAAUUCUGUCUUCCCCUGCUCGUACACUAAAUUCAAAAUUCAAUGCCCCGAAAAACAACACAAGAAAUCUUUGAGUUAAUUCGCGACCAGUUUAUAUAUAGUAGCAAUUGAAAAAGGAAAAAGAAUAAAAGAGUUCAUUAUUAUUCAGACCUUCACUUAUUAGGAAGUUUGUUCUGCUGUUGGGUGAGAUCAAGCUCUCAGCAUAUACUUCCACAUUAUACUUUCUAACAUUUUCUUGAAAGCCAUCAAUCAUAAAAUCUUCAUACUUUUUUCCAUCCUUUGGAUCAAUAAGUACAAAUUUCUCAUCUAAAACAGACAAAAUAAAAUCACUGUCCUUCAUGGAACAUAAUGGCUGCAAUGCCUGAACUGAAUUGGCUAAUGAAAUUUGAGUCCAGGAUUCUCUCAGCCCAUAUUCUUUCAUAAUCCAAAAUUCUUUUCUUUCUCGACAUGGAACAUAGUCUUCUUUUCUUUCUGGACAUAUGUCUCUGUACUUUUCUCUCUCUACUGAUCCACACUUUUUCAUACUUCUAACUAUCAUUUUGUUUUUUUUUUGUUAAGUUGUGAUUUAUUCAAUUAUUUUGUAUUUUUAAUGAAAAUUAUUUAAUAUUUAGUUAGUUUUGAUAUUGAUUAGUGAUUGAAAGUGUAUUUUAGAAGACUUCCGGUCUCUUGGAAAAAGGAAAAAUGGAGACGAAGAAGAAGUGUUCUUGAUUUUUUUGUAGGCAUUAAAGUUAAACGGUUUGAAAUGAUAUUUUGUUUUAAUUUCACUCAUUAAUCUCAUUCAGGAUAAAAUUAUAAAUGCAAAUAAAUGGGGUUUCAUGAGUUUUUUUUAAUAGUGUUAAAAGGUCUACUCACUAAAUAAAUAUGUUUAACCCAAACCAAUGCGAUUAGUAAGUUAUUGGGUUGGGUUGAUCAGGUUAAAAAUUAAAAUUAAAAAUUAAAUAAUUAAAAAAGGCAUAAAAACUAUCUGUUACUUGAAAAUAAAAAGAAUUUCUAAUAGUUAGUUCUAAUGUCCCAUAUCCAAAACAUCCAUAUUAAAUAAAUAUUAUAAGUUAGAAAUACAAUAUCCAAGAAAGAAUGAAUGAAAUACCAUAUUUUUGUUGAGAAUUAAGAGUGUGAUUUUAAUUUUGAUAUUGGAGUCUAAAGUGCCACGUUUAAAUAAUCUCUUUUAUAAAAUAAUAAAAAGAGAUUAAAAAUUAGGUUAGCCAUUUAGGCAUUCAGGGUUUAGCAAUUAAGGAUGAACAUAUUAUUGUUGUUGUUUUUUGUUGUUGUUGUUGUUGUUGUUGUUGUUAUUAUUAUUAUUUAUAUGUUUACUAAUCCAAUUUACGUAUAAGUACAAAAGUUUCAAAUAUUGUCUAUUAUUUUUUUAACAUGCCUAUUCCUUGUGGAUAAUUCUGUCUCAUCACUAAUGUUGUUUCUUGCUUACAAUUUGUAUAGCGUCUCAAAAUAGACAAUAGGGGGAUUUUGAAUUUUUUAAGUCUCAAUAUAGUCUCUUAUCUUGUGAGACAGAUUUUCUUUCAAUAAUUUGGAGGUAAACAUAACAUAACUUUUUGGACUAAAGCCUAGCUCUGCUAAUUAGUAAUUGGUGGUAUCCUUUUCAAGACCUGAGUCUUUAAAUUCGAGUUUUAUAUAGUGCGCAUGUGUAUUUAAUUAAUAUUUUUUUAAAAAAAUUACAUCAAAUACUAAUAUUCAUGACAUAAUUUAGUUCAUAAUGUUUUUUUAAAUACAUCGAAAAUAUAAUUUUUUAACAACUUAUAGGCAUGACAAAUUUCAAGAUAUAAAUAUCAGUCAAAAUAAGUGAAAGAAAUAAUGGUGCCAAUUCUAAUUUCUUAACUAAAUUAAUUACUGCAUGAGCCCCCAAUACGGCACGAGAGUUUGAUGGGCUAACUUGGCACAAGAACAAUAGUUAAUUGAUUUAAGAAAUAAUUCAAUGAAAAAUAUAAUUGAUAAGAAUUUAGUAUUGAAAUGAGUUUUUUUCGAAACACUGAAUUAAUGAUUAUUAAGCAAGAACAAUAAAAAAAAUAAAAUAAAAAAUAAAGAUUAACCAUUGAUAAGCUUCAACAAGAACUUAACACAACCCUCAAUCCUAAUUCAAAUUAUAAAUGUCAUUCAUAUAUUCAUUAUAAAUCAAUAACAAAGGUUAUAAAUGUUUAGAAAUUCUAGAGGGAAGGAAGCUAUCGCCGGGCAAUCAACAACUAAAUUUGAUGUAAUUGUGGCACAAGAUGGAAUAUGAAAACUACACCAUAAUUUCAAAUGCCGCCAUAGACAUUGACUUAUCUACAGUAACAAUGAUCUAAUUAAAAUUAAAAUAAAGUUUAUGGGCAUUUAUUAUAUUUGCCAUUCCUCAUUUGCAAAUAGGGAUAUAAUUAUAAUUUUACUUAGUCAAAGCAAUCAGUAAUUUUUAGGGGUGUUCAAAAUUCAAUCCGAUCCGCUCAAUCCGUCUGAUCCGUAGAAAUCCGAUCCGUAAAAAUCUGAUCUGUGGAUUGGUAGAUUGGAUUGAAUUGAAAAUUUGAUAAUCCGCAAUCGGUGGAUUGGGUAUGGAUCUACUUCUGUAAAUUCGUAAAAAUCCGUGAAUCGGCAAAAAAUAAAAAGUAUUUAUUUAUUAAAAAAUAAAACUUGUAAAUAUGGCAAUAGUACUUACUAGUAAAUAAAUAAGUUAAAAUAUAGUUACAUUAACACUAUAUUAUAUCUUAUCCGAUAAUAAUAAAAAAUAAAAAAUAAUUAAAUAAACAAAUAUAACUUUCUAAAUAGUUAAUUUUCAUGUACUGAUCUAAACGAAUGAGAUUUUUUUUUUUUCAUUUUGGUGUGUUAUGUUUUGAACUUUAAAUGUAAUUUUUAGUUUUAUUUAAACAAGUAAUUUAUUUAAAUCUUAUUUAAUUUUAAAUUUGAUCGGCAAUAAAAUUAUUUAUAUUAAUUUUUUUUUAUUUAGUUAGUUCGUAGAUUGGACAGUAUUAAAAAUUUUCAGUCCGUAAACCAAUUCGCAAAAUGGUGGAUUGGAUAUGGAUUGGGUCAAAUCCGCAUCCAAUCCGCAGAUGUAUGAAUUGAAUUUCACCAAUCCAUGAAUUGGAUUGGAUUAAAAAUUUAUAAUCCGCAAAAUCGUGGAUCAGAUAUGGAUUGAGGUCCAAUCCGUAAAAUUUGAUCCGGAAACACCCCUAGUAAUUUUCUUCAUUAUAGGAGUGAAGUAAAAACAUUUAGAUUUUAAUGUAUGUACGGAAAAAUUUAUCUUUAAAAAUACUUUCUUAAUGUGUGUAUAUAUAUUGAAAUACUCAAACCAAUUUUGGUUAUUAUAUAAUUAAACAAAUUUUAAAAUAUGAAAAAUAUAAUGUAGUUAUAGUGGAUAAACAAUAAGUGAGCGCAAUAUAAUUAAUCAAAUAUCAUGCCAUCAAAAGUUAAUUUUAGAAAUUCCAAAUCCAACAGCCAACACAAUUCUUUUAAAAAAAAGCUGACACAAUUAAUAAAAUUAGUGACAUGAAUUUCACACCAUUGAUAAUAAGCAAUUAGUAUUACUUUCUAAACUUGCUUCAACUGGUCGUUGAUGUCCGGGGUCACCAAAAGUAUAAGCAAUAAUAAGGGGCAUUGGGCAAGAGUGAUGAAUGUUUAGUCGGUGCAUUUGAUUGCUAGAUAUAUAAAGGGCCGAAACUUGAGAUUAUAUUACUUUUACAAAUUUUAAUCCAAUCACAUAUUUAAUGAAAACAAAAUGAGUUAGGAUACUUUAUUUAGAACCCACAUUUUAAUAAGGCUUCAUUUGAUGUAGUUUUUUAAACAGUGAUUAUUUAAGUAAAUUUUCCUCAAUAGAGUUUUUAUCAAACAAAUUUAUUUAUUUAGUUGUCGAUAAGAGUUUUUAUUAAAAAUUAUAAAAUUAUUUAAAUAAACAUGUUUUUUAAAAUUACAUUAUAAAAAUAAUUAAAUAAAAUUAUAAAAGUAAAAUAUAUUUUAGAUAUUUUAAUAUUUAAGAAAAAUUUUCAAUCUCUACUUUCAAAAGCUCAAAUUUUUAGCUUUUAGUUGUAGAGACAAAAUAUUUUAUUUAAUCUUUAAAAGUUAUGCUAAAAACAAUCAAAUAACUACAAAAAUUUUAAUAAGAGUAUAUAAAAUUAAAUGGUAAUUUUUAAAAACCUCCCCUGAGGUUUGGGCUUGUUGCAAGUAGAUGGCGAGAAUCCAUUUAUUUGUAACAAACCCCCUACCGUCAGUUAAUUUUUGCAUUAACCGUUAGUUGACUGUGCAAAGACAAUAUUGUCCCUAAUGACAGUUUGUAGACUGACAUAGCUAAAAAAAAUGCUGAGAUUGUCGGCACGAAAAUCACAAAUAAUUUUUUUUUGACAAUUUUGUCCUUGUUAAUUCCAAGAUUUACAAUGUCAUAAGUAAGGAUUAUGACUAUUUUACCCUCUUAAAAUUAUUGAUAAUUCCUUAAAAUUUCUACAAAAAAGAUAAAAUUAAAAACUUGAAGAAAAAUAAAGUUCUCAAGCCGGCUAACCAAACACAUAGAAUAAAAAAUCCAUCGUUUGACAACAAAAACAACUUUCCAUAAACCCAAACAAAAAUAAACAAGUCCCCAUUACUCUAAUUGGCUUUGCUUGGAGCUGUUACUAUUGUGCAUACAUUUCUAGGCAAAGCAAAAUGACCCCAUGAUAUAAACCUUAUAAAACAUGCCUCCACUAUUCUUAAUUUUGGUAUAAUAAUAAUAAUAAUCACAAAAAAUUAAUUGAAAACUUGACUAAUUAUCUUUGGUGGAGAAUUUUAAACCGAAACCGAUUCAGGAACCUUAAAUUGAUCAAAAGGAAGCUAAUAAUGACAAAAAAGUAACCGAUCAAAAAUCAUUAAGCAUAAAAAAAUAUUGAAUUUAAAUAACUAAAAAUGCCAUCGGAAAUUGAAAUUAAUUAUUUAACAUAUAGCAUGAAAACAAAUCUUCACUAUUGGUGCUAGGCGGCUGUCGUUUAGCUUGGUUCUAAGAGGUGGCAGUCAGUCAACUUCGAGACGGUGCGUUCGAAGUCAACUAAGCUGCAGCAGAGGUUGCAGGGGGCAGAUUGCAGCGAAGUCGCGGUGGAGCAGAGGUCGCGUCGCGGUGGAGAAGAGGUCGCGUUGCGCUGGCUUGGCUUCACGGUGGUGGGAUGGCUGGGCGGGCUGGCCAGCUGUGUGCGCAUUGUAUAUGAUUGUUUUUCACUUUUUUAAUAUUUUCUUGUGCAUUAGUUCAGAUUAGAUUAGUGAGUUUGUGUGUGUGUUUGCAGUUGAUUUGGUUAAGAUAUUUAGGUUAAAAUAAUUUUUUUUAAUAAAUUUUUUUUUUCAAAAUGUCAACAAUGCCCACAACUACCCAAAUGGCAACUAAGCAGAGUAAAAACGUAGGGGUUUUUUUUUAUAAAUAAAUAGAUUCUCGUCAUCUAUUUGCAACAAACUCAAAUCUCGGGGGAGGUUUUUAAAAAUUACCCUAAAAUUAAAUAAGCAUUUAUUAAUAAUCACUUUGGUAUACUUAUCUAAUGACCAUAAGUGUUUAUUUAAUCUCAUAAGUUCUUAUUUAAUCUCAUGAGCUCUUUUCAAUUUUUUUUGUUGUUUGUUUUUUAGUAGAGUUUUUGAAAAUUAAAUAAACUAUUUUGUCUCUACUAGAAAAAACUCAAAUUUUAGAUUUUUGUGAGUAAAUGUUUAAUUUUUUAAAAAAAUAUUAAAAUAUCUAAGAUAUCUUUCCUUUAUUUCAUAAUCUUAUUUCAUUUUUUCAUAACAUAACUUUCAAUAACUUACCUAUUAAAAUAAUUUCACAAUUUCUAAUAAAAACUCUAAUUGACAAUUAACAAUUUUUUUUUGUUUGUAAAAACUCUAUUUAUAAAAAAUCUAAUAAAAAUUCUAUUUAAAUAAAUUAUAUUUGAAAAGGUGUACUAAACCAACCUAAGAUAAAAACAAAAAUUUUUACAUCCAGACAAUUAAGCUUAAAACAAUUUCAAAUGAAUUUUAGACUAAUCAAAGUACAAUACGUACCAAGUUUGGUAACUUAUUGACAUCUUCUCAUAUAACCUUCGAUCAAGUCGAUUCUCACCUGACGACUAAUUGGUACAUCACCGUUGUUCUCUAUACUCGCAUGCAUCCGAUCACAAAUCUCACUCCAAUUGUCGUCUUUCUUCGGCGUUUUAGCACAUCCUUCUUGAAUUUCCCGCAUUUCGUUCCCUCCUGUUACAAGUCUCCGGUCAGGUCAGUUCUCUUGACGAUUAAUUCGGCAAAUCUCGAAUCUCUUCUCGCGUCGUUUCACUUCAAUUUUUUGUGUCUCCUUUCAGUUUUAGUGAUUGAAUCAAUUUUAUUGCAGUCUGAGAGAAAUUAAGUAAUGCUCUUGGAUUUAAAUUUUUUUUGCUUUCGACUUUAGAUCUCGAAAGUCAAACUCUGCUACGAAUCCUUAGAUUCUCAAUGUUUAUAAUCUUAUUUGUGUUUGACCAGGUAACUGGAUCGUGAAAUUCGUCGUUUUGUAUCAAUUCAAGCUUUCGCGAGCUCAUGGAAUCACCUGGUGAGUUGUGGUGAAACGUUAUCGUUUCAAUUUUCGCUUAAUUCUUUAUUGCAUAUUUUUUCUCUAACAUUUCAGUUUAAUUUAGAAAAGAAAGAGGACCCAAAAAGAGAGAGAGAGAGAGAGACUCUACCAUACUCAAUUCCUUGCUCAUUCUGAUUUGGCCUGAAUGUUGGCAUUGACUAUUAUUUGUUUUCAUUUCGAUUUAAUUCUCAUUUAGACAGUCUUUACUAACGGUCAAUAAUAGUUUAAGGAAAAUGAUAAUAGGGAUUCUGCAAUAAUCUUUUUAAGGAAAAUGAUAAUAGGGAUUCUGCAAUAAUCUUUUUAAGGGAUGUAUAACUUAUUAAUCAGAGUCCUGUUAUUAUGGUUUGACACUACUGACAUAUUGUGUUGGUAUUUAUUUGUACUUCCCUUGGUUGAAUUAUUUGCUGUCCCCAUGCCAUUCGAUAUGGUGCUACUUGGUUUUUGAUCAUCCAUGACGCUAUAUAUAUGUAAAGGAUGAAUUGAUUGUUUUGGCUUGUAUUCUCACAUUUUAUGAUUGAUCGAUGGAAAGGUCUUCAUGUAUUAAAUUCAACCUCACAAGCGUAAGAUUGACAGAUUCUGGGCAAAUUUUCAGGAAAAGAAACUAGACUUCAUGGAAGCAAUGAAGCUUGAAAUUGAACGUCUGCAGCUGAAAGGGAUAGAGCUUUAUUGUCAAUUGGAACUGAUCCUGCCUCUAUAAAUCCAAAUGUAUUGCUUGAUGAAUCUUACAUGGGAAGACUGUCGAGUAGCAACCACUCUUGCAUUACUUGGCCAAACUUCCCUAGAAGACAAAAUUGUUGGUGCAAUGGCCUUGAGAAUAGUGAUGAUAGUGUUUUAGACUUCUGGAAUAUUACUAGAAUCGGAGAGAGUUGUUCUGGUGGCGCGUGCAAGGUUCGUGCAGAAACUAAGGUGCCUGCUCUUGCUUCCUCAACUGCAGCAUCUGUUGGAGCUUCACAAUCCCCUUUGUUGUGUUCUCUGUUGUGUUCUCUGUUGUGUUCUCAAUGUGAAAGAAAAGUUUGCAAAGUUUGUUGUGCAGGAAGAGGAGCUCUACUGUUUUCAAAUUAUAAAUCAAGGGAUGUGACCAACUACAAUGGCUUCUCAAGUCAGAGUGGAUCAAGCCAUGGAAGCCAAGUUGAUGUAUCUACCAGUCGUUCACUAACACUGGAUGGCGUUAUCUGUAAACACUGCUGCCAUGAGAUUGUGCUUGAUACAAGUUCACAACACCAUUACAAAGGAUUCAAAAUUCCCACACGAAAACAUCAAUGUACAGAUUAUAAACAAUCCGAAUUGGACACAAGAAAAACCCUUCAAUGGAUUGCUUGCCUUCCCAAUGCUAUAUACUGUGCAAACUGCGCACUGUCCAAGAAAAUGUUUUCAAUUUAGUGUAUUUUCAAAAUGCUUAUUUUCUCAGAAUAUAUAAAAAAAAAAAAAGAAUUCUUACAUGUUUCAUCAGCAUGAUUAAAAUCAAAGAAGAAAGCGAGACAUAAUGUCUCUGACAUAAUAAAAUUACAAAAAUUUAAAAAAAAAAAAGUUAAAACAUGUAAUCUUCAUAAGCAUAUAAUAAAAUAACACUUCCACAAAUUACUACAAUUUCAUGCAGUAGAGAUUGAAGAGUUGAAUUCCACUUAUAGACACCGACCUCUUAUUUUGUCUAAUGUUAACAAUGAAAAUAACAACAGUAAUGAAAACAACAACAGAAUACAACAACAGAAAACAACAAUCCGCUCUGCAAAUUCUCUUGGGACUUGGUUCCAAUUCCUCUUCAUCCGAAGUUCCACUCGAAUCAAAUUCACUUGCAGCAGUUCCACUCGCGCUUGGCAAAUCAUCCAAUUUCCAAACUUCGGUAGCAAAAUUGAGAGUAAAAGUGUUGGCUUUGGUCUCGCUGGGAUUUGCAUAUACUGGACAUACUCCGUAACGUUUUACCUUGUGACCCUUUUGGUUUUGGUAACAAUUAUUGAAGAACUUAAGUGAGACAGUUGUAUGAUGGUAACCAUCAGGAAAGCCAACAUUCAAGCAAGGUUUAAAACCAAGUAUGACAUGAUCUGAAUCAAGGGAGUAUUUAUUUCUAACACUUGUGGUUGCGGGCCCACUGAAACCUAGAUCAACAUGUUUGGUUUCAGAGAGAGUCUUUAUUUCUAAGUCGAGUUGAGAGCGGCCGAAAACAUUGCAGCAAUAACAAGAACCAACUUUCUUAAAAUUAAGAACCGCACAAAAAGCAAACCCGAUUAAGUUUCUGCAAGAAGAGUGCGGUGGCAGUUGAAUACCUAUCGAAGAUCCUGAACUUUGAUUGUUGAACCAGUCAGGAAUUUCGCUCCCAGGUAAAACAAUUAGGGAUGUCCUGAGUUCAGAAAGUUUCUGUGAAAUGACAUUUAAAAAAAGAAAAUUGUAAAAUGAAAACCAUGAUUUCAGAUAUAACAAAGAGGGACAGAGUAAACAAGAGAGGGAACUUGAUGCGUUCUAAAUGUUCCAUUUUCUCCAAGAUUUCUGGGAAACGCUCAAGGUUCAAGCAGCCAUGAAGAAAAAGCUCAACCAAAGAUUUCAAUUUACAAAACCUAGUUGAAAUCCUCUUCAGCCGUUCGCAAUCCCUCAAAUCCAACUUUUCAAGAUCAGUUAGGCACUCUAUUGAUGAUGGAACUUCUUCUAUUGCAGACUGGCUUAAGUAUAGCCGUGUAAUUUUCCCAGAAAUCUGUGGAAACUCUACGAGAUUAACACAAUAGGAGAAAUUAAUAGUUACUGGACAAACAAAAUGAAGAUUGCUUGGAAAAGACCUAAGACUUUUGCAGCCCACAAAAUCCAACCUACUGAGAUACUUGAAAUUCUGGAUAGAUGAGGGAACACAAGCCAUUUCUCCUUCCCAAAUUUGCUCAACUUUACUAAAACGCAAAUUCAGUCCAACAAGGUUCUUUGGCUUGAAAUUUGAUGGCAGUGUCCUUAAUGGAUAUGUGUCCCAAUGAAGAUAUCUCAAUUUUUUAGGAAGAUAAUCUAGGCCAUUUGGAAGCUGCACUUUAGAGUACGAAAGUUGCUCUUCAAUGCUCAUACUUAGAAGCUUUUCAAUCUCAUACUUAGGUACAUAAAAUUUGAGCAAUCUCAGAUUAGACAUAUUUGUGAAGGCUCCGGGGUCUAAAUUGAUGCCUUUUAUUUUGGACAAAUCCAAAAAUAUGCCUUCAAUUGCAUCGGUCCCCUUAUUAAAAAAAAAAAAAAAACAAAGAAUGGGUAAGCCUAAAACAGAAAAGAAACAUUCGUAAACUUUAUUAACUAAGAGCUCCUAAAACAAAACAAAUUCUACGAUCUUUGAUCUUAUUUUUUUAAUAUAUUAAAUAUCUAUAUGCGAGAAAAGAAAAUUUUGGGAACCAUUGCAAAAUUAAACUAACCGAAAAAAAAAAUCAAAAUUUCUCUAAUUUACAAACCUGUUAUCUUACUAUCUAGAAGUUGAGAAGACAGGGCCUAUUUGAUUGGUAUAAGAUUUCGAUUUUUUUUUUAGUCCAUAGAAUCCAAAAUGUUAGUUCAAAAUUAGGGAAAAAAAUGAAAGUUAUUUUUUUUCCACUAGUUGUAAUUGUAUCCAAGUCAAAUUGAGAUAUGACCCUUUUCGAAAGGAUUUAAUCAUCUUAUAGCCUCCUUAAAGGAGUGAUUGGAGGCCUAACUAGGUAGGCCAAUCAGUCCAUUUUAUUAGCGACUAUUGCUUAAAAACAUUUAUACUCUAAAACACACUUACUUUUUUGAAAAAAAAAUAUAAUUAUAUUGAAGUAGAACCAGGUGGGCCAAUCCUCAUGGCACUCACUUUGUUCUGACACUCUUCACUAAAUUUGAAAAAAAAUAAAAUUAUACUCUUCACACUCUUAUUCAACAUUCCAAAAUUGAUAAAAUCUGGAGUUUUCAUUAAAAAUUUAAAAUUUGAAGACUUGUUCUCUUGACACCCUCAGUCAUUAAUUUUACCUAAUUAUGGUUUUUAUGAUUUUGGUUGUUUUGUUCAUAAAAAUGAUUUUACUAAAGGAUGUUCUGGUAAUAAUAAAAUUUAUAAAAAAAAACAUGGUUGUGCUGGUAUGAUUGGAAAAAUAUGAGUGCAUAACUCCAAACAAAUAAAAGAUAUAUAAAAAAAAAUGGAGGAUUCUUACCAUAUUAUGCUUUAGUACGCGGCGGAUUUCCUUAGGAUCCCACAACCUCUUGCGUUUGCCUGGCUCUUUCUCAGAUUCUUGGCGUCGCCCCAUUUCUUGCAAUAUAUCAUGCAUUUGCAAGCGGUUAUAUGACACUGUUAUGAGUGACUUAUCAACAAGGACAUCCAGUCCAACAGACUCAGAAUCAUCAAGAAUCCUUGCCACAAAAUCUUUAUCCUCUCCCUCAAAGAAACACGCAAUAUCUAGAAAUAUGCUCUGCACCCUGGGCGUUAAUUCAUCAAAACUAAUCUUUAAUUUCUUAUAAAUAGCAUGAAUAUCAGAUUCACAAAUCCGAUUUAAGUCGUGCAAUACUUUUCCCCAAUGGCUUUUCCCCUUGAGGGAGGAACCCAACACUUUAAGAACUAAUGGAUUGCCAUCAGCAUACUUUACAACUCUCCGUGAGUCAGGUUUGAAAUCUUCAGGACAAUGCUUUUCUUUAAAAGCGAAGUUACAAAAAUGCUCGAAAGCCUCAUGAAAAUCCAUUCCAUUAACCCUAUAUAUUUUCUUCUCCUCCACUCCAAAUUUUUCGAGGACUCCUUUAUCCCUAGUGGUUACAACAAUUCUACUUCCUGGAACAAAUUGAUCAAGCUCUCCAAUCAGACCCUCUAAUUGUCCAACUUCAUUCACAUCAUCGAGUACUAUCAACACCUUCAUACGCCGGACCCUCUCUUUAGUAAAAUGUGGAAUAUUGGCACCAGCUACUUCAAGUUUUUCGCUUAAUAUUGUUGAAAGCAUUUCCUUUUGUAGGUCUUCUAGGCCACCCUCUGUUUCUGAUUUUCUCCUAACAUUUUUUGCAAAGUAUUUACCAUCAAACUCACCAGAGAAUUGAUUGAAAAUAGCUUCAGCAAGGGUGGUUUUGCCGAUACCACCCAUGCCCCAAAUUCCAACAAUUUGGACAGUAUCCGACAAAUCCAUACACAAAAAUGGUUUAAUCUGCUCAAUUCGUGAAUUUAAUCCAACUAGGCCGUUGGAUGAGUCCGUUGAGACUGUUAUUUUUUCCAACUUCUUCAAAACAUCUUCGACAAUUUUGUUUACAAGUUCCGCAUCGUGCCUAAUAUAAAGGUGCAAAGAUGCAAAAACAUUGAGUCAAAUCGGGCCAACACAGAAACAGAGAUAAGAUGAAUUAGGAAAGAGAGUUACCUGAAUUUCGUGGAUUCGUGGCCAGCAAGACCGGAUGUUUCUCUCAGUGCAUCCCUCCACCUCUGAACCAUUUCUGGCUUCUCUUUGAACUGUUGUUCGAGCUUACCAAAGCCGACCCCAAAAAUCCCAGUUUGAUGCCGCACAUCGGACGGACUUACGCCAUAGAAAACCGGAAUAAUGAUUUGGCCGUUUGUGUGCUUGCAUUCAAGAAUCUCGACAAGUUCAUACAGGCACCAUUUUGAAGAAGCGUAGUCCGUUGAGAAAAUGACCACCGAAAUUUUUGAACCUUGGAUUGCGUUCAAAAGGGCAGGUGAAAUCUCAUCUCCGCGCCUAAGCUCUUCAUCAUCAAUAAAUGUUCUGAUUUUCUUUCUUUUAGACAAAGCAUCAUAGAGAUGGCAAGUAAAGAUCGCACGAGUGUCCUCCCCUCUAAAAUUGAGGAAGACUUCAUAAAUGCAAGGAGAAGAAGCCAUGAAGGAAAUAUUAGAAAUUUGGUGACAGAAACAGAGAAUUAAUCUUGAGAGCUGAGAGAGGAGAUGUAAGAAUGAACAUGUGUGAAUAUUCUUGCGAGUACAUAGUAAAUAAUUGAAUGGCUCGAGCUUUCUUAGUUUCCUGGAAAUUUCCUGGAGCUUUCGUAUACAUGAUUUGUCAAGUCAAGAAACAUAGUCAUGAUAAUGGGGCAGACCAGGAAGAAAAGGAAAUUGGAAUUUUGUACAAUUUCUCCAGCGAGGAACUUUCACUGUCAUUACCUCACCGUUACAGUUUGGAUUAGGGUAAUUUUUACCCCGCACCCAAAUGUUUUGACAUACAGCACAACGCACCCAAUUCUUUUGCCCAUGAGCACCGCGCACCCAUUUCCGUUUAUUUUUCAGUUAACUGUAACAGAUCAGGGUAAAAUUGGAAUAACGCAUCAAAAUUUAAAAAUAAAAAAAUAGGUAAACUCGAUGUUUGCGCCAAAAUAAUUUCACAUCACUGUGCUUAUGUUCACUGCGUUUGCGUGUGAGACCAAGAAGCAUGGCCACACCUCCAUUGAUGCCAAAAUCGAGGAGGUGGGUGAAGAAGAAUUGGCGCCAAAAUCAUUCACAUAUGAUGUGCAAGGAAAUUAUUUCAGCCUUUAAAUACUUUUUUAUUACAGCAGCAUCAGCUAUUGCUCUGUUUCGAAGAUCUGCUCAAUUUCUAAGACAAUAGUUGGUUUGAGAGUUUAAGGGAAGUGAAUCCACUGAGCGUGCUAUUGAAGAAGUGGAGGUCAGUUUCAUUUCUUGCUCAAUUGUUUUAAUUUAUUCCAUUUUGUUUGCAUGUCAAUUAUUUACACAUUUUUAGCUGGAUUUUGCUUAUCUAUAAAACUUGAAUCAUUGUUAAUCAAAUCAGCUAUAAUUUACGCCUCAAUGUGGUUUGUAAGUUUAAGUUAUGUUGGAUUAUACCUGAAUAAUGUGGUGUUUGCGUUAUUGAUUUCAAUUUCUAUUGAUGAUUUUGAGUAUACAUAUUAGUGGAUGAAAGUUUUUAAUUAGGAUGAUUGGUCACGCAUAUAUGUCAUAGCAACUGUGUUUUUUUGGGUUAUGGUUGUACUGUAGAUCAGUAGUAGUAGUGAUUUGGAUAUAAACGCUAGUGCUUUUAUUGUAAAUGAUAGUGAUGAAGAUCCAGUGUUACAGAAUUUGAUGUAAAAGUUAUUGGUUUUUGGCUAAAUAUCUUAGAUAAAUAUGAUGCUCAUGCAAUCAAAUCCAAUGCUUAUGCAAUUUACACCAUGUUUAUGAUAAGUAAUUAAAAAAAUAAAUGACUAUUCCAGGUGAAAAUGGAUGAUGAUGAUAUUACAACUGUUCUUUGUACAUUCAAGGGCAAGACAUAUAAUGUUGGUGUAAUUGAUCCAGAUAAGUUUAGUAGAGUUUCUGUAAUUAACAAGGUUUUAGUUAGAGUCUAUGGAAGAAAGAUGAGGCCUGAUGAGAAGUUUACACUAAGUGUUUGGGUACCAUGGGUCUAUAAGGAAGUAGAGAUUAUGUCUGAUCAUGACUUAAUAUUCCAGCUGAGAGAGCAUAAUAAGAUGUUGUUCUACUGCAUGCAAUUGUAUAUUGAAGAAAUCCAUGUACCUCAUGAGUUUGUACCUAGAAGGGCUUUGUUUCAGCACUCAGCAGAAGAAAGCUUACAAGGGUAUGCUGAAACAAACUUUCCAGCCACUACUGACCUGCACAAACCUUAUACACAUGCUACAUCCACCAACACAAAUCCUUAUGAAAAUGACAGUAAUGACCAUUCGAACCAUGAACCCCCUGUCAAGAACUCCAGCAGCAUAAUGAUGCAUAAUGUUGCACUUGAUAGCAUCCAAUCACAGACCAAACCAGAUACCAACCCUGACCUAUAUCAAGACUUUUUGGAUACCUAUUUCAGAUCAUCACCACAACAGAAAACACCAUCAGCUGCCCAAACUAAUGCCGAAAAUAGUGAUAGUGAUAACACAUCUUCAUUUGGUACAAAUAAGACUCCUACUGAGCAGCUUCAACAAAACUUUGCCAUCUCUUCUGAGUUGUCCCCUUUAUUGCAGCAACAUGGACAUCAUGCAUCCCAAAAUGAACCUAUACCUUUUCACCAACCUGAGUUCUCAUCUCAACCAAUAACUCAAAACCCUCAGUCACAAGUUGUACAAGCAGAAAACUUCCAGCAACCAGAAGCCACUACACCAGCACUAGUAGAUUAUAACUCAGAUGAUAGCCAUUAUAGUGUAACUGAUAGUGAGGAAGAUCCAGAUCAUCCAUUAGGUGCUCCAAACAUUAAUAAUACUCCUAGGAAACCUUCUGUUAAUGUUGACUUAGGCUCUAUGCCUUCUGAUGAUAGUGAUGAAGAUUGUAUGCUAUCUGAUUGUGAGAGUGAUGACAAUGAGUUUGGGGAAGAAUCUGAUGAAGAGAUUGAUCAAGUGCUGGUCAGAAUGGAUGCUGUUAUGAGAGAGAACAUGUACAUUCCUAGUGAUACACCUGUUCAAUUCUUUAUUGGGCAGUGUUUUAGGAACUUCAGGCAGCUGGCAUGGGCAAUAAGGACUUAUGCUGUGGAAAACAAGUUCAAGGUUUAUAAGCACAAGUUUGAAAAAUCCAGAGUAACUGUUGGAUGUAAUUAUUUCAGGUGCCCAUGGUUUUUACAUGUUGCAAAAACUAGAUUUGGACAAACCUUUAUUGUUAGGAGGCUUCACAACGUACAUACAUGUCAGAGAGACUUAAAGAAUCCUGAAUGCACUGCAGAGUUCAUUGUUGCCAAGUUUGCUGCAACUAUAAUUGAGCAUCCAGAUACAAAGGUUGGGUGGAUUCAAAGUGAACUUAGAAGGAUGUAUGGAGCUAAGAUACACAAGUAUAAAAUUUAUAGAGCAAAGAAGAAGGUUUUACAGAGACAAUGAGCUGAUUAUGAGUCUAGUUACAUGUUGAUCAGAAAUUAUGCUCAGGCCAUACUUACUAAGAUGCCACAGGCCUUGGCAUUGGUUAAGGUUUUCAGGAUGCAUGGUCAACAACCUCAAACUCACUUUGACAGCACUGUUAUAUCUUUCCAUGCCCUCAGAGAUGGCUUCAACCAAGGUUGUAGACCCUUCAUUGGUAUUGAUGGAUGCCAUUUGAAGGGUCCAUAUAAGGGUGUUCUUUUAUCAGCAGUUGCUAUUGAUGCCAACAAUGGAAUCUUCCCACUUGCAUUUUGUGUAUGUAGUGUCGAGAGUACAACCAGCUGGACAUGGUUUCUAAGCCACUUUAGGGAAUUUUUACAAGAUACAAGACAACUGACCUUUAUGUGUGAUAGGCAGAAAGGAAUUCAGAAUGCUCUUGCCUUAGAGUUUCCUAAUGCACAUGUUAGAUUCUGUGCUAGACACAUCUUAGCAAAUAUUAAGUUAAAACAUCCUCAAUCUGACUUUAAAGCAUAUUUCUGGGCAGCAGCAAGAGCAUCAAACAGAAGGGCAUUUGAUGAUGCUAUGCAAAACAUAAGAGCAGCACAUGAGGGUGUAUAUGAGACUCUUAGGAGGAUACCACCAAAUUUCUGGUCAAGGCAUGCCUUUGACAAUAAUUGCAAGUCUGAUCAUUGCACUAACAACGUAACUGAAUCUUUUAAUGCAUGGAUUGGGAUUCAAAGAAAGUUGCCAAUAAUCUCAAUGCUGGAGUGGAUUAGGAAGAAGCUGAUGAAAAGAAUGAUUGGAAGAAGAAAUAAGGCAGAGUCUUGGGACAGUGAUAUACCAAGAAGAAUUUAUGCACAAAUGAUGAAGAAUUUACAGAUUGGCAGUGCAAACCCUAUCUGUAGAGCUAGUAAAUGGCUUUAUGAAGUGGAUGAAAAUACCAAGACUUAUAUCGUUGAUCUUGAACACCAUAUGUGUGACUGCGGACAAUGGCAAGUUAGUGGGAUUCCAUGUGUACAUGCAAUGCCUUGUAUUGUGAAUAGUCAAAAAGAUCAAGCUCAGUUCAUUAGCCAAUGGUUGAAGAAAGAUACUUACCUAAGGUGUUAUUCUGGAUUGAUUAAACCAAUUCCAGAUAGAACGUCAUGGGUAGAUGCUGGUGGUGAUGAAAUACUGCCCCCUUUAGUGAGAAGACCACCUGGACGACCUAAGAUGACAAGAAGAAGAGAAGCUGAUGAGGUACCAGCACAUAAUAAACGAUACAAGAUGCAAUGCACUAUUUGCAAGGGAUUUGGACACAACAGAAGGGGUUGUCCUGUUAACCCUCAUAAUGCUCACAAGACAACAAGACAAUAUAAGGUGAGUGUGUAUGCUUGUAAGAGAAUAUUCAAUUAUUUUUUGAACCAUGUUCCUCCCAUGUGAUGACAGCUAAUGUGCCUUGUUUGUUUGUGCUUUUUUAUAGAAUAACCUGAAGAAGCACGUGACAAGGACAAAUGGGGAGCAAAGUGAAGGUAUAAGAGUAAUUUACUAAGUUAUAUUACUAUAUUACUUUACAGCUGUAUUAGAUAAUUAUAUAGUUGUGUAUCACCAAACUAUAUUAAAUUAACUUAUUUAUUUAACGUUGCUUUAUUGGUAAUUUAUAAGGCCAAGUUCACGGAAUUACCUCAACUAUUUUGGAAAGCCAAGACAAUGACAUGGUCCAAGUAACUGUCUCAGGCCAAAACAUAACAAAGAACCAGCAGACUGCAUCUAACAAACGCAAGAUUGGCAAUCAAGCAGGGCCAUCAAAAGCAAAUGAAGUCAUUGGCAAGAGCAUGAAUGGGGUCAUAUCUGUAGCUCCAUGGGUAGGUGAACAGGGAAGAAAAGUAAUGUCAGCCGCUGGAUUAACCUUCAGCAAAGAGGAUGAAGUCGGCAACUAUACUGAAAUGAAGCAUUUGGACAAAGGGAAGGCACCAGCCUUCCCUUCGUAAAGGGUAAAACCAUAGUUUUCUAUUGAUAUAAAUUAAUAUUGGUUUUGGAAAUGAUAUUUAUAAUUUGUAACUUGUUUUGUAGUGAUUCUUUGGCUAUGAUGGAGACAUUGGCAGCAAACUUAUUAACAAACAGUGGAGGCAACAUUAUCAUUUUUUGACACCUUCCACAAUGCCACAUCAACCCACCAGGCACAAGGUUAAGGUUAUCUGGAUGCUGAUUUCAUUAGGAUCAAGUGGCCAAGUAAUGACCAGGCAUGUCAUUGUUUUCUUUUUCUUUUUUAUUUUGGAGCUGAAAUUGGUGGAAGUUGUUGGACAUUAAGCUUAAGCAUUAUAGAGCUGGAAGCUGUGAUGACCUACUAUAAGUAUGAUUGGAAGGGUUUAUGGCAUUUUGAAAGUUUUUGGGAUUAAGAUACAUAUAGGACUGAUAUCAACCAAACCAACACUUUUUUUUUUUGUUUUUUGGUCACAUGUAUGUAAACACCAGAUUGGAUGUGACUAACAUUGUAAGUUGCUGCCAAUAUGCAUUUAUAGAUAAAAUAACUUAUUGCUAUUAUUGAUAUCAUAUUUGAUUAAAUGGUAUAUGUCAAGAAACGAAUGCAUUUUAUUGAUCAUAAGAUUUCAUUUUACACAUUGUUCUAGCAUUCCUUACAGUACAAUACAAGCAAUACAAGUAUAGUUAUCACUAUAAUCGUGAUUUGAUACUUCUUAUUUUUAUGAAGUAAACCUUCAAUAUUGAUGAACCUGUUGUGGAAGUCCUCAAUGUUAAAUUGUUGAAUCUCACUUGCCCUGUCUGCAGCUUCUUCUUCAAACCUUUGUAACGCUGCUUCAAUUUCUAUAGCCUCACCUGUAGAUGGUUUCCACCAUCUAAAGAAACCACAAGAUGGGUCAUUAGGGCAUGUGUAAUAUAGUUUGUUGGGGUUUGUUUUUGAUUCUGACACUUUGAUUUCUGCCCUUCUUCGACAGUAGCAUACUGUGUUAUAGAACUUGAUGAUGCCCCCAUUGAUUUUAGGUAAAUCCCUUCUUCUGUUAUAAGUUGAUGAACUUGAUGCAUUCCUUGAAGUGGACAUUUUCUUCAAAUUUCCAAUGUCGUGUCUGUUAUAUUCUUUUUGAAAUACAGCACAACGUAUCUGAACUUCAAGUUGUUGUGCUUGUUUUGUGUGUGAAUGAAGCUGCUGUUGAAGUUGUAUUGUUUCGGUGGGUAAAACCAAAUGUUGUACUACUGUAAGUUGUUGCUGAGUAAAAAAAAUGGUGGAGUUUCCAGGUGAGUCAAUGAAAAUCACUGAGGUGUGAAGAGGGUAGGAAUUUAUAUGUGUUAAACAUCACAGCUUGUGGUGAUGCAUCAGCUCAAAUUUAUCAAUUUCUUUUACUGUUCUUGUAACCAUAUAGCCGUUAUUACUGUUGCUCAGAUUUUAUAGCCGUUGGAUUUUUGAUGCGCAUGGUAAUAAACCAAUAUGCUAAGGGCAAUAUAGUCAAUAUAAUUUAACAGUUAUAGUUGGUCUUCGUGUGUAAAUACACCUUUAAAUAAUGGCCAGUGGUAAAUUCCUUAGUUCAAUGACUCACCUGGAUGCAUUUGAAUUCAACGCAAGGGUAUAUUUGUCAUUUAAUCAAAAUAUAGACUGAUCCGUUACAAUUAACUAAAAAAUAAACAGAAAUGGGUGCGCGGUGCUCAUAGGCAAAAGAAUUGGGUGCGUUGUGCUGUAUGUCAAAACAUUUGGGUGCGGGGUAAAAAUUACCCUUUGGAUUAUGAUUUGAGGGUGCAAGUAUUUACCUAGAGUUUACCUCCGCACUAAAUUCUUAAGUUUUGAAAAUUAUGAGACCUUUAUAUUGGGAGAUAUUGUAAUCGAAUCAAAACUUAAAUUUUUUAUAAUGUUAAUAUUUAAUCUUUUAAAAAACAAUAACCUCGCCGUUACAGUUUGGAUUAAGAUUUGAGUAAGUAUUUACCUAAAUUUUACCUCCGUCUGUAAAUUCUUAAGUUUUGAAAAUUAUGAGACCUUUAUAAUCGAAUCAAAAUUUUGAAUUUCAAUAUUAUUAUUCUUUAAAAAAAAUUUUGAGAUAACAGAGUGAUUGAUAAUAUAGGAGAACUUGUCUAGGCAAGCACAUGUAUACACAGAAACGUGAUGGAUUCAAAAAGAAAUUAAAGUGAUAAUGCGAAAUCGCUUGGUGGCCCAGUAAAAUUACGACUGAAUUUUUUUUUUUUUUUUUACAAAAUUCAAGCUCAUAAAUGACAAAUUUCAUUUCCCUUUCACACGUCAUUAACUUUUGUAACAUGGUGUGUGCAUCGUCAAGUGAGGCAAAAGGGUUUCAAUUACAGUUGGAAAACAUGAACAAGAAUGCAUAAUGAAUAAUUCCUUCGAUAAACCGAAAAUUAAGCACAGAAUAAUCCUAAAAUUUAAACUCUAAUAUCUUAUAAUGUAUUGAUUAAAAAUAAUCCUAAGAGCUCCCAAUUGAAACUUUCAUAAGUAUUUUAAUUGUUUUGGAUAAACAAAUUGCACUAGGAUAAAAAUUUGGCAAAUUCAGAGGAUAAUGGAAAAUAGUUAUGCUUCAAUAGGCCAAAGAUUAGAGAACAAAUAAGAAUUAUUUAUUGAUAUACAAAAGAGAAACACUCCAAAAUUUCAAGCAAAAAUAGUUUCAUAUAUCAUUUCGAUUUUGAAAGGGAUGAGAUUUUGAACUUCAAUAGUUUCCUCUAAAAUUAAAAGGUAGCAAUUAAGCUAAAAAGAGCAAUGAAGACUUAUUGGUACCUUAUUAAAGGUAAACAUUAUGGAACUUUCAAUGUCAUUAUCUCACUGUUCAAUUUUUAUUGAGAUUUGUGUAAGCAUUUACCUAAAUCUUACCUCCGCCUUUAAAUUCAUAAGUUUUGAUUAAUUAUGAGACCUUAUAUUGGGAGAUAUUAUAAUCAAACUAAAACUUAAAAUUUCAAUAUCAUUAUUCUUUAAAAAGAAAUUGAGAUAUCAGAGUAAUAUCACAUAGAAAAACUUGCCCACGGACGGUAAGCCAAAAGUCUAGUCAACCACACGCAUAAAGCUAACUAGAACAAGAGAACAGAGAAACGCGUGGGUCCCUAAAAGAAAAGGCAAGCACAUAAAUAACUUUCAAAAUGCCCAAGCAAAUACCGAUGAAAAUCACUGUUUAAGAAUAAUUUAUUAUGUGGUUGAAGCUUUCUUUUUAUCAAUCUUCUUUCUACCCAUUAAUUUUCCCACGACUUUCCCGUUUCAUUUCUUGAAUCUCCAUGGAUUAACUUUCAAUAAACCAUAAAAUAAACUAAGGAAUCAUUUUCUCGAAUACAGCUAUGAUUUUAAUAAAUGGGCGGACCAUCUAGAAUAGUAUAUAUAAUUCUGUUUAAUUAAUAAGUUGAAAAAACCAUCAAGAGAAAUUCUAAUAUUAUGAGCUUGACACGAAUUCUUCACUAAUUCCAAAACAAGGAGCUGUUUUAUAAGAACUGUGGUUGGAUUAUUAAGUUUUACAAUUUGAAUAUAAAUAAGAAAAUAAAAUCAGUCGCGUUGAUGUUUUCGAUACAUUUCGCUGCUAACUUUUUUUUUUUUUUUAUUACAUGAGACUAUUGCUCAAAUUACAACUCAUAUUACAUGAGAAUAUAACUGAUAUUUACAAAUCAGACUAUAACUGGGACCAAUAUACAUCAAUACUAAUGGAGCGCUGCCCAGAUUUUAACCCUCUCAAAUAUUCAAGGGAUGUCUACACCUCACACUUGGGUAAGGAAACAGACUGUCUUCACUUAAAUUUACUUGAGGAAUGAAGACCCCCACAAUACAUUGUGGGGGUUCACCACUCGACCAAAGGCCGAGUGGCUCAUUUCGCUGCUAACUUAAUUAAUUACUUUACUUCAACUUUAUUUCCUUAGGGGCACUUUAUGGUGGGUCCAAGAUGGGACCUACAAUAAUCAAUCCUAAAAUUUAGUAUGGUUACCAAAUAGCUAGUAGCUAGUGUUAUUUUGUGUUUGGUGGAAGAGAUUGAAUAUUUAGUUUUAACUUAACCAUUCAACUAAUUAGAAAAUAAAUAAAAUUAAAUGAAAUGUUUAGAUAUCAAUUUAAAUAUUAAUAUCGGGGAUAUAAAUUAGUUAUAAUAUAGUUCAUUACAUAAAAUUGAUUAAAUUAAUAAUUACCCGUGAACAUAGAUGUAUAUGCUUUCCAAUUUCCAAAGUGCUCAAAGCACUUUUCUCACCAAACUUUCCUCUGAAUUUCCCGUAGCUGACUCCUUUGUUUGCGUUUUGUGAAAUUUCUAGGAACUUUUUUCGAUUUAGAAUAUUGUACAUUUUUCUUUUCAGCUGAGAUUAAUUUAACUUAUAGAAAAUCUUAUCCUUUUUUAAUAUUAUUUAAAUAAAAUUUGUCUAUCUUUUAUUUUAUUAGUCUACUUUUUACCCAUUAAUUAAGACUUUUCAAUUUCUUUUUUACCUGAGGUUUUCAGUGACUAUCUUUCAAUAAACCAUAAAAAUUACUUAGUCAUUUAUCGAACAAUUAGAUGACCAUAUUUCAAAAUAUCAACUAGAAGUUGUCCUGAAAUAUUUAAUUAAUAGUUGAAGAAUUGUGAUUAGUGUGGGCAUCUACAUAAAAAUUAUAUUAAAACACCGCUAAAAGAUAAAAAUAAAAUAAAAUAGUACAAACAUACACCCAUAGGUUAAAACAAAGAAAAAACACGAACCAAUACACUAAAAUGUUUUAGCUGUAGUUAGUUUUCAGUUUCAUUACUUAAGUCCCACGUGCAUGUCACGUGACUGAGGUCAAAAAAUGAUUGUCACAUUAAAGUUCAAAAUACGGAGCAGGGUAAUUAAGGAGUGGAGCUAUUGGCACCCCUCCAUUAUUCUUACAAAACUCCACUUUAAAUCAAAAUAUAAUUAAGAAUAAUUGAAAAUUAAACACUUAUAGAUUUCUUUACAACAUGUUGAGUGAUAAAAAAGCACCAGUCGGGCAUGUCCCCAUUUCUUACCCGGUGCCGAAUCUCCACGGUCGAAUGGUAUGAGUAGACUCUUGGUGAUGUCUUCUAUGUGGAGCACGUAACAACAGACCAGGAACUAGUACCAACCAAAAACGAGUACUGAUCGAAACAAGCAUGACCAGAAACGCAUACCGACCAGAGACUUGUGGGUCCGUAAAAGAAAAGGCAAGCACACAAAUGAAAAAGCCAUUACAUUUCUAUUUUACAUGUCAUUCCUAAUUUUUGUAACACGAUGUGGCAGCAUAUGCACAAUCAAAUGAGGCAAAAGGGAUUCGACUAUCGUGGCAGAACAUGGACGAGGACGCGUGAUGAAUAAUUCCUUCGAUAAAACGAAAAACAAACGCAGAGAAAAGAAUUUCUUAUAUGACAAGAAAUUAAAGUAAUGUGACGGAACAUGAUGAAGAAAUUGCAGAUCGAUCAAUUAUCCCCAUGGACUCCUAUAAAUUCAACCAAAAUAACAAUUCCAAUAUUACCAAAUUCUUGAGUUAAAUUUAUUCAAUGCUUUUUUUUAAGAGAAAUUUUUUCCAAUGCUACUUUCCCUUUUUUGGGGAAAUUAGAACUGCGGCAUGUAUAGAAGACAUUGAGGUAUAAAGCAACAUUAAUUUCAUGGGUUAUGCGUUAUACGCAUAAUAUAUUUUCAGUCCAAAUUCAACUAUGCAAAGAGGCUUGAGAACUUAAAAUUAAGCACAAACUAAACAGACGAAGUAAAUACAUGAUUAUGCAACAUAACAUUAAUUCUCUUAAUUUAUAACCGUUUUGCCACAUGAAUCUUGCACAGUUAAUCCUAAUUGAAGACUAAAAAAGAACAAUUGGAACAAGGUUUUGAAAUAGAAUGAUAGACAAUCGAUAUGAUCCAUUUCCAGUCGUCAACGCUAAUUAACUGCAGUUUCUAGACUCCUAAUUAUACUAGCCAUAAGAAACUGUUUAGAAAACUGGUGAUCAGAUUAGAUUUUGAAAUGAAAUAAUGUUCAUUUUCCCUUCGUUACCCUUUUAUUUAUUUAUUAUUUUUAUACCAAAGAAUUCUAUCAUGAAACGAAUCAAUUUAAUCACCUUUUCCAGCAGCACAAUUUUUCUUUUAUAAAAUUUGACCACAGAGACAAAGAAGAAUUAUUCAUACCUUCAUCAGUAAGGAAAUACUUUUCGGUAUGGCUAGGGUGAGAAAAGGCUUUCCACAAACACUUGUACUUUGUAUUCCUGUAAAUUUUCUUUAAAGUCAAUAAAAAUCAUAAGUUCUUUACAAUAACCAUCUCUUUGAUAAAAAAAGUGCCGUAUUCCUUUAGAAUUUAAAACCGGCAAAAUCGAAUCAGUGUCUUUGAAGAGACAUAAUGGUCAUAAUUCUUUAAAGAGUUGGCUAUGGAAAUCCUUAUCCAAGAUUCUUUUACGCCAUAUUCUUUCGUAAACCAAAAUUCAUUUUGGAAUACUCUGUUGAGAAUGUCAAAUAAAACGGUAUUGAAGGAAGUUUUCAAAGGCAGAAUCCGCACUUGUCAAAGGGAUGAUCUGCAUUUGUCAGAGACACAAUCUGCGUCGAAUGAAUCGACACAUUUCCUUUUGUAUUCGCAUAUGUAAUUUUUGAAAAAAUGUAGCUUCUGCAUCUAUAAAUAACGCUCAGUGUAUAAUGUUUUAUUCAAAAAAAGAAAACAAGUUUCUUCAUACUCGUCGUCCGAACAUACAGAGACCGUCUCUCAUAACUUCAGCCGAAUACUUAUGAUGAUGAUCAUUUGUGAUUUCAUCAGGCAUAGGGUUGAUGGUGAAAAAUUUUGUAUGUGUGAAGAAUUGAGCUGUGGAUAUAGGGGACUUAAGUGUAAUCGAAAGAGAGUUAUUAGGCCAUAGUGUAGAUUGCAUUCAGUUUAUGAGUCGAUAUGCAAAUAAUUUGUUGACGUGGCGAAAUUUGUUAUGGUCGUUACUAUUGUUUCUGGAAAUUUUCUAGAAACCUCAGCAUAAAAGGGGCUUUUGGAUAGCCUCUGGUGUGCGUGUGAUUUCUCUUUCGUUUCCUCAUCAAAUUCUGUAAUUCUUGCUUUGAUAAAAAGCUUGUAAUCUCUUCUGUAAUUGUGAUCAGUGCGUAAUCAUUUUGAGCGAUAAAAGCUUGUAGGUUUUUCCUUCAAACAAUGUCGUUUUGGUCAGUUUGUUAGUUUGAUCUGUUGGUGGAAUUUUCUUUGGUUAUUUGUUCUCAAAUUUCAACCUUAUAUAAAGUUUGAACUCUAAUGGCUUAUAAUGUAUUGAUUAAGAAUAAUCCUAAGAGUUUCCGAUUGAAAUUUUUAAUGACUAUUUUUAUUGUUUUGGAUGCACAAAUUGCAUUAAGAAAAAAUAUUGUCAAAUUCAGAGGAUAACGGGAAAUAAUUAUGCUUCAAAAGGCCAGAGAUUAGAGAAUAAAGAAGCAUUCAUUACUGAUAUAAAAACUGCUUCUAUUUGGAUUUUGAAAGGGGUGAAGUUUUGAACUUCAGUUGUUCCUCUAAAAUCAAAAGCAAUAAUUAAGCAUUCUCAAUUAGAAAGAGCAAAGAAGACUUAUUGGUACCUUACUGAAGCUAACAUUAUGGCACGGUUGUUCAUAUGUAAUGGCUGCUCUGUUAUGCUAGCUUCUCUGUUUUUGCUUCUAUUUUUGCUUACAGUUUUGAAGAUAAAUUCUUGCUCAAAUAACACAUAAUUAAAUAACACUAAUAUGGCUCAUGAAAUCCUAUAAUAGCUAAUUACGCAACUUUCUCCUCCUCCUCAAUUCUGUCUUCCCCUGCUCGGACACUAACUUCAAAAUUCAAUGCCCCGAAAAACAACACAAGAAAUCUUUGAGUUAGUUCGUGACCAGUUUAUAUAUAGUAGCAAUUGAAAAAAGAAAAAGAAGAAAAGAGUUAAUUAUUUUUCAGACCUUCACUUAUUAGGAAGUUUGUUCUGCUAUUGGGUGAGAUCAAGCUCUCAGCAUAUACUUCCACAUGAUACUUUCUAACAUUUUCUUGAAAGCCAUCAAUCAUUAAAUCUUCAUACUUUUUUCCAUCCUUUGGAUCAAUAAGUACAAAUUUCUCAUCUAAAAAAGACAAAAUAAAAUCACUGUCCUUCAUGGAAUCAGAAUUGAGCUUACAAAAACCGAAGUGGACAGUUCCAUUCAGAUUGGUCGCCCGAGAACAAUGAUGAGAAGACUUAAAAUCAGUUUCAAAGGUUUUCCAAGUAUUGUUCCUCUAAACCACUUGUAUAUUUUACCAGAACUCUUGGUUAAGAAAAUCCUAGUCCAUGGAGUAUGAUAUAUCAAUCAUGCAACAAUGACCUACAACAUCUAUGUGGAUUGAUUUUUGCAAAAUAAAGAACAAUGCUGACUGAGGAAUAAGGUGCAUACCCGAUUAGCAAUAUCUCAGCAAGUAACCAACAAUUUUUUAUCUGAUAAGAAAAAAUUACAAUUUCUUGAAUAUACAUGAAACAUUUUGCAGAAAGAACCAUGUCAUAAUUAUUAGUCCAACUGAAGAAUUAUCAAUACUUAUCACAUGAAACGAAAGAUACCCGAGUUCACUUAAUGAAAUUCUCUUUUUUUUUUCUCUAACAUUGAGAUAAGCAAAAACUUUUAACUAAAGACAAUCAUCUAGUGAUCUCAAACAAAUGAGGUUAGUAUGAAACCAUCAUAAUUUGUUCGCUCAUUGCCUAAUUUUAUUAAUGCAAGAGCCUGGAAGCAACUCAAAAAGAAAAUAACCGACAUAGGAAGUGUCAUCUCAUAUCUCACCAAUGAAUGGGAACAGCUUGAUGUGGCUGAGCAAACUGGCAGAAUUGUCAUUUUAACACACGUUCAAGAAACUCAGCAAAUUCUCAUAUCUGUUUAAAUUCCACAGCAAAGAUAGUUACAAGAAAUCUAAUCAAAAUUUAAAAUGUCAGAAGGCAAAUCUUCCAAUUAGGAUCAAAAGAAGAUAAUUAUAAUUUGUCAUUUCAAUUCUGAAUGUACAAUUUUAUUUUUUUAUGUGUGCAUUAAUUAAGAUUCUACCUUCUCUGCAAAAUUGUGAUGGACUUGGUAAAUAAUGAAUUGUAUCGACUUGAAUUUUAUACAACUUAUUGAGAUAAUAAUACGCCAAAUUCAACACCGUCCAUCCCAAAUCACAACAAGAAACUCAAACUUUUAUCCCCUCAAGUGGGUUCUUGAAACUGAAGCUUUAGUGCCAGUACAAUUUUGAAAGAUUGUGAUCAAACUAAAACAUCAAAUAAAAUAAGACGUAACAAAAACACGUCUUCAGAAAAUUAGUAUAGGAAUAAGAUAAGCUACACAGACCUACUUCAAUGAAUUAGAAAAAUUAUGAUAAACUUGAUGCAUUUCGAAAAACAACAAACAAAUAUUCCCAGGAAAACAAAAAAAAGACAACUUUGUUUAAGCUUAGACAAAAAUAACUAAGGACAUAUGAAUGCAUCAUAAUAGUAUCUCUAUGGGUAAUUUUCAGAAAUCUCCCCUAAGGUAUGGUGUAUUCUUAGUUUGAUAGAAAAUAUCUAAGUAUUCUUAUAGACCUCCCCUACUGUUAGUAUUCCAUUUCGUAUAUGUUAGGUAGAUGAGGGUAAGAUCGUAAUUUGAAUAAGUUAAUGAUAAAAAAUCCAGAAAUUUUAAGAUUUUCACAUUGGCCUCUGGGCUUUAUUCAUCUCUUUCAUCCACCAAAACCAGAAAUACAACUCACCUCUCUCCUCCACCUAAAUCGAAGCAAGGUAGCUCAAAACUCAUUUCAAAAAAUUGAUCAAUUACUUGGGUCACAAACUAGAGACAAUGACGACGAAGUUGAUGACGCCAAUAUCGACGACGAAGCUGAUGACGCCAAUAUCGACGACGAAUGAUUCGCAACUGCCAGGUAAGAGAGUAUAGUAGGUUUCGCCAUCGAACGCCCAAUCAUCCAGUUGUUUUGGAGCCGCGUUAUUUUUAUUAGCUAAAAUUAGAAUUUUUAGUGAAAAAUUGAAAGUGGGUCUCAAAAUUUUUUGAGAGCGUAUAUGUUUCUCCUGAUUUUUCGAUCGAUUCGUGUUAGUUGCAGUUAAAUGAUUAAUCCAAUUCGUGUUGAAGAUAGAGCUAACUCGAAUAUCUCUAUAGUCCUGUAAUUGAUUGAAAAUGGGUCUUGAAAAUUGUUUUAGAUUUCAGCUGUGUGCUUCUGAUUUUUUCCAUGGAUUCAUGAUAGAUGAAAAUGGUUGAUGAAGAUUUGCUUGACAUGUAUAUAGAUGGUAUUUUGUUAAAGGGGUUUUAAUUUUUUCCUUUUUUGGUGGUUUCGAUUGUGGUAUUUACAUGCCUUAGGUUGAGAAAAACGAAAAUGGUUUGUUGCACUCUUUUGUGUUGGAUCAGUGAGUUUAGGCGAUUUGAAAUGGUUUGCGGCAUUCAAUUGAUUGUUUUAUUUAUGUGGUUUGAUAUGGGAAAAGUAUAAUAAAAUUCAAUUGUUCCAUAUGUCAAUUUGGAUGUUUUGAAAUUAUGAACUACAAAAAGUUAAAAUUAAUUUCUUAUUAUAUUUUCAAUUGAAAGUUACUAUUGUCUUCUUUUUAGUACUUAGUAUGCAUUUUUCCCCAUCUUCUAGUGGUGGUGUUGCACCCAUUUUGAAUUUGAUCGGCAUCUUCUUCUGUACAUGCAUGUUUCUUGGACUCCAAUUUUUGUUUCAUAUGAUGAAGCUAAUUUAAUUCCUCCUUUUUAAUAUCAACUUUGUUCAUCUAGGUUUGCGAUUUUGAUCUUUCUCAUUUGAAGGCAAACACAUUUAUGUCAUCAAAAUUUCCAAUAUUUUUUAUUUUAUAGUAUCCAAACUGCUUAUGGCAAUAUGAAAUUGAGAAUAUUUCUUUCAUCAUGUUAACCUAAGUGGAUGGUGGAUGAUGUUUGUGUAAGAGAUUUAAGUUAUUUGUAUUAUAGAAUAUGUCUUAUGUUUUGAUUUGCAAUUUCACCAUUAAAUUGGCUUUGUAAAUGAUUAGAAGCUAAAUGCAUAAAAUGAAAACAAUAGUAACAUUUCUGAGUGGGGUAUAAUCAGAUGCUAACAUGGCGAUCCAUGACUUGUAAUUUCUAUUGUCGUUAUAAUUGGACUAGAUCGAGGUAAACUGACUUUUCUUGUUCUGUUUUUUUUUUCAUUUCUUUGUUCUAGAUUUUUCUUUCUUUGUUUUACUUCUGGUUUCUUCUUCAGCAUAUUCAAUAACUAGCAUGAGCAAAUGGAGAGGAAAAGGGUAGAAUAUGCUUUUAAAAAAAAAGAAAAGAAAAAAAGAGAUAGCUCUAAUUCAAAAAUAAGGAGGAGAAAAGGGCAAUGAUUGAAGUUGUGGAGAAGAAAUUCUUAAUGCAUAGGAGAUGACAACAAAGUGUUGCAACUGGGAGCAGUUUUAAAGUGCUAUUCGAUUGCUUUUGUAAUCAAAUUGUCUUUUGUACCUAUUUAUACACACACAUAUUUGUAUUUGUAAUUUGAAUUUUACAUUUUCUCAAGACAACUAUGUUUAUUUUAAAAAAAAUCUAAAUGUAACUAAAAUAUUAAAGUUUUUGUACUUAUUACUCCAUUUGAUGAUUUUUUUUAUUUUUUUGCUGACGAAUAUUCCAUGUCAAUUUUUUUCCCUUCAGCUCGUUUAAGGUGUUUUAUUGUCUGAUGUGAUAUUUGGUGCUCGGGAGGAAGGGUGUUUUAAGUCUUUUUUGGUGUCAGGGGCAAUUUUGUCUUUACAUCAGUCAACAAAUAGUCAAUGGAUGGAAAUGCAAACAGCAGGGGAGGUGUCUGAUAAUACACGGAUACUUUCUAUCAAACUUAUAAUACACAAAAUCUCAGGGGAGGUUUUUGAAAAUUACCCAACUGUGCAAAAUUAUGAAAAAAAUGAGCUAAACAUAUAUAGCAUUUCAGAGGAGUGCUUACUUGACAAAUCACUAAUACAAAGCUGCGAAUGGGCAUUCGGAAUGUUUUGAGAGACUCGUAUGGAUAAAAUAUGUAGUUAUUUAAGUAAUGACAGAAGGAGAAUCGUGUGGCUUGUCAAAGCCGUUAGCUCCAUCUCAUUUGCCUCGUCCUCUCGUUUUGUUUCUGUGGGGACAUAUUUGAUAUUUUGGAUUUUGUCUAAAAUUCGUCAUGUUUUUGGAUACUAACAUCUGCGCCUCUAGACCAAUAGCCAUUUGAUUAAGUGGGAGAACCCUUACACUAGUGUAAGAAUUUGAACUUUUAUAAAAUUAUUUAUGAGAUUAUUUAUAAUUUUUUUUAAUUAUCAAAUAAUUGAGUAGAGUCAGUUUAAUCCUUACGAAAUAUUUACUAUUCAUAAAUAUCUUUUUUUUUCUCUAUCUUACAAUUGAAUAUUCUCUCUCUACUCCAACAUUAUGUAACCUAAAUAUUUAAUUUCACUCUUUUUUAAUUUAUUUUUUUGUCUUUUCUUAGUAUAUUAUAAUCUUUAUUUCAUGUUUUCUAUAUAUAAGAAUUUUUUUAUAUCUAUUAAAUUUUGUGUUUAGUGAAAAUUAAUUUCUUGAUAUUUUUAAUUUUUAUAAUUGAUAAAAAUAUAUCAAUGUUCAUUUUUAAAUGAUGGGUUUUGUUCAUUUUAGUUUGUUAUAUUAAUUUUUUGUAGGUAAAAGAAUAUAUUUGAAUGAAUUGAAGGAAAAUUGUGAAAUUGAGAAGAGAAAGAGAAGAAAAAGUUAAUUAAAUAAUUUUUUCAAAAAUUAUUUAAAUAAUAAAAUUCUUAAUUAAAAACAAAGAUGGAGAGAGAAAUUUAGUGGGUUCAAAAUACUUAUUUUAAAUCCAAAAAAGAACCAAUAAAAGAAAUCAAAAGAUGAUUCUUUUCUUUCUGACAUAUUUCUCUGUACUUUUCUCUCUCUACUGAUUCACAAUUUUUCAUACUUCUAACUAUCAUUUUAUUCAAGUAUUUUGUAUUUUUAAUGACAAUUAUUUAAUUUUUAGUUAGUUUUGAUAUUGAUUAGAGAUUUAAAGUGUAUUUUAGAAGACUUCCGGUCUCUUGAAAAAAGGAAAAAUGGAGAAGAAGAAGUGUUCUUGAUUUUUUGUAGGCGUUAAAGUUAAAUGGUUUGAAAUGAUAUUCUUUUUUAAUUUCACUCAUUAAUCUCAUUCAAGAUAAAAUUAUAAAUGCAAAUAAAUGGGGUUUCAUAAGUAUUUUUAAUAGUGUUAAAAGGUCUACUCACUAAAUAAACAUGUUUAACCCAAACCAAUGCGAUUAGUAAGUUAUUGGGUUGGGUUAAUCAGGUUAAAAAUCAAAAUUAAAAAUUAAAUAAAUAAAAAAGGUAUAAAAACUAUCUGUUACUUGAAAAUAAAAAGAAUUUCUAAUUGUUAGUUCUAAUGUCCCAUAUCCAAAACAUGCAUAUUAAAUAAAUAUUAUAAGUUAGAAAUACAAUAUCCAAGAAAGAAUGAAUGAAAUACCAUAUUUUUGUUGAGAAUUAAGAGUGUGAUUUUAAUUUUGAUAUUGGAGUCUAAAGUGCCACGUUUAAAUAUUCUCUUUUAUAAAAUAAUAAAAAGAGGUUAAAAAUUAGGUUAGCAAUUUAGCCAUUUAGGGUUUAGCAAUUAAGGAUGAACAUAUUAUUGUUGUUGUUGUUAUUAUUAUUAUUAUUUAUAUGUUUACUAAUCCAAUCCAAUCCAAUUAUUAACGAAUUUGAAAAAAUUGAUUCAAUCAAGCCAUAAUAAUUCAUUCAACUCGUCUAAAUUGGAUUAGGUUGAAUUUGGUUUGCCACCCUUGUUUUGAGCAACAAACCUCAAUGUGAUUCCAUGAGCUCUUUGAUUGUUUAUAAAAUUGUUUAUGAAAGUGCAAAAUAAAUUAUUGUAUACAUUAAAAUGUGCAAAACAAUGAAUUAUAUGUACGAACGAGUGCAAACACAUUUUUCAAUAAGAAGUUAAAAGAUAUUUAUGCAUGAAAAAGCCUACGUUUGUAGUUAUUCUAAAUUUUAAAAACAAAAUUUACAUUUAGAUCCCUAAAAUUUACGUAUAAGUACAAAAGUUUCAAAUAUUGUCUAUUAUUUUUUUAACAUGCCUAUUCCUUGUGGAUAAUUCUAUCUCAUCACUAAUGUUGUUUCUUGCUUACAAUUUGUAUAGUGUCUCAAAAUAGACAAUAGGGGGAUUUUGAAUUUUUUAAGUCUCAAUAUAGUCUCUAAUCUUGUGAGAAAGAUUUUCUUUCAAUAAUUUGGAGGUAAACAUAACAUAACUUUUUGGACUAAAGCCUAACUCUGCUGGUUAUGGUGGUAUCCUUUUCAAGACCUGCGUCUUUAGAUUCGAGUUUUAUAGUGUGCAUGCGUAUUUAAUUAAUAAUUUUUUAAAACAAUACAUCAAAUAUUAAUAUCCAUGACAUAAUUUAGUUCUUAAUUUUUUUUUUAAAUACAUCAAAAACAUAAUUUUUUUAACAACUUAUAGGCAUGACAAAUUUCAAGAUAUAAAUAUCAGUCAAAAUAAGUGAAAGAAAUAAUGGUGCCAAUUCUAAUUUCUUAACUAAAUUAAUUAGUGCAUGAGCCCCGAAUACGACACGAGAGUUUGAUGGGCUAACAUGGCACAAGAACCUGAAUAAAUAAUUGAUUUAAGAAAUAAUUCAAUGAAAAAUAUAAUUGAUAAGAAUUCAGUAUUGAAAUGAGUUUUUUAUGAAACACUGAAUUAAUGAUUAUUAAGCAAGAACAAUAAAAAAUAAAUAUUAAUCAUUGAUAAGUUUCAACAAAAGCUUAACACAAUCCUCAAUCCUAAUUCAAAUUAUAAAUGUCAUUCAUAUAUUCAUUAUAAUCAACAACAAAGGUUAUAAAUGUUUAGAAAUUCUAGAGGGAAGGAAGCUAUCGCUGGGCAAUCAACAACUAAAUUUGAUGUAAUUGUGGCACGAGAUGGAAUAUGGAAACUACACCAUAAUUUCAAAUGCCGCCAUAGACAUUGACUUAUCUACAAUAACAAUGAUCUAAUUAAAAUAAAAAUAGAGUUUAUGGGCAUUUAUUAAAAUAAAAAUAGGAGUGAAGUAAAAACAUUUAGAUUUUAAUGUAUGUACGGAAAAAUUUAUCUUUAAAAAUACUUUCUUAAUGUGUGUGUGCAUAUUGAAAUACUCAAACCAAUUUUGGUUAUAUAUAAUUCAACAAAAUUUAAAAUAUGAAAAAUAUAAUGUAGUUAUAGUGGAUAAGCAAUAAGUGAGCACAAUAUAAUUAAUCAAAUACUAUGCUAUCAAAAGUUAAUUUUAGAAAUUCCAAAUCCAAUAGCUAACACAAUUCUUUAAAGAAAUAACAAGGGGCAUUGGGCAAGAGUAAUGAAUGCUUAGUGGGUGCAUUUGAUUGAUAGAUAUAUAAAGGGCCGAAACUUGAUAUUAUAUUACUUUUACAAAAUUUAAUCCAAUCACAUAUUUAAUGAAAACAAAAUGAGUUAGGAUUGUUUAUUUAGAACCCACAUUUUAAUAAGGCUUCAUUUGAUGUAGUUUUUCAAACAUUGAUUAUUUGAGUAAUUACAAAGUACAAUACGUACCAAGUUUGGUAACUUAAUUGACAUCUUCUCAUAUAACCUUCGAUCAAGUCGAUUCUGACCUGACGACUAAUUGGUACAUCACCGUUGUUCUCUAUACUCGCAUGCAUCCGAUCACAAAUCUCACUCCAAUUGUCGUCUUUCUUCGGCGUUUUAGCGCAUCCUUCUUGAAUUUCCCGCAUUUCGUUCCCUCCUGUUACAAGUCUCCGGUCAGGUCAGUUCACUUGACGAUUAAUUCGGCAAAUCUCGAAUCUCUUCUCUAUCCCUCUCGUUUUCUCGUGUCUCCUUUCAGUUUAAGUGAUUGAAUCAAUUUUAUCGCAGUCUUAAGAGAAAUUAAGUAAUGCUCUUGGAUUUAAAAUUUUUUUGCUUUCGACUUUAGAUCUCGAAAGUCAAACUCUGCUACGAAUCCAUAGAUUCUCAAUGUUUAUAAUCUUAUUUGUGUUUGACCAGGUAACUGGAUCGUGAAAUUCGUCGUUUUGUAUCAAUUCAAGCUUUCGCGAGCUCAUGGAAUCCCCUGGUGAGUUGUGGUGAAACGUUAUCGUUUCAAUUUUCGCUUAAUUCUUUAUUGCAUAUUUUUUUCUCUCUAAUAUUUCAGUUUAAUUUAGAAAAGAAAGAGGACCCAAAAAGAGAGAGAGAGAGAGAGAGACUCUACCAUACUCAAUUCCUUGCUCAUUCUGAUUUGGCCUGAAUGUUGGCAUUGACUAUUAUUUGUUUUCAUUUCGAUUUAAUUCUCAUUUAGACAGUCUUUUUUAACUAGCAAUAAUCUUUUUAAGGAAAAUGAUAAUAGGGAUUCUGCAAUAAUCUUUUUAAGGAAAAUGAUAAUAGGGAUUCUGCAAUAAUCUUUCUGCAUUGUUCAAGUUAGUAGACAAUGAAUAGGGUGUUUAUGUUUACCUCAUUUUGAACCCUGAGGGCUUCGUUGAGUAGUUGAUCCAACAUAUCCAGCACCGGUUGAUGUGAGAACAGGAUGCCAUUUAGAUAGGCUUAAACUGAUUUUGGAGGUUUGUAUUCAUUCUAUUGUAUGUCUUGCUUACAAAUUUUUUAUUUUUUAUUUUUAAUUUUGUAUAAUAUGCUCUUUGUUGGUAAAUCUCAUUUGACUUAGAAGAGAUAGUUUUAUCCCAACAGUGGGAUAAAUCAUUGAGAUGCAUGGCAGUGUGAAUAUAGUAGACAAAAUCAUUGAGACAGAUGGUGGUGUGAACAUAGUAAACUUUGUCAAACACAGCUAAGAUAAACAAAUUGUUUCAUUAGCCUUUAUCUUAUCUGCUGUGAUGAUUCAAAUUAAUGCUGUUUGGUAGGUUGCAAAAAACGAAAUGAGCUGACUGUUCAUAUUAUUUAGUCAGAUCUAUUGCAAUAAGUUGAAGUUCACUGUCACAUGGGUUGGGAGUAGCGUGGGCUGUGAGUAGUAGAAUGGAUUUAUGGAGUUGAUACAAGUGCCCAUAAUCUAUCAUGUCAUUCUAGGAUUAAAUGGAUUGCACAUUACUGUAAAGAUGGAGGUUAAAUUUAUAUAAUUCGGAUUGAUUGUAAAAUGGGAGGCAGAGAUGAGUUAGAAAAAAAAUGACCUGUGUCCUUUUUGAGCUGUUUCUAAAUCUCCCUGGUGUGCUUCAUGCUUAACACGUGUCUGUCCAAAUAAUUUUGCUUAACCUGUGCUUGUCUACUUCUUGUGCUAUUCUGUGCCUGGUCCUGAGCUGUGUUGGUAGAUUGACAUAAUUUUGCUCUGCUAAAUGUAUAACUUAUUAAUCAGAGUCCUGUUAUUAUGGUUUGACACUACUGACAUGUUGUGUUGGUAUUUAUUUGUACUUCCCUUGGUUGAAUUAUUUGCUGUCUCCAUGCCAUUCGAUAUGGUGCUACUUGGUUUUUGAUCAUCCAUGACGCUAUAUAUAUGUAAAGGAUGAAUUGAUUGUUUUGGCUUGUAUUCUCACAUUUUAUGAUUGAUCGAUGGAAAGGUCUUCAUGUAUUAAAUUCAACCUCACAAGCGUAAGAUUGACAGAUUGUGGGAAAAUUUUCAGGAAAAGAAACUAGACUUCAUGGAAGCAAUGAAGCUUGAAAUUGAACGUCUGCAGCUGCAUCUUUCUGCAGCUGAAAGGGAUAGAGCUUUAUUGUCAAUUGAAACUGAUCCUGCCUCUAUAAAUCCAAAUGUAUUGCUUGAUGAAUCUUACAUGGGAAGACUGUCGAGUAGCAACCACUCUUGCAUUACUUGGCCAAACUUCCCUAGAAGACAAAAUUGUUGGUGCAAUUGGCCUUGAGAAUAGUGAUGAUAGUGUUUUAGACUUCUGGAAUAUUACUAGAAUCGGAGAGAGUUGUUCUGGUGGCGGGUGCAAGGUUUGUGCAGAAACUAAGGUGCCUGCUCUUGCUUCCUCAACUGCAACAUCUGUUGGAGCUUCACAAUCCCCUUUGUUGUGUUCUCAAUGUGAAAGAAAAGUUUGCAAAGUUUGUUGUGCAGGAAGAGGAGCUCUACUGUUUUCAAAUUAUAAAUCAAGGGAUGUGACCAACUACAAUGGCUUCUCAAGUCAGAGUGGAUGAAGCCAUGGAAGCCAAGUUGAUGUAUCUACCAGUCGUUCACUAACACUGGAUGGCGUUAUCUGUAAACACUGCUGCCAUGAGAUUGUGCCUGAUGCAUUGAUGUUGGACCAUGUUAGGGUCUUGAUUAGCUUGCGAAGAAGUUCCUGUGCAGACAACGCAGUCAUACAAUGCUUUGAAUGAGGUUGUUGGAUCCUGCUUAAAGGAUAGUGUUUCUGAAAGGAUUCAGUCUUCCGAUAACGUGCAAGCUGCUGAAGUCCUUCACCAAUUAUGUGGUGGACAGGAAUCACUUGCUGAAUUUCCAUUUGCUAGCUGUUUGCACUAGGUAUGUUCUUGGUUUGUAUUCAGUUCUCAUCAUGUUAUGUUUUCCUUUUAAAUUUCUUUUCUUGAUUAAAAUUUUUAGAAAUAUGUUUUAGUAUUUGUUCUUAUGAUAUAUGCCCAGAACAUUCAUCCCACUUAUCCAUGAGAAUCCUUGUCUGGUUUGAUUUUCAAUUGAGACAUUUUUGGGAACCCUGAGCAGGUUCCAUAUGCUAAUAAUCUUUGAGGUAAGGUGUUGUAGGAUGCCUUGAGAAGCUAAAAACCUAUUACAAGGAAAAGCUCUUGCAUUGUUUUGUGGAAUCUGUGUUGUGAAAAUAGGUAGAGAAAAAGUUUAUGGAAUAAUUCUCUUAUUUCAUAUGUUCAUGAGACUGUACACAGUCUUUAUAUAGGGAUACAAGAGACUAAGAAAGGAAAGAAAAAAUUAAAGCAGAAUAUUACACACUGAUUUCUAGGAAGCAAUAACUCUAUAUUUACACCAAAUAUACACCUAAAUAUAUAAGGAAAACCAAAUCAAUUUGAUUUGGUCAACCUUUCAACACUCCCCCUCAAGCUGGUCUAAAAAUGUCUUUCAUGGCCAGCUUGCAAACCAAUUUCUCAAAAUGUUUCUUAGGUAGUCCCUUGGUGAGUAUAUCAGCAAUCUGCUCAUUUGUAGGAAUGUAGGGCAUGCAGACCAAACCACUGUCCAGUUUUUCUUUUAUGAAAUGUUUGUCCACUUCAACAUGUUUAGUUCGGUUGUGGAGUACUGGAUUAUGUGCUAUUGCAAUGGCAGAUUUGUUGUCACAAUAUACUUUCAUAGGUAGAGAAUUAUUUGCCUUAAGUUCUUCAAGAACUUUUUUGAUCCAAAAAACCUCACAAAUUCCUAGAGCUACUGCUCUAUAUUCUGCCUCUGCACUACUUCUUGCUACCACAGUUUGUUUCUUGCUGCGCUAAGUGACCAAAUUUCCUCCGACAAAGGUGCAGUAACCCGAAGUGGAUCUUCUAUCGGUUACACUACCAGCCCAGUCAGCAUCAGUGUAGACUUCUACUUGUAGGUGCCCGUUUUUUCUAAACAAAAGACCUUUACCCGGAGAUCCUUUUAAGUAUCUAAGGAUUCUAUAUACAGUUUCAAAGUGUUCUGGUCCUGGAGCAUGCAUAAACUGGCUGACUAAGCUCACUGCAAAGGCUAUGUCCGGGCGUGUAUGUGAAAGGUAGAUUAAUCUACCUACAAGGCGUUGGUACCGAUCUAUGUUGGUCACAUCUUCAAUAUUAGCUGGCUGUAAUUUCAUAUUAGGAUCUAUGGGUGUCUCGGCUGCUUUACAUCCGAGUAAACCUGUCUCUUCAAGCAAAUCAAGAACAUACUUGCGUUGAGACACAACAAUCCCAUCUUUUGAUCUAGCAAACUCCAUGCCCAAAAAAUACUUCAGGUUGCCUAAGUCUUUGAUUUCAAAGUCACGUGCAAGCACUUUCUUUAAUCUGCAAAUCUCAACUAAGUCAUCACCAGUCAAAAUUAUAUCAUCUACAUAUACAAUUAACACGACUAAUUUCCCUUCAAUAGAAUGUUUGUAAAACAUUGUAUGAUCUGCCUGACUUUGGGAGUAGCCGUGUCCCUUUAUAACAUUACCAAAGCGUUCAAACCAUGCUCUAGGAGACUGUUUGAGCCCAUACAAAGACUUAUGUAGUUUACACACUUUACUGUUGCCAUGAUUUCCCUCAAAACCUAGUGGUAAAUCCAUAAAGACUUCUUCUUCUAGCUCCCCAUUCAGAAAAGCAUUUUUAACAUCUAACUGGUAUAGAUUCCAAUCAGAAUGUACAGCCAAUGAGAUAAGGACCCGGAUGGAAUUUAUCUUUGCAACGGGGGCAAAAGUUUCUUGAUAAUCAAUUCCGUAGGUUUGAGUGAAUCCUUUUGCUACAAGCCUUGCCUUAUAUCUCUCAACACUCCCAUCAGCAUUACAUUUAAGUGUAAACACCCACUUUCAACCCACAGUUUUCUUUUCUUUUGGUAAAUCCACAAUCUCCCACGUACCAUUCUUCUUUAGAGCAUUCAUUUCCUCUAAAACUGCUAACUUCCAAUCUGGGUGGUCUAGGGCUUCUUUUAUGGUUUUAGGAAUUGGUAUUUGAGAGAUUUUUGUGGUAAAGGCUCUUUGUUUAUUGGACAACUUUUCAUAGGAAACAUAUCUAGCAAUGGGGUGCUUAGUACAGGUUCGGGUUCCUUUCCUAUGUGCUAUGGGUAAGUCAAGAUCAGGAAAAAAAGUGCUGAAAUGUUUAGGAGAAGAAAUGUUACCUGAAUUUUCUGAGGAAUCAGUGCUUGGAGGCAACGAUUGAGGCUGUAUCGAGUUUAUGAGAGGGUCUUUACUGUUGUGAUGAUACUUUCGAGUAUAAACACGCAGCUCUGGUGGUGGAAUUUUAUCUUGUAGUAUUUCUCCCCCUGUCUCUGGUACAUUAACACUUGGUUCCUGUAGUUCAAGGUUUCCUAGGUUUUCAUUAUUAGAAAUAUCAGUUUUUUGAGUUUGAGUUGGAGUGCCCAGAUCAGGUAAAAACUGAUUAGGCAUAGGUGUAGAAGUAUGCCAAAAAUGAUCUUCACUAUUUUCUUUCUCCCCCUGAAGAGAAUUUUGGCCAAAAAAAGGUUGAUUUUCGAGAAAUAUAACAUCCAUACUGACAUGGAAUUUCUUUGUUUGAGGAUUGAAACAUUUGUAACCUUUUUUAUUAGGUGCAUAGCCCAAGAAAACACAUUUUUCAGAUCUAGGAUCCAAUUUAGAUCUAAGAUGGUUAGGAACAUGAACAAAUACAGUGCACCCAAAGACUCUUAACUGAAUAUUGGAGGUAAUCCUACUAGAAGGAUAUAUAAGUGUGAAGUAUUCUAAAGGUGAUUGAUACUUUAAAACACGGGUAGGCAUCCUAUUAAUCAAAUAACAUGCUGUUAAAACAGCAUCACCCCACAAAUAUUUAGGAACAUGCAUAGAGAGCAUGAUAGCCGACUAACUUCAAGUAAAUGGCGGUUUUUUCGUUCCGCAAUUCCAUUUUGUUGUGGAGUAUCACGACAAGUGGAUGUGUGAAUUAUACCCUUUUCCUUACAAAACACCUCUAGAUAAUUAUUAAAAUAUUCAGUACCAUUAUCUGUAUGGAGUAGACUUAUUUUUGUUUGAAAUUGAUUUUCAACCAUGUUAUAAAAAUCUUUGAAUAACCCCUCAACUUCAGAUUUUUCUCUCAUUAAAUAAACCCAACAAAGCCGAGUAUGAUCAUCUAUGAAUGUUACAAACCAUUUUUUUCCAGUUAAAGUGUUGAUUUUUGAGGGUCCCCAAACAUCACUAUGAAUUAAAUAAAAAGGUUUUGAGGCACGAUAAAUAAGUGCUUUAUAUGAAACUCGAUGACUUUUAGAUAAAAAACAACUUUCACACUGAAAAGUAGUACAAUCAACAUUUUUAAAUAAAUUUGGAAACAAAUAUUUCAAAUAAGGAAAGCUAGGGUGUCCUAGUCUAAGGUGCCAAAGCAUUAUUUGAUCCCUAGCAGAGUUUGAACUAAUACUACUGCUCAAACCUUGAGUUUGUUUAUUCCUUGAUAAGUAGUCAUCAAAAUAGUAAAGACCUUCUCGCAAACUAGCACUGCCAAUCAUCGUCCCCAAGUCCCUGUCCUGAAAUUCACAAUGGGAGUCAAAAAAGACAGCACAACAAUUAGAAUCUUUGGUUAAUUUACUGACAGAUAACAGAUUGCAAGAAAGUUUAGGGACAUGUAGCACAUUUUUAAGCUCAAUGGUUCCAGAGAUUUUUAUUGAUCCUUUUCCAGCUAUGGAAGAUAAGCUUCCAUCAGCAACUCUUACCUUUUUGUUACCAGGGCAAGGAUAAUAGGAAUCAAAUAAACUAGAAAUGCUAGUCAUAUGAUCAGAAGCACCCGAAUCAAUAAUCCAUGGUGCAGUAGUUGAGUGGCUAAAUAGAGCAUUAAUAAUACUACCUGUUUGGGCUAGUGAACCACUAGGAGUACUAGGUGGAGGAUUAGAAGUCAGCAGCUUUAUGAGAUGGUCAAUUUGCUCCUUGCUGAGAUUUUUUUCUAGAUUCUCCACUUCAUUGGCAGACGCACGGCUAUGCUUGCUGUUUUUCCAAUCUGCAGGCUUUCCGUGGAGUUUCCAGCAAGCCUCCCGAGUAUGGCGUGGUUUAUUACAGUAAUCACACCAUACUCGAGGUUUUUGUUGCUGUUGAGUGAUGGAGCGGGUAGCAUUAUCUGCUGUAACAAGGGCAGAUUUUUCCACAGAGACAACGGAGUUCUUUUUUCCCAACAUAACACCUCGACGACUUUCUUCUCUCCUUACUUAAGAGAAAACAUCCUCAAGAGUAGGAAGUGGCUUUCUCCCAAUAAUUCUUCCUCUUACCUCAUCAAAUUCAACAUUGAGCCCAGCCAGGAACUUGAAGAUUCGCUCAUUAUUGACAGUUUGUUUGUGGUGUUUAAAAUCUUCCAUGCUCUCCCACUCGUAGUCGUUGAAUAAGUCCAGAUCUUGCCACAAUCUCUUUAGAGUAUUGAAGUAUUUUGUUAUACUAUAAUCUCCUUGACGGAUAUCUCCAAGAGCAAGCUGCAACUCAUAGAUCUGGGACUGAUUUCCAUAGUCAGAGUACAUCUGACUCACAUUAUCCCAGAGUUCUUUUGCAGUAGAGUAGCACAUAUAAUUUGCACCAAUGUCUUCAUCCAUGGAGUUGACUAACCAUGCCAUAAUCAUGGAGUUUUCGGCAUCCCAAACACCAUAAGAGGGAUCAGAUAUUUCAGGAGCCUUAACAUCUCCGGUAAGAUAACCAAUCUUCCCUCUUCCCCUAAUAUACAUUCUAACCGACUGAGACCAUCUUUGAAAAUUUCCUUCAUUCAGCCGGAUAGUUGUAAUCUGGACAGAAUGAGAUUCAGAAUGGGAAAUUUUUGGUUCUAGUCUUUUUGAGGUGACUGUGGUUUCAGAAGAUUGGUCAGACAUGGUAGGGAAGAGAUCAGAAAGAAAGGGAGCCUAGCUCUGAUACCAUGUGAAAAUAGGUAGAGAAAAAGUUUAUGGAAUAAUUCUCUUAUUUCAUAUGUUCAUGAGACUGUACACAGUCUUUAUAUAGGGAUACAAGAGACUAAGAAAGGAAAGAAAAAAUUAAAGCAGAAUAUUACACAUUGAUUUUUAGGAAGCAAUAACUCUAUAUUUACACCAAAUAUACACCUAAAUAUAUAAGGAAAACCAAAUCAAUUUGAUUUGGUCAACCUUUCAACAUGUGUGCUAGCAAGUCAUGUCUCUAAUAAUUUCAUAGUUUGCUUGAUUGGAAUUUUUUAUCUUGAUAUGGAUUGUUUAUUCUAGAUUCCUUGGUGCUGUAGGUUGAAACAGCAAAAGAUUCAGCACCGAUUUUGUCACUGCUUGCUCCAUUAAAUUCUGGAUCAAGGCACUCAUAUUGGAGAGCUCCACCUUGUACUACUUCUGUUGAAUUUGUUAUUGUUCUCUGUUCUGUUUCUGAUGUCAGUGGGGUUAUCUUGCUUGUUAGUCCUUGCGGCUAUUCUGUGGGUGACACUCCGAUGGUAAGUGCCAUAUUUAUUCCCUUAUUUCCUUGUUGUUCAAUAAAUUUGGUGAUAAGCCAAGUGGCCUUAAUAAUGAAGCCCAGUACCAGGGGUGGUGGGUAAUCGAUAUUCAACUUGUGAAUAUUCCUAAGCAAGCACUGAAUCAACAUAGACCUCGGCAAAAGUUCUCCAUGCUAUUAUAACGAAAGUCAUAUUUUGAAAUGAUUAAAAGAGUCCCUGUGUAGUGCUAUUUCCAAAGAAAUUGCAGCUGGAGGUUUAGUUUCAUGUAGGUUAGUUUCCGAUAAUAAACUUUCCAUUUCAUUAAUUGCUGAUGAAAAAACCAAGUAAGAACAGUUUUGUUGCUCGUCAUUUAUGUAUAUUUUGGUAAACUGUAAUUUUAAAUUCUCAACGAUCUUCCCUUUGUAGGUAAGAAGAUGGUCCACUCACUUGAUAUUUAUGAUUGUAGAUCAGGUUUCUAUUGGUUUGCCUUUAUCAUUCGGAACCCAAGUUUGAUAUUAACAGAGAUCACGUCAAUAAUAUCCUAUUUGGGUAGAUGUGGGUGAGGAUUUAAAAUCAAAUUUGAAAUUGAGGGCAAAGAAGAGAAAAGAAACCGCAAUAAUUAAACAAAAUAUUAGGAACUAUUCUGAUGAGUUUUAAUCUCGAGAGGAACAAUUUUCAAAUGCAAAAUUUAACUGCUAGAGAAAUUGUAGCUUUUUGUCAUUAGUUAAGAGGAAAGAGAAUAAGAACUAUCUGGCCCUUUCCUUCAUGAAUGUGUGUUGAGGUUGCUGUAUUAUUUAGUCAGUAUUUGUAAUUUUCUUCCCUGCAGUGCUCUCUGCCUCCUGAAUUUGCUACUGAGUCCAUAUUUUUCUUUGAGCUGUUGCUUCCUAUUGCUGUUACAGGUACAAAUCUGGGCAAGCAAUAAGAUACACCGGGAGGACAGGUCAUCAAUGGGAAAAUGGGAUGUCCAAUCCCUCAUCACAUCUUCUUCAGAUUUGUAUGGUCCAGAAAAGUCUGCUAGUGUUGAAAAAUUACCUAGGCAUGUAAAAUUUACUUUUAAGAAUCCUGUUAGGUGCCGCAUUGUUUGGAUCACAUUACGUCUUCAGAGACCUGGUUCGGCUUCAGUUAAUUUCGGGAAUGACUUCAGUCUUUUGUCUCUUGAUGAAGAUGAAAACCCCUUUGCACAAGUAGACAGACGUGCUUCAUUUGGAGGAGCAGUUGAAAAUGAACCAUGUAUUCAUGCCAAAAGAAUUCUUGUAGUCGGAAGCCCAGUAAAAAGGGAGGGGCUUACCACAUCACAGAGCUCUGAGCAGCUAAGUAUUAGAAACUGGUUGGAUAGAGCUCCACAAAUGAGUAGAUUCAAGGUAUUAGUUGCUUUCACUCUUUGUUCAUUCAUAAUUCCAGCUUUCUGCUUGAUGCCUUGCCUCUGAUAAACCUCUUUUUUCUCUUCAGGUCCCAAUUGAGGCCGAGAGAUUGAUGGACUACGAUCUCGUCUUGGAACAGUAUCUACCUCCAGCGUCACCUUCGCUUGCCGGAUUCCGUCUAGAUGCUUUCAGUGCAAUAAAACCUAGGGUUACCCAUUCACCUUCCUCAGAUUCAGAUAUCUGGGACAAAUCAGUAACAUUUUUAGAAGACAGGUACAUCUCUCAAGCUGUGUUGUAUUUACAAGUAUCCGCACUCCAGGAACCACAUAACAUGGUAACUAUUGCGGAAUAUCGACUGCCGGAGGCUAGAGCCGGAACGCCAAUGUACUUUGAUUUCCCACGACCGAUACAGUCCCGACGAGUUUCAUUCAAGCUUCUUGGAGAUGUUACAGCAUUUGCAGAUGAACCUUCAGAACAAGAUGAUUCAGGAUUGAGAGCUCCACUUGUGGCCACAGGUUUGUCUUUGUCAAACAGAAUCAAGUUAUAUUAUUAUUGUGAUCCUUAUGAGCUCGGAAAAUGGGCAAGCCUUUCUGGAGUUUGAUCGUUAUUUAUAUGUCAGAGAAAGGGUUUUGGGUUUGAUUUUGAUUUUGAUUUGUAAUUUUUGUCAGUUUAUUGAAAUUUUUUGUUGUAUAAAAGCAGAAUGUAAAGGUAUAAAAAUUCAUUGAUGCUGCAAUGUCUGUGCUUUUGAGAAAGAAAGAAUUCUAUGGCUUUUCUAUGCCAUUGGAUUUUCCACUGCCUGUAAACUUGGGCUGUCGAAUGCUCUGUGAACCUUAAGGGCUAUAAAGUAAUUUUCAAGACUGAAGGAUUUAUUAAUCGAGUUCAAAAGAUUGCAAGUUGGUGAGCGUUGGCAUUUAAAAAAUCAAUUGUUAUUCUCUCAAUAAUCUCUGUCUUCUGCCGACACCCCAUGCUCAGAAACCCAUUGUUCCGACGGACGUGUAACACUUCUAGAAAUUGUUUUGAUCUCUCCUCGUGAAGUGUUUUCUUUUUCGAGUGAAGGUGGUUUUCUACUUGCAUACGUCGGGGGUCUUAUGAUAUGUAAUGUGUGAAAUUUCUUUCUCAUUUUACCAUAAAGAAAAAUGUUGUAAUAAUCUAAAGCUCGAGUCUUAAAUUAUCUUAAAUUUAUAUUUAGAGUGGAGCUAUUCGCAAUCCUACAUUAAAAUUACAAAUAAAAAUAAUUGAAAAUUAAACACUUAUAGAUUUUUUUUACAACAAAUUAUUUAAUUCAUAAUCAAUCCUUUAAAAAAAAAAAUCCAUAUGUUACUUGCUAUCUAACUAAAAUAAAUUUUACAAAUUUAGAAUAAUCUAUUGAUUUCUUUUGAUUUCUUAUUAAUUAAAUAUUUUUAUACAUAAAAUUGCUUUGAAAUUAUAAUUUGAAAUAUGUGUUAUUUCAGCCAAUGAUUAACACUAAAAAACUUAUCACCCAUAUAACUUUUUAAUUUGUGUGUAGGGUAAUAAUAAAAUCAAAAAUAAUUAAAAAAAUAGUACAAUAAUGAGUUUUAACAAUAAAACAAAUCAAAUGAAAAUUGAAAAUUUAGAAAAAAUGUAUCUAAAAAAGGGAACGUUUUUUAAAAUAAAAUGAAUAUAACUAAAAAGGGGUUUUAUGAGAAGAGCAGAGGGGUGCCAAUAGUCCAACUUGUAAUUAAGAAUCUCCCAUUAUAUUGUCAACCAAAAAGACACUUGAAUAAGAAGAAGAAUUUAUCAGUUUGAUUUUAUUUAUAGAUCCAACAUUUCUCAUAUCCUAAACGCCUUUCCGUAUCAAAUUAAAACAGUAGUCGCAAAAUCGUAGUAUUAAAAUCGUAGUGCACAUUCAAUUAACCAACUAAUAGUCUUUGGUAUAAGAUUUUAUAUUAGCUAGCCAAGUAGGUUGUCCAUCCCACUCAGACAUGAACGAAAGCUAAAUUCAUCAAAUGGUGUUAUACUAUUAAAUAUUUUUAUAUUUAAAAUUACUUUGAAAUUAUAAUUUCAAAUUAAAAUAGUAGUAGCAAAAUCGUAGUGCACAUUCAAUUAACCAACUAAUAGUCUAAGAAGCAAAGAGAGGAUUACAAGUUCACAACACCAUUACAAAGGAUUCAAAAUUCCCACACGAAAACAUCAAUGUACAGAUUAUAAACAAUCCGAAUUGGACACAAGAAAAAGCCCUUCAAUGGAUUGCUUUCCUUCCCAAUGCUAUAUACUGUGCAAACUCCGCACUGGCCAAGAAAAUGUUUUCAAUUUAGUGUAUUUUCAAAUUGCUUAUUUUCUCAUAAUAUAAAAAAUAAAAAAGAAUCCUUACAUGUUUCAUCAGCAUGAUUAAAAUCAAAGAAGAAAGCGAAGACGUAAUGUCUCUGACAUAAUAAAAUUACAAAAAUUUCAAGGAAAAAAAAAAGGUUAAAACAUGUAAUCUUCAGAAGCAUAUAAUAAAAGAACACUUCCACAAAUUACUACAAUUUCAUGCAGUAGAGAUUGAAGAGUUGAAUUCCACUAAUUUUAAUAAUGAAAACAACAACAGAGGAUUAACUGAUGCUUUGACUUAUUAGCAGGUUGCUUUGACUUAUUAGUUCUGCAGCUAAGUUAAAUAAAAUAAGCUAUUUUCAAAAGCAAAAUGGAAUACAUAGAUAAAAACAUCAUCUUAAACAAAUCACAAUCUAGAAUUAGAGCAUUUUCGACAUACCUAAGGAACACGAAUACGUGAAAACGGGUGAUUUAUUUGUUAAGGAGUGUUGAUUUGGUCGUCUCUGCAAAUUCUUUAGGGACUCGGUUCCAAUUCCUCUUCAUCAAAACUGUAAUAUAAUUCCCCUUCAUCAGAACUCGAAUCGAUGCAAUAUAAUUCCCCUUCAUCAGAACUCGAAUCAAAUUCACUUGCAGCAGUUCCACUCGCGCUUGGCAAAUCAUCCAAUUUCCAAACUUCGGUAACAAAAUUGAGAGUAAAAGUGUUGGCUUUGAUCUCGCUGGGAUUUGCAUAUACUGGACAUACUCCGCAACGUUUUAUCUUCUGACCCUUUUGGACCUUUAUUAUGUUUCGGUGACACUCAUUGAAGAACUUAAAUGUGGCAGUUGAAUGAUGGUCACCAUCAGGAAAGCCAACAUUCAAGCAAGGUUUAAAACCAAGUAUGACAUGAUCUGAAUCAUGGGGGUCUUGAAUUGAGUGCAAAUUGUAACCCAGAUGAACAUGUUUGGUUUCAGAGAGAGUCUUUAUUUCUAAGUCGGAUCGACAGUAAACGUAAAAAUAACGAAAACGAUCAGAAUAAAGUUGCUUAAAAUCAAGAACAGCACAAAAAGCAAACCCGAUUAAGUUUCUGCAAAAAGAGUGCGGUGGCAGUUGAAUACGUAUCGAAGAUCCUGAACUUUGAUUGCUGAACCAGUCAGGAAUUUCGCUCCCAGGUAAAACAAUUUGGGAUCCCCUGAGUUCAGAAAGUUUCUGCGAAACGACAUUUAAAAAAAGAAAAUUGUAAAAUGAAAACCAUGAUUUCAGAUAUAACAAAGAGGGACAGAGUAAACAAGAGAGGGAAUUUGAUACCUCGUUGUAUGCAUUUUCAUAGCCCAGUCUCAGUGAUGCUGCAAUUGCCAUACGUAGUGAAUCUGCCAAAAUCUUGUUGUUUGCUUUUCCAUCAAGUUUCAAGCAGUUAGUAAACUCAAAACAAAUUGGUUGUGGCGUCACAUAUUCCGGAUGCCAUUCACGAAGGUCAGGAGAGGGUUUGGAUAGCUUUUCGAGUACGGAUGCAUCUAGUUCUUGUACACAUGACGGAAUCUCUGGCAAAGAUUGAAGCCGGUUGCAGUUCAUUGCUUUUAGUGACUGUAGACACAAUGGAAGUUCUGGUAAUGACCGAAGCAUGUUACAAUCCUCCAAGUGAAGAGUUUCUAGACCCAAUGGAAGUGCUGGUAAUGACUGAAGCAUGUUACAACGCCUCAAGUAAAGAGAUUUUAGACACAAUGGAAGUUCUGGUAAUGACUGAAGUAUCUUACAAUCCCUCAAUUCAAGAUAUUUUAGACACAAUGGAAGUUCUGGUAAUGACUGAAGCAUAUUACAAUCCUCCAAGUUAAGAUAACUUAGCCACGACAGUUGCUUGAUACUUGCAGGUAAACUCUCAAAGUUAUUUCCACUUAAAUUGCCAAUGUUAUCCGGCAACUUGUCAAGUAUAGAGCAACCACUUACGGACAAAAAUGAAAGCCCCGGUAGAUUUUCAAAUGGCGAUGGCAGCUCUGUAAUUGCCGUCCAGACUAAAUAGAUGCAAUUUAAAUGUUCCAUUUUCUCCAAGAUUUCUGGGAAACGCUCAAGGUUCAAGCAGCCAAAAAGAAAAAGAUCAACCAAAGAUCUCAAUUUACAGAACCUAGUUGAAAUCCUCUUCAGCCGUUUGCAAUGCCCCAAAUCCAACACUUCAAGAUCAGUUAGGCACUCUAUUGAUGAUGGAACUUCUUCUAUUGCAGACUGGCCUAAGGAUAGCUCUGUGAUUUUCCCAGAAAUCCGUGGAAACUCUUUGAGAUUAACACAAUAGGAGAAAUUAAUAGUUACUGGACAAACAAAAUGAAGAUUGCUUGGAAAAGACCUAAGACUUUUGCAGCCCUCAAAAGACAACGCACUGAGAUACUUGAAAUUCUGGAUAGAUGAGGGAACACAAGCCAAGUUUGUAUAAUCCAAAAGAUUUGUUUCAACAUUUGGGGUUUCUAAUGGGCCUGGCAUCUUAAUGAAAUGUCGAGAAUGAUUGAGGUUAAUAGAUUUUAACUUGAAAGCUUCCUGCAAUAACAGAUAUAUAAAGACUAUAUUAAUUAAAAAGCAACAUUGAAUUCAACAAUUAAUUGCACGUAUGUUUAAAGAAAGAAAAAAAUUAAUGUUUUAGUUUUAGUACAAAACUUACCUUUUCUCCUUCCCAAAGUUGCUCAACUUUACUAAAACGCAAAUUCAGUUCAACAAGGUUCAUUGGCUUGAAAUUUGAUGGCAGUGUCCUUAAUGGAUAUGUGUCCCAAUGAAGAUAUCUCAAUUUUUUAGGAAGAUAAUCUAGGCCAUUUGGAAGCUGCACUUUAGAGUAUGAAAGUUGCUCUUCAAUGCUCAUACUUAGAAACCUUUCAAUCUCAGGUACAUAAAAUUUGAGCAAUCUUAGAUUAGACAUUUUUGUGAAGGCUCCUGGGUCUAAAUUGAUGCCUUUUAUUUUGGACAAAUCCAGAAAUAUGCCUUCAAUUGCAUCGGUCCCCUUAUUAAAAAAAAAAAAAACAAAGAAUGAGUAACCCUAAAACAGAAAAGAAACAUUCGUAAACUUUAUUAACUAAGAGCUUCUUAAACAAAAACAAAUUCUGCAAUCUUUGAUUUUAUUUUUUUAAUAUAUUAAAUAUCUAUAUACGAGAAAAGAAAAUUUUGGGGACCAUUGCAAAAUUAAACUAACCGAAAAAAAAUUCAAAAUUUCUCUAAUUUACAAACCUGUUAUCUUAAUAACUAGAAGUUGAGAAGACAAGGCCUAUUUGAUUGGUAUAAGAUUUCGAUUUGUUUUUUAGUCCAUAGAAUCCAAAAUGUUAGUUCAAAAUUAGGGAAAAAAAAUGAAAGUUAUUUUUUUUCCACUAGUUGUAAUUGUUUCCAAGUCAAAUUGAGAUACGACCCUUUUCGAAAGGAUUUAAUCAUCUUAUAGCCUCCUUAAGAUACAUUUAAGCUAAAAGGAGUGAUUGGAGGCAGAACUAGGUGGGCCAAUCAGUCCCUUUUAUUAGUGACUGUUGCUUAAAAAAAAUUAUACUCUAAAACACACUUACUUUUUUGAAAAAAAAUAUAAUUAUAUUGAAGUAGAACCAGGUGGGCCAAUCCUCAUGGCACUCACUUUGUUCUGACACUCUUCACUAAAUUUGAAGAAAAAUAAAAUUAUACUCUUCACACUCUUAUUCAACAUUCCAAAAUUGAUAAAAUCUAGAGUUUUCUUUAAAAAUUUAAAAUUUGAAGACUUGUUCUCUUGACAUCCUCAGUCAUUAAUUUCACCUAAUUAUGGUUUUUAUGAUUUUGGUUGUUUUGUUCAUAAAACAAUUUUACUAAAGGAUGUUCUCGUAAUAAUAAAAAUUAUAAAAAAAACAUGGGUGUGCUGGUAUGGUUGGGAAAAUACGAGUACAGAACUCCAAACAAAUAAAAGAUUUAUAUAAAAAAAAAUGGAGGAUUCUUACCAUAUUAUGCUUUAGUACGCGGCGGAUUUCCUUAGGAUCCCACAACCUACUACGUCUGCCUGGCACUUCCUCAGAUUCUUGGCGAACAGUCUCUUGGCCCAUUUCUUGCAAUAAAUCAUGCAUUUGCAAGCGGUUAUCUGACACAGUUAUGAGUGACUUGUCGACGAGGACAUCCAGUCUGUGAGACCCAGAAUCAUCAAGUAUCCUUAACACAAAAUCUUUAUCCUCUCCCUCAAGGAAACACGCAAUAUCUAGAAACAUACUCUUCACCCUGGGCGUUAAUUCUUUAAAACUAAUCUUUAAUGUAUCAUAAAUACCAUGAAUAUCAGAUUCACAAAUCCGAUUUAAGUCGUGCAAUACAUUUUCCCAAUGGCUUUUCCUCUUGAGAUACAGGGAGGAACCCAACACUUUAAGAACUAAUGGAUUGCCAUCAGCAUACUCUACAACUCUCCACGAGUCACGUUUGAAAUCUUCAGGACGAUGCUUUUCUUUAAAAGCGAAGUUACAAAAGUGCUCGAAAGCCUCAUCAAAUUUCAAUCCAUUGACCCUAUAUAUUUUCUCCACUCCAAAUUUUUCGAGGACUCGUUUAUCCCUGGUGGUUACAACAAUUCUACUUCCUGGACCAUAUUGAUCAAGCCCUCCAAUCAAACCCUCUAAUUGUUCAUCUUUAUUCACAUCAUCGAGUACAAUCAACACCUUCAUGCGUCGGACCCUCCCUUUAGUAAAUUGUGGAAUAUUGGGACCAGCUACUUCAAGUUUUUCACUUAAUAUUGUCGAAAGCAUUUCCUUUUGUAGGUCUUCUAGGCCACCCUCUGUUUCUGAUUUUCUCCUAACAUUUUUUGCAAAGUAUUUACCAUCAAACUCACCAGCGAAUUGAUCGAAAAUAGCUUCAGCAAGGGUAGUUUUGCCUAUACCGCCCAUACCCCAAAUUCCAACAAUUUGGACAGUAUCCGACAAAUCCAUACACAAAAAUGGUUUAAUCUGCUCAAUUCGUGAAUUUAAUCCAACUAGGCCGUUGGAUGAGUCCGUUGAGACUGUUAUUUUUUCCAACUUCUUCAAAACAUCUUCGACAAUUUUGUUUACAAGUUGCGCAUCAAGCCUAAUAUGAAGGUGCAAAGAUGCAAAAACAUUGAGUCAAAUCGGGCCAAGACAGAAACAGAGAAAAGAUGAAUUAGGAAAGAGAGUUACCUGAAUUUCGUGGAUUCAUGGCCGGCUAGAUGGGAUGUUUCUGUCAGUGCAUCCCUCCACUUCUGAACCAUUUCUUGUUUAUCUUUGAACUGUUUUUUGAGCUCAUCAAAACGGUCUCCAAAUGUUCCGUUUUGAUGCCGCACAUCAGAUGGACUUACUCCAUAGAAGAAUGGAAUAAUAAUUUGGCCGUUUGUGUUCUUGCAUUCAAGAAUCUUGACAAGUUCAUUCAGGCACCAUUUUGAAGAAGCGUAGUCCUUCGAGAAAAUGACCACCGAAAUUUUUGAACCUUGGAUUGCGUUCAAAAGGGCGGGUGAAAUCUCAUCUCCUCGCCUAAGCCCUUCAUCAUCAAUAAAUGUUUUGAUUUUCUUUCCUUCAUACAAUUUAUCAUAGAGAUAGCAAGUAAAGCUCUUACGAGUGUCCUCCCCUCUAAAGUUGAGGAAGACUUCAUAAUUGGCACAAGAAGAAGAGGAAGCCAUGAAGGAAAUUUUAGAAAAUUGGUGACAGAAACAGAGAAUUAAUCUUGAGAGUUGAGAGAGGAGAUGUAAGAAUGAACAUGUGCGAAGAUUCUUGCGAGUACAUAGUAAAUAAUUGAAUGGCUGGAGCUUUCUUAGUUUCCUGGAAAUUUCCUGGAGCUUUCGUAUACAUGAUUUGUCAAGUCAUGAAACAUAAUCAUGAUAAUGGGGCAGACCGAAAAGAAAAGCAACAAUUCAAAUAUUUGAUUCAACCAGUAUAAAAAGGAAGGAAAAGCAAAGAAAGGAAAUGUUGAAAGUAGAGUUAGGGAAUUAUAAAAAGCUGAAGGAAAUUGGAAUUUUGUACAAUUUCUCCAGCGAGGAACUUUCACAGUCGUUACCUCAUUGUUACAGUUUAGAUUAAGAUUUGAGGGUGCAAGCAUUUACCUAGAUUUUACCUCCGCACUAAAUUCUUAAGUUUGAAAAAUUAUGAGACCUUUAUAUUGGAAGAUAUUAUAAUCGAAUCAAAACUUAAAAUUUUAAUAUUGUUAAUCUUUAAUCUUUAAAAAAAAUUACCUUGCCGUUACAAUUUGGAUUAAGAUUUGAAUAAGCAUUUACCUAAAUUUUAUCUCCGCCUGUAAAUUCUUAUGUUUUAAAAAUUAUGAGACCUUUAUAUUGGGAGAUAUUAUAAUCGAAUCAAAAUUUUGAAUUUCAAUAUUAUUAUUCUUUUAAAAAAAAUUUGAGAUAACAGAGUGAUUGAUAAUAGAGAACUUGUCUAGGCAAACACAUGCAUACACAAAAAUGUGAUGGAUUCAAAAAGAAAUUAAAGUGAUAAUGUACGUGGAUCCUUAAAACAAAAAGCGAAAUCGCUUGGUGGCCCAGUAAAAUUAAGACUGAAUAUUUUUUACACGAGAAGUGUAGCUCAUAAAUGGCAAAAGCCAUUUCAUUUCACUUUUACGCGUCAUUGACUUUUGUAACAUGGUGCAUGCAUCGUCAAGUGAGGCAAAAGGGUUUCGAUUACAGUGGGAAAACAUGAACAAGAAUGCAUAAUGAAUAAUUCCUUUGAUAAAGCGAAAAUUAAACACAGAAUAAUCCUAAAAUUUAAACUCUAAUAUCUUAUAAUUUAAUGAUUAAAAAUAAUCCUAAGAGUUCCCAAUUGAAACUUUCAGAGAUAAUAGAAAAUAGCUAUGCUUUAAAAGGCCAAAGAUUAGAGAACAAAGAAGAAUUAGGUAUUGAUAUAAAAAUUAUUAAUUUUUUUGAUUUCAAGCAAAAAUAGUUUCAUAUACCAUUUCGAUUUUGGUAGGGGUGAGGUUUUGAACUUCAAUAGUUUCCUCUAAAAUCAAAAGGUAGUAAUUAAGUUAGAAAGAGCAAAGAAGACUUAUCGGUACCUUAUUGAAGGUAAACAUUAUGGAACUUUCAAUGUCAUUACCCCACUGUUUAAUUUUUAUUGAGAUUUGUGCAAGCAUUUACCUAAAUCUUACCUCUGCCUGUAAAUUCAUAAGUUUUGAAAAUUAUGAGACCUUAUAUCGGGAGAUAUUAUAAUCGAACUAAAACUUAAAAUUUCUUUUCUUUUUUUUUUUUUUUAUCAUAAAAGGGCUCUUAAGAGAGCUAAGGCAACACUAAAUGGGAGUGUGCAACCCCAUGAACAUCAUUAAUCAAUAUGUUUAGCGUAUUUGGAGGAAUAGAUUGAAAGCAAUGUAAACCCAAAGGAAAAGAAAAGCUGUACGAAGUAAGGAAAUCUGCUGCUACAUUGGUUUCUUGGUAGAUAUGAUCCACUUUGAUCAGCCAAUCACGCCGAAGGAGUUCUUCGAUGGCCUGAAUGAGAGUAAAAUGCUCAUUGACGGGAGGGUUUGAGUUAGAGAUUAACUUCAUAACACACAUGCUGUCCACUUCCACGUAAAACUUAAAAUUUCAAUAUUAUUAUUCUUUAAAAAAAAAUUGAGAUAUCAGAGUAAUAUCACAUAGAAAAACUUGCCCACGGACGGUAAGCCAAAAGUCUAGUCAACCACAUGCAUAAAGCUAAGUAGAACAAGAGAACAGAGAAACGCGUGGGUCCCUAAAGAAAAGGCAAGCACAUAAAUGAAAAAGCCAUUACAUAUCUAUUAACACGGUGUGGCAGCAUAUGCACAAUCAAGUGAGGCAAAAGGGAUUCGAUUAUCGUGGCAGAACAUGGACGAGGACGCGUGAUGAAUAAUUCCUUCGUUAAAACCAAAAACAAACGCAGAGAAAACAAUUUCUUAUAUGACAAGAAAUCAAAGUAAUGUGAAGGAACAUGAUGAAGAAAUUGCAGACUGAUCAAUUAUCCCCAUGGACUCCUAUAAAUUCAACCAAAAUAACAAUUCGAAUCUUACCAAAUUCUUGAGUUAAAUUUAUUCAAUGCUUUUAUUUUUUUAGAAAAUUUUUUUCCAAUGCUACUUUUCCUUUUUUGGGGAAAUUAGAACCGCGGCAUGUAUAGAAAACAUUGAGGUGUAAAGCAACAUUAAUUUCAUGGGAUAUGCGUUAUACGCAUAAUAUAUUUUCAGUCCAAAUUCAACUAUACAAAGAGGCUUGAGAACUUAAAAUUAAGCACAAACUAAACAGACGAAGUAAAUACAUGAUUAUGCAACAUAACAUUAAUUCUCUCAAUUGAUAACUGUUUUUGCUACAUGAAUCUUGCACAGUUAAUCCUAAUUGAAGACUAAAAAAGAGCAAUUGGAAGAAGGUUUUGGAAUAGAAUGGUAUACAAUCGAUAUGAUCCUUUUCCAGUAGUCAACGCUAAUUAACUGCAGUUUCUAGACUCCUAAUUAUACUAGCCAUAGCAAACUAUUUAGAAAACUGGUGAUCAAAUUAGAUUUUGAAAGGAAAUAAUGUUCAUUUUCCCUUCGCUGCCUUUUCUUUUCUUUUCUUUUUAUAGCAAAGAAUUAUAUCAUGAAAAGAAUCAAUUUAAUCACCUUUUCCAGCAGCCCAAUUUUUCUUUUAUAAAAUUUGACCACGGAGACAAAGAAGAAUUAUUCAUAACUUCAUCACUAAGGAAAUACUUUUCGGUAUGGCUAGGGUGAGAAAAUGCUUUCCACUAACACUUGUACUUUGUAUUCUUGUAAAUUUUCUUUAAAGUCAAUAAAAACCAUAAGUUCUUUGCAAUAACCAUCUCUUUGAUCAAAAAGUGCCGUAUUCCUUUAGAAUUUAAAACCGGCAAAACCGAAUCAGUGUCUUUGAAGAGACAUAAUGGUCGUAAUUCUUUAAAUGAGUUGGCUAUGGAAAUCCUUAUCCAAGAUUCUUUUAUGCCAUAUUCUUUCGUAAACCAAAAUUCAUUUUGAAAUACUCUAUUGAAAAUGUCAAAUAAAACGGCAUUGAAGGAAGUUUUCAAAGGCAUAAUCCGCACUUGUCAAAGGGAUGAUCUGCACUUGUCAGAGACACGAUCCGCGUCGAACGAAUCGACACAUUUCCUUUCGUAUUCGCAUAUGUAAUCUUUGAAAAAAUGUAGCUUCCGCAUCUAUAAAUAACGCUCAGUGUAUAAUGUUUUAUUCAAGAAAAGAAAACAAAUUUCUUCAUACUCCUUGUCCGAACAUACAGAGACAGUCUCUCAUAACUUCAGCCGAAUACUUAUGAUGAUGAUCAUUUGUGAUUUCAUCAGGCAUAGGGUUGAUGGUGAAAAAUUUUGUAUGUGUGAAGAAUUGAGCUGUGGAUAUAGGGGACUUAAGUGUAAUCGAAAGAGAGUUAUUAGGCCAUAGUGCAGAUUGCAUUCAGUUUAUGGGUCGAUAUGCAAAUAAUUUGUUGACGUGGCGAAAUCUGUUAUGGUCGUUACUAUUGUUUCUGGAAAUUUUCUAGAAACCUCAGCAUAAAAGGGGCUUUUGCAUAGCCUCUGGUGUGCGUGUGAUUUCUCUUUCGUUUCCUCAUCAAAUUCUGUAAUUCUUGCUUUGAUAAAAAGCUUGUAAUCAUUUCUGUAAUGUGUGAUCAGUGCGUAAUCAUUUUGAGCAAUAAAAGCUUGUGGGUUUUUCCUUCAAACAGUGUCGUUUUGGUCAGUUUGUUAGUUUGAUCUGUUGGUGGAAUUUUCUUUGGUUAUUUGUUCUCAAAUUUCAACCGUAUAUAAAGUUUGAACUCUAAUGGCUUAUAAUGUAUUGAUUAAGAAUAAUCCUAAGAGUUCCCGAUUGAAAUUUUUAAUGACUAUUUUUAUUGUUUUGGAUAUACAAAUUGCAUUAAGAAAAAAUAUUGUCAAAUUCAGAGGAUAACGGGAAAUAAUUAUGCUUCAAAAGACCAGAGAUUAGAGAAUAAAGAAGCAUUCAUUACUGACAUACAAAAGAGAAACACUCCAAAAUUGCAAGCAAACUAGUUUCAUAUACUAUUUGGAUUUUGGAAGGGGUGAAGUUUUGAGCUUCAGUUGUUCCUCUAAAUAGCAAAGAAGACUUAUUGGUACCUUACUGAAGCUAACAUUGUGGCACGGUUGUUCAUAUGUAAUGGCUGCUCUGUUAUGGUAGCUUCUCUGUUUUUGCUCACAGUUUUGAACAUGAAUUCUUGCUCAAAUAACCCAUAAUUAAUUAACAUUAAAAUGGCUCGUGAAAUCCCAUAAUAGCUAAUUACGCAACUUUCUCCUCCUCCUCAAUUAUGUCUUCCCCUGCUCGUACAAUAAAUUCAAAAUUCAAUGCCCCGAAAAACAACACAAGAAAUCUUUGAGUUAGUUCGUGACCAGUUUAUAUAUAGUAGCAAUUGAAAAAAGAAAAAGAAGAAAAGAGUUAAUUAUUAUUCAGACCUUCACUUAUUAGGAAGUUUGUUCUGCUAUUGGGUGAGGUCAAGCUCUCAGCAUAUACUUCCACAUGAUACUUUCUAACAUUUUCUUGAAAGCCAUCAAUCAUAAAAUCUUCAUACUUUUUUCCAUCCUUUGGAUCAAUGAGUACAAAUUUCUCAUCUAAAACAGACAAAAUAAAAUCACUGUCCUUCAUGGAACAUAAUGGCUGCAAUGCCUGAACUGAAUUGGCUAAUGAAACAUAGUCUUCUUUUCUUUCUCGACAUGGAACAUAGUCUUCUUUUCUUUCUCGACACAUGUCUCUGUACUUUUCUCUCUCUACUGAUCCACACUUUUUCAUACUUCUAACUAUCAUUUUGUUUUUUUUUUUUGAGUUGUGAUUUAUUCAAUUAUUUUGUAUUUUUAAUGACAAUUAUUUAAUAUUUAGUUAGUGUUGAUAUUGAUUAGUGAUUGAAAGUGUAUUUUAGAAGACUUCCGGUCUCUUGAAAAAAGGAAAAAUGGAGAAGAAGAAGAAGUGUUCUUGAUUUUUUUGUAGGCAUUAAAGUUAAACGGUUUGAAAUGAUAUUUUGUUUUAAUUUCACUCAUUAAUCUCAUUCAGGAUAAAAUUAUAAAUGCAAAUAAAUGGGGUUUCAUAAGUAUUUUUAAUAGUGUUAAAAGGUCUACUAACUAAAUAAACAUGUUUUACCCAAACCAAUCCGAUUAAUAAGUUAUUGGGUUGGGUUGAUCAGGUUAAAAAUCAAAAUUAAAAAUUAAAUAAAUAAAUAAGGCAUAAAAACUAUAUGUUACUUGAAAAUAAAAAGAAUUUCUAAUAGUUAGUUCUAAUGUCCCAUAUCCAAAACAUGCAUAUUAAAUAAAUAUUAUAAGUUAGAAAUAAAAUAUCCAAGAAAUAAUGAAUGAAAUACCAUAUUUUUGUUGAGAAUUAAGAGUGUGAUUUUAAUUUUGAUAUUGGAGUCUAAAGCAAUAGAUAGUACAAUGAAAUCAUGAAUGCUACGUUUAAAUAAUCUCUUUUAUAAAAUAAUAAAAAGAGGUUAAAAAUUAGGUUAGCAUUUAGGGUUUAGCAGUUAAGGAUGAACAUAUUAUUAUUGUUGUUGUUGUUGUUAUUAUUAUUAUUAUUAUUAUUAUUAUUAUUUACAUAUUAAUUAAUCCAACCCAACUCAAUUAUUAACGAAUUUGAAAAAAAAUGACCAAAUUAAUCCACAAUAAUUCAUUCAACUCGUCUAAAUUAGAUUAGAUUGAAUUUGAUUUGCUACACCUACAUUGAGCAACAAACCUCAACGCGAUUCUAUGAGCUCUUUGAUUGUUUAUAAAAUUGAUUUAGAGUACAUAAUGGAGUGUAUCGACAAUGAAAGUGCAAAACAAAUUAUUGUAUACAUUAAAAUCUGCAAAACAAUGAAUUAUAUGUACGAACGAGUGCAAACACAUUUUUCAAUAAGAAGUUAAAAGAUAUUUAUGCAUGAAAAAGCAUACGUUUGUAGUUACUCUAAAUUUUUUAAAAAAAAUUUACAUUUAGAUCCCUAAAAUUUACGUAUAAGUACAAAAGUUUCAAAUAUUGUCUAUUAUUUUUUAACAUAUGCCUAUUCCUUGUGGAUAAUUCUGUCUCAUCACUAAUGUUGUUUCUUGCUUACAAAAAACAAAUGUCAUCUCCUUUUACAAUUUUUAUAGCGUCUCAAAAUAGACAAUGGGGGGAUUUUGAAUUUUUUAAGUCUCAAGAUAGUCUCUAAUCUUGUGAGAAAGAUUUUCUUUCAAUAAUUUGGAGGUAAAGAUAACAUAAUUUUUUGGAUAGUGUGCAUGUGUAUUUAAUUAAUAAUUUUUUAAAAAAAUACAUCAAAUAUUAAUAUCCAUGACAUAAUUUAGUUCUUAAUUUUUUUUAAAUACAUCAAAAACAUAAUUUUUUUUAACAACUUAUAGGCAUGACAAAUUUCAAGAUAUAAAUAUCAGUCAAAAUAAGUGAAAGAAAUAAUGGUGCCAAUUCUAAUUUCUUAACUAAAUUAAUUAGUGCAUGAGCCCCGAAUACGACACGAGAGUUUGAUGGGCUAACUUGGCACAAGAACGUGAAUAAAUAAUUGAUUUAAGAAAUAAUUCAACGAAAAAUAUAAUUGAUAAGAAUUCAGUAUUGAAAUGAGUUUUUUUGUGAAACACUGAAUUAAUGAUUAUUAAGCAAGAACAAUAAAAAAAUAAAUAUUAAUCAUUGAUAAGUUUCAACAAAAACUUAACACAAUCCUCAAUCCUCAUUCAAAUGAUAAAUGUCAUUCAUAUAUUCAUUAUAAAUCAACAACAAAGGUUAUAAAUGUUUAGAAAUUCUAGAGGGAAGGAAGCUAUCGCCGGACAAUCAACAACUAAAUUUGAUGUAAUUGUGGCACGAGAUGGAAUAUGGAAACUACACCAUAAUUUCAAAUGCCGCCAUAGACAUUGACUUAUCAUAAUAACAAUGAUCUAAUUAAAAUAAAAACAAAGUUUAUGGGCAUUUAUUAUUUUGCCAUUCCUCAUUUGCAAAUAGGGAUAUAAUUAUAAUUUUACCUAGUCAAAGCAAUCGGUAGUUUUCUUCAUUAUAGGAGUGAAGUAAAAACAUUUAGAUUUCAAUGUAUGUACGGAAAAAUUUGUCUUUAAAAAUACUUUCUUAAUGUGUGUAUGCAUAUUGAAAUACUCAAACCAAUUUUGGUUAUAUAUAAUUAAACAAAUUUUAAAAUAUGAAAAAUAUAAUGUAGUUAUAGUGGAUAAACAAUAAGUGAGCACAAUAUAAUUAAUCAAAUAUUAUGCCAUCAAAAGUUAAUUUUAGAAAUUCCAAAUCCAAUAGCCAACACAAUUCUUUUUUUUUUAAAAAAGUUGACACAAUUAAUAAAAUUAGCGACAUGAAUUUCACGCCAUUGAUAAUCAGCAAUUAGUAUUACUUUCUAAACUUGCUUCAACUGGUCGUUGAUGUCCGGGUCACCAAAAGUAUAAGCGAUAAUAAGGGGCAUUGGGCAAGAGUGAUGAAUGUUUAGUCGGUGCAUUUGAUUGAUAGAUAUAUAAAGGGCCGAAACUUGAGAUUAUAUUACUUUUACAAAUUUUAAUCCAAUCACAUAUUUACUGAAAACAAAAUGAGUUAGGAUACUUUAUUUAGAACCCACAUUUUAAUAAGGCUUCAUUUGAUGUAGUUUUUCAAACAGUGAUUAUUUGAGUAAAGUUUCCUCAAUAGAGUUUUUAUCAAAUAAAUUUUAUUUAUUUGGUUGUCGAUAAGAACUUUUAUUAAAAAUUAUAAAAUUAUUUAAAUAAACAUAUUUUUUAAAAUUACAUUAUAAAAAGAAUUAAAUAAAGUUAUAAAAGUAAAAUAUAUUUUAGAUAUUUUAAUAUUUAAGAAAAAAAUUUUGAAUCUCUACUUUCAGAAGCUCAAAUUUUUAGUUUUUAGUUGUAGAGACAAAAUAUCUUAUUUAAUCUUUAAAAGUUCUGCUAAAAACAAUCAAAUAACUAUAAAAUUUUUAAUAAGAGUAUAUAAAAUUAAAUAAGCAUUUAUUAAUAAUCACUUUAGUGUACUUAUCUAAUGACCAUAAGUGUUUAUUUAAUCUCAUAAGUUCUUAUUUAAUCUCAUGAGCUCUUUUCAAUUUUUUUUGUUGUUUGCUUUUUUUAGUAGAGUUUUUGAAAAUUAAAUAAACUAUUUUGUCUCUAUUAGGAAAAACUCAAAUUUUAGGUUUUUGUGAGUAAAUGUUUAAAUUUUUUUUAAAAUAUUAAAAUAUUAAAGUAAAAGUUGUAGAGACAAAAUAUCUUAUUUAAUGUUUAAAAGUUCUGCUAAAAAUAAUCAAAUAACUACAAAAAUUUUAAUAAGAGCAUAUAAAAUUAAAUAAGCAUUUAUUAAUAGUCACUUUAGUAUACUUAUCUAAUGACCAUAAGUGUUUAUUUAAUCUAAUGAGCUCUUUUUAAUUUUGUUUGUUUGUUUUUUUAGUAGAGUUUUUGAAAAUUAAAUAAACUAUUUUGUCUCUAUUAGGAAAAACUUAAAAUUUAGGUUUUUGUGAGUAAAUGUUUAAAUUUUUUUUAAAAUAUUAAAAUAUCUUUUCUUUAUUUCAUAAUCUUAUUUCAUUCUUCACAACAUAACUUUAAAUAACUCACCUAUUAAAAUAAUUUCACAAUUUAUAAUAAAAAUUUUAAUUGACAAUCAAAUAACAAAUUUUUUUUUAUAAAAACUCUAAUAAUAAAAAUUCUACUUAAAUAAAUUAUAUUUGAAAAGGUAUACCAAACGAACCUAACAUAAAAACAAAAAUUUUUACAUCCACACAAUUAAGCUUAAAACAAUUUCAAAUGAAUUUUAGACUACUCAAAGUACAAUACGUACCAAGUUUGGUAACUUAUUGGGGUCCGCUUGUAAUACAGCGUCUGUAUCUCAUACAGCCAAAUUUAAUAAUUUAUUAAGAAAAAGGGCAACCAUUAGAUAGAAGUAGAUACAUCCAACGGUUAAAAUGUUUGAUUACUCAUUUUGGCGACCGGAUAUGCCAGUUAUUAUUUCAUCAAUUAACUUACCUAAAAAAUCACAGCCGUUGGAUUGAGAUGCCUCUCUUUCCCUCAAAAUAACAGCCUUCGUAUUCUCUCUGCUAUUGUUUUCUCCUACAUCCAGAAUUUUGGAUGAAUGAACUUGGUAUUCAACAAUAUUCACCACCCAUCACAGCAAAGAGCAAAGAUGUAGUCAAAGGAGUGCCAUUUAUUCAGGCUAACUCGAUCUGUCACUCUCGCUUCAAUUCGUCACUCAUUUUCUCGCGCUCAGCUUCAAUCUAUCACUCUCAGCUUCAGUUCGUCACUCACAGCUUCAAUUUUUCACUGUCGUGAAUCAUCUCUCUUGCUGUAUCUCUCUCUUAUGUCUUCCAAUAAUUUCGGUGAGCUCUCUCUCUAAUUUAAUAUAUGAUUAAAAAUCUUAUCAUCUUAUCAUGUCAUUUAAAUAUGCUUGAAGUUUCAAUUUAGUUUAUGAAUAUUACUUGAAAUUUCAGUUUCAAUAAUUUGAUUUUGCAAUUGAGAAAUUAUUACUUGAAAUAUUGAGAUGAUUUCUAGGGAUUGAUAAUUGAAUGAUAAUUGCUAAGGCUUGUCAUUUUUUGUUUUUGAACAGAUAGAGUUACAAUUAAGUCAUACUGCAAUAUUUUAUCUUGAGAUUCUAUUAUUCACAAAAAGAAAAAAAUCAUAAAUUGAAAAAAAAAAAAAAGAGGUUACGAGCAUCAAGCAACUGCAAGUAAUGGGGUUUGUUUUGAUGAGCUGCGAAUUGGGGCCUGUCAUUUUCUUGAAGUAUCUUCAAUAUAAGUGGAAGGAGAUUUCUUCUCUCCAAAAAAUUAUUGUAUAUUUCCUUUUAAAUUCUAGAUUCGCAUGUAGCUGAUUUUUUAUGUUUGAAGGAUUUUAUUAAAGAAUGUGCUGCUGCUAGUGGCAUGAAUUAAUGUAGUCUCGCUAGUAUUCGUGAUUUGGGGUAAGGAUCGAAUUGAACAAUUAUAUUUCUAUUAUUCUUAUAUUCGAAUCCAGUGAUAUUGUGGUGGUUUUAUGAUAAUAUUCAAUUGUUUUGUGCCUCAAAUCAGCCAAUGAGUUGGGUAUGUGCUGGGUAUAUGCCGUAUGGGCUUGUUGUUGAAUUUGCUUGACCUUGGAUGUGAUUCUUGCCGUGUUUAUAAGAAAUAGACACAGGUCUUUGUGUGGUAAUAGAAUUGUCUAAGGUGCCUUACAAUAAAUUUAAGAGUCUUAAGUAACUAUGCUUUGUAACCUUAAACCUUUAUUUGUACGACUUGGUGUUCUUGGUUGUGAAAGAAUGUUAAAUGUUGACCUAUUUUCAUCGGUGAAGAUAAAUGAAGUUAGGGAAGGUUUGUAAUCACUAUAACCCUGACAAUUUUUUUGGUGGGCCGUGAUAAUUUUAUUCAUGGCAUGUACUUUGUUUUUAUCAGAAGGCCCUGUUUGCUUGUAGUCUCAAAUCUAGGGUAAUAUUUUAAAUAAGUUCUGCAAUAUAUGUUUUGCUAUUUUUCUUUUUUGUUUUUAUUUUAAUUAGUUUUAGUAUUACUUGGAGGGGAAUUCUGAUCUGCUGAAGUUUAUCAAGCUGGUGCAGUGGUGCAGCAAGCAGACCUUUAUCUUAAUCUUAUGAUUGUGCUAAGUGGAAUUUUGUGUAAGUUACAACAAUAUAAUUUUUUAAAGAGCUGACAAGACGCUCUCUCUUUUUUUUGGAAUGUUGAGCAAAACUUUUCUUUCUUAUUAGGUGUUUAUAAUAAUUCAUAGCAUGGGUUUUGUCAUAUUGGUUUCAAUGCAUUGAUUUGAUCUUGGUUACAACCCAUCAGCCCUUACUCCUCAUUCCCAGCAGCUUUUAAUGCCUUUUUUUUAAGCAUUGUACUUUGUUUCAUGAUGAAAUUUGUUUAUAUGACGCAAAGUUGAGGACACGGUAAUAGUCAUUAUUUUAAUUUAUGCAACAAAGAUCAUUAUCCAUUAAAUUUUAUGUUGUUGAAAUAUUUAGAUUUUGUAAAUUUUGUUGUAAGAAAUGAGGGCUCUUGAUCCCAUCCCUUUAUUAUAUACAAUUUUUUUUCACUCUGUCAUUCAUUUAUUGUGUGUUAGAGGUAUUAGUCAUGUGCAAAAGUAAAGAUCUUUAUUUUGUUAUUUUUGUCAUCUUGUGCUUCAUUGGUAUAAAUGAGGAAAAAAAAGAAUAAAAUAAAAUAAAAUUAUAGUUUGUGCAUGAAUUCCACCAUAUAUGAAAUGUUUAAUAGAUUAAAAAGUAAGGAGUACACAGUGACUUUGAAUAGCAGGUGGGGGAACUCAUUUUGUUUUAAAAAAAAUUAAUACAUAUUGAUAGAAUAAUUAUCCUUCACUUAAUUAUUUAAAAAUUUUAUUUUGGAAGAAUACAAAUGGACAGUCACCAAUGAAAGCGUAAACGACUACCAGGGGGCUUACAGAAAAAAUUGCUCCUAUUCUAAAAGUAGAUGGUCAGGACAAAGUUCCAACAACUUCAACUUAUGGAUUUGUCUCUUACUUGUAAGGUAAUCUCUUCUUGUAGGGUGUUUAAUUGAAUUAAAAACAGAAUAUUAUUUGCAUUAUAGAGUACAGGCAUAAAUUCAUUAUCUAUGUCAGUUCAUUCAUGAUUUUACUCCAAAUGGAGUAAUAGAUCACCAUUAAUUUAUUGAUACAUCGUCCAUGUUUGUUUUCGUCUUCAAUUUUUAUAUUACAAUAUCUAAUCUAUUUAGUAUUCGUAAAAAAACAUACGAGAAAAAGUUGGAAAAACACUUUAGGGGUGAUUGUGUACACUUUCGUAUGGCACAAAUAGCGUUAGGCUUUGUUUUUUAAGUGGACGACGUGUCCAUUUUUUGUGUUACAUCUUACUCAUUAAUAUAUUUUUGAGUUUCUUAUGGAAAAAAAAUUGAAAAAACACUUUAAGUGAAAAAAAUUUGUAUUUCAAUUUAUAUGUAACAGUGAAUUGGAAAAUAAAUUCUACCAAUAAUUAAAAGAAUACUUUUCUUUUAAUUAUUAAAAAGAUAAGGUAGUUACUCAUUACCCAUAUAAAUGGACAGUUUUAAUUUGUUCCAUAUCUAUACAACAGAAGAGCUUCAGACACGGUUUGCAGCGUUCCACGAUCACUUCCAUUCUAAGCAGCAGCGUCUUCCGUCUUUUUGCACACCAACAGCAGAUUCUAGAUGGCCAGAAGCUCAUCUGCCGCACUCUCGGGAUUUCGCUGCCAUCCUCAUCUUCAUCUCCACUACCUCCUCAGUGAUUAUCCCCUGGUUUUAUGCUCAGAAAUUAUGAUUAUUAUGUAUCUUGUUUUCAGAUUUGUCAAUACUUGUUAUAUUUUGAUUAUGCAUUAUGGACAUUUUUCAUAAGAUAGCUUAAUUUUGUGGUUUGUGUUGACGAUUUCCAUGUAUGGAUGUUUGGAUAGGUAAUUUCGCCUUCCAUGCAUUCUUCAUUCCUGCAUCCUGUGGGAGAAAAUUGGAAAAAGUGGUUUUUGAUGAGAAACGGGGAGAAGGAUGAGAUAUAUAUUUUUGAAGUGUCACAUUAUUUCAAAAACAAACCCCAAAUUUAAUUUCUCUUACCGAUCAUGAGUUAAAAUAUAAAAAUUAACGUUUACUCAUCACACUGUUAUAAGUAUCAAAGCAUUACUUAUAGAAAAAUUAUCGUCACCUAUCCUACAUUUGUGAUUGAAUAGUGGCACAAUUUUAAUUGGGAUAUUUAACAUUACUCUUUGUAAUUGUUUGGUCUUAUUUGAAGUUUGUAAAUUUUUCAUAACUAUGACUUCAACAGCAUAUUUCAGGUUGCAUUUAAUCGUUGCUAUAAUUAGGUACUUUGAAAUAAUUUAUUGGCCACGAUUACAGUCAUUGUUAUUAGUCACCCCUCUUUUUUCUCUUUUGGCCAACCAGCUCUUGGAUAUUUGGGAACCGAUGACAAUAGUUGGGAAAUUAUGUAAUAUUGGUGUGUUUGCGAAAUAAAUCAAGAGAUUUGCCUUGCCGAAGUUAAAAGAGAUAUUGUGGCCUGAAUUUUUUUUUUUUUUCUCUAGGGGCCAUGGCUCUCAAGGACAAGGCAUGAAUCAUGCAUUAUAAUUGCUCGAAAGGGUUAGUAAAAUAGCAAUCUAAAAUACCCAAGUUGGAUCUGCUGUUGAAUCACAAAAAGAACAUAAUUGGGAUAUGAAGUCAUGGUUGCAAGUGUUGGACCCUUAGGUUACGUUUGGCACGUAGGAUUGGAUUGAACUAAUUACUAAAAUUGGAUUGAAUUAUAUUCGAUUGGAUUAAACUGGAUUAUAUUAUAUAGUUCUAUGGUUAGUACAAUAUCGGAUUAAACUAUGUUAAAUUAUAUUUAAAUAAUAUUAAAUAGCAUUUAAGUUGGUAUUUUAAUAUUAAUAUCAAUUAUUCAUGAAAUUUCAUAAUCAUAAUUAAAAUAAAUUUAAAAAACAAUUACCAGGAAAAUUAAAUAUAUUGUAAAUAAGUUACUGGGUAGUCAUAAUACAGUAAACAAAUGAACAUAGAUAAAAAAAUUAAAUUUUAAAUAAUUUUUAUCAAAUUUUAAAAAAAAAUUAUAUAAAAUCAAUUAUUUAAUGGUAUUAUUAAUUUUCAUGAUUAUUUUUAAUAGUAUAUAACAAUGAUUAUUAAAUUUAAUACAAUCAAAUAAUGCAAUAAAUAAUUAAACAUUUAAUUUUAUCAAUAAAUUACUAAAUAUACAAGUGGUGAAAAUUUAAUCUCCAGAGUUAGUACAAGUAAAGGUAUUAAUUUAAUUAGAUCAUAGAUAAUAAAUAAAAAUAAGUUUUAAGUAAAUCAUAUUAAAAAUUAAUUAAUUAAUUAAUACUAGGUGUAAAUAAAAAAAAUGAUAUAAAUAAAAAUCUCAUAAAUGGACAACUUUUUUCUUUAAUCUUAUCCCAACUAAACCCAUGCGUAAAUUAGGAUUAUCAAUUCCAUGAUUUUAGGAUUAAAUUUAAAUUACUACCCCCUUAAUCCAAUCCAACUAAGCUUGCCAAACAUUGGAUAAAUAUUUAAUUCCAAAAUUAGUCUAAUCCCAUACUUAAUCCUAGAAUCCAAACAUGGCAUUAGCACCUUAUAUAACAAAGUGUCACUGAAAUACAGCAAAACGUUAUAAACAAGAACUUAUUUCUGUACAAAAUGUUAUUUACUUUUUGUGAACUUCCAAAUACCUACUAUAUGAUUUGCAAACCCUACAAAAGUCUACCUUGCAUGCUCUUUCUAACGUGAAAUUUGAUUUUUAUUAAAUUUUUGAUGUGUUCACUAAUAAAUAAUUGGAAUCUAAAAAAAUUAGAAAAAAAUAGAAUUAGAAUGAGCUACAAUAAAAAUGAGGAAUAACAAAAAAAAUGAUAUUUGUUGAGAUGAAUGAAACACAAUUGAAAUACUCUAUAUCGCUCUUAAUAUGUUCACUUUGUGAACAUAAAUUAGAAUUAGUUGUUAUAACUUAGUAAUUUAUCCUCAAUCAAUUAUUAUCAUUAUUACUAUUUGUUAUAAUAAUUGUAAUUAUUAUUUUUGAUAAUUUUAAUACUAAGAAAAUUAUUGUUAGGGGUGGAAACACCAUAUAGAGAAGGAACAAUUAAAUUUAUAAAAUUUAGUGGGGAUAAAAUAGUCACUUAAGACAGCAAGCGUCUCCCAUUCUCACCUCCACGAGCAUGAAAACACUAGUAAUCAUUCUUAAAUUUUGAUGGAAUCUGUUGCUUUUAUUCUAAUAACGAACGCAAAACCUAUGGAAUUAGUUGGAAUAACGAAUGCAAAACCUCUGGAAUUACAAUUGAAAUACGUCAACCCAAAAUGGAGAAAGCACAACUAAAAUUAGAGACCUACAAAACCAAAAAUAAACUUAUAGAAAACAAACCCGGUACCUAAUCUCAAUAAUUGGAAUCUCAACCAGUUAAUGGAAAUAUUCAACUCAAAAUUAGGGAAAAAUUAGAUGAAACACGUGAACCAUUGAGAGAGAAAGUAUGACGAAAAUUAGAAACUCAUUUAACGAAAAAUAAUAUUUACUUGGAAUCUAACCCAUGAUACUGGUACCUAAGGAACUUUAUAGGAAUAUGAAACGCAAAACCAGUGGACCAAUAAGUUGAAACAUGUGAACCAAAAAAUGAAAAACUAUAACCAAAUCUUGAGACUAAUCAAACCAAGCAAAAGUAAUAUUGAUAUUUAACCCAUAUAAUUGGAAUUUUACCAAAUUAGUUGGAAUAACGAAUGUAGAACUUGUGGAAUUACAAUUGAAAUACAUCAACAAAAAAUGGAGAAAGCACAACCAAAAUUAGAGACCUACAAAACCAAAAAUAAAUUUAUAGAAAAUAAAUUUGGUACCUAACCACAAUAAUUGGAAUCUCAACCAGUUAAUGAGAAUUCUCAACGCAAAACUAUAGGAAAAAUUAGCUGAAACACAUGAACCAUUAAGAGAGAAAUUAGAACGAAAACUUGGAACUUAUCCAACGAAGAAUGCUCGUGACUUGGAAUCUAACAACAAAUAUUGGUACUUGACUAAUUUAGUAGGAAUAUCAAAUGCAAAACUCAUUGACCAAUAAGUUGAAACAUGUAAACCAAAAGAUGAAAAAGUAUAACCAAAACCUGAGAAUAAUCAAACCAAGAAAAAGUAAUAUUGAUUUUUAACCCAUAUAAUUGGAAUUUUACCAACUUAAUUGGAAUAACGAAUGCAAAACCUGUGGAUUUACAAUUGAUAUACGUCAACCCAAAAUGGAGAAAGCACAACCAAAAUUAGGGACCUACAAAACCAAAAAUAAAGUUAUAGAAAACAAACCUGGUACCUAACCUCAGUAAUUGGAAUCACAACCAGUUAAUAGGAAUAUUCAAUGCAAAAUUGGGGAAAAAAUUAGAUGAAACACGUGAACCAUUAAGAGAGAAAGAACAACGAAAACUAGGAACUUAUCCAACAAAGAAUGAUAGUUACUUGGAAUCUAACAGUAAAUAUUGGUACUCGACGAAUUUAAUAGGAAUAUCAAACGCAAAAAUAGUGGACCAAUAAGUUGAAACAUGUGAACCUAUAGAUGGAAAAGAAUUACCAAAAUUUGUAACUAAUCAAACCAAAAAAAGUAAUAUAGAUAUCUAACCCAUAUAAUUGGAAUCUCGACAAAUUAGUUGAAAUAUUAAACAAAAAACUAGUGGAAUAAUAGUUGAAACACAUGAACCAAAUGUGGAGAAAGUUUAACCAAAUUUUGAAACUUAUCCAAUGAAGAAUGCUAGUUACGUGGAAUCUAACAACAAAUAUUGGUACUCGACGAAUUUAAUAGGAAUAUCAAACGCAAAAAUAGUGGACCAAUAAGUUGAAACAUGUGAACCUAUAGAUGGAAAAAUAUUACCAAAAUUUGGAACUAAUCAAACCAAAAAAAGUAAUAUCGAUAUCUAACCCAUAUAAUUGGAAUCUUGACAAAUUAGUUGAAAUAUUAAACGAAAAACUAGUAGAAUAAUAGUUGAAACACAUGAACCAAAUGUGGAGAAAGUUUAACCGAAUUUUGAAACUUAUCCAACGAAGAAUGCUAGUUAUUUGGAAUCUAACAACAAAUAUUGGUACUCGAUGAAUUUAGUAGGAAUAUCAAACGCAAAAAUAGUGGACCAAUAAGUUGAAACAUGUGAAUCUAUAGAUGGAAAAGCAUUACCAAAAUUUGGAACUAAUCAAACCAAAAAAAGUAAUAUCGAUAUCUAACCCAUAUAAUUGGAAUCUCGACAAAUUAGUUGAAAUAUUAAACUAAAAAUUAGUGGAAUAAUAGUUGAAACACAUGAACCAAAUAUGGAGAAAGUUUAACCAAAUUUUGAAACUUAUCCAACGGAGAAUGCUAGUUACUUGGAAUCUAACAAAAAAUAUUGGUACUCGACGAAUUUAGUAGGAAUAUCAAACGCAAAAAUAGUGGACCAAUAAGUUGAAACAUGUGAACCUAUUGAUGGAAAAGCAUUGCCAAAAUUUGGAACUAAUAAAACCAAAAAAAGUAAUAUCGAUAUCUAACCCAUAUAAUUGGAAUCUUGACAAAUUAGUUGAAAUAUUAAAUGAAAAACUAGUAGAAUAAUAGUUGAAACACAUGAACCAAAUGUGGAGAAAGUUUAACCGAAUUUUGAAACUUAUCUAACGAAAAAUAAAUUUAAUUGGAAUUUAACCCAAAAUAUUAGUGUUUAACGAGUUUAGUGGGAAUAUUAAACAUAAAACUAGUGGAUCGGAAAAUGGAGAUAAGCAAACCAAUUAGUGAGAAAGUUGAAUCAAAAUUAGGUAUAUGUGAAAUUAACUUGGAAUGUCACCUAAUAUAUUGAUAUUUAACCAAAAGAAUCGAGACAUGCUCAUUUUAAUUUUUUUAAACUUUUGUUGCAAUUAAAAAUAAUUUUUUCACUUAAAUAUUGUUUGUGUUAAAUAUUUACAAAAUUUCCUUAAUUUUUCCUGUUUCAUUUUAUUUUUUCUACAUUAAAAAUAAUUUUUUAAAAAUUAUUAAAUGAACAACCGGUAAAAUACCGGUUGUUCAAGUUUCCUUUUUACUGUUGAAGGGGCUGUAUUUUAUACAGCACUGUACUAUAGGAAGACUCAACUUAUUGACAUCUUCUCAUAUAACCUUCGAUCAAGUCGAUUCUGACCUGACGACUAAUUGGUACAUCACCGUUGUUCUCUAUACUCGCAUGCAUCGGAUCACAAAUCUCACUCCAAUUGUCGUCUUUCUUCGCCGUUUUAGCGCAUACUUCUUGAAUUUCCCGCAUUUCGUUCCCUCCUGUUACAAGUCUCCGGUCAGGUCAGUGAUUGAAUUUCCCGCAUCUCUAUCCCUCCCGUUUUCUCGCGUCGUUUCACUUCAAUUUCUCGUGUCUCCUUUCAGUUUAAGUGAUUGAAUCAAUUUUAUCGCAGUCAUAAGAGAAAUUAAGUAAUGCUCUUGGAUUUAAAAUUUUUUUGCUUUCGACUUUAGAUCUCGAAAGUCAAACUCUGCUACGAAUCCAUAGAUUCUCAAUGCUCAUAAUCUUAUUUGUGUUUGACCAGGUAACUGGAUCGUGAAAUUCGUCGUUUUGUAUCAAUUCAAGCUUUCGCGAGCUCAUGGAAUCACCUGGUGAGUUGUGGUGAAACGUUAUCGUUUCAAUUUUCGCUUAAUUCUUUAUUGCAUAUUUUUUUCUCUAAUGUUUCAGUUUAAUUUAGAAAAGAAAGAGGCCCCAAAAAGAGAGAGAGAGAGAGACUCUACCAUACUCAAUUCCUUGCUCAUUCUGAUUUGGCCUGAAUGUUGGCAUUGACUAUUAUUUGUUUUCAUUUCGAUUUAAUUCUCAUUUAGACAGUCUUUACUAACGGUCAAUAAUAGUUUAAGGAAAAUGAUCAUAGGGAUUCUGCAAUAAUCUUUCUGCAUUGUUCAAGUUAGUAGACAAUGAAUAGGAUGUUUAUGUUUACCUCAUUUUGAACCCUGAGGGCUUCGUUGAGUAGUUGAUUCAACAUAUCCAGCAACGGUUGAUGUGAGAACAGAAUGCCACUUAGAUAGGCUUAAACUGAUUUUGGAGGUUUGUAUUGGUUCUAUUGUACGUCUUGCUUACAAAUUUUUAAUUUUUAAUUUUGUAUAAUAUGCUCUUUGUUGGUAAAUCUCAUUUGACUUAGAAGAGAUAGUUUUAUCCCAACAGUGGGAUAAAUCAUUGAGAUGCAUGGCAGUGUGAAUAUAGUAGACAAAAUCAUUGAGACACAUGGUGGUGUGAACAUAGUAAACUUUGUCAAACACAGCUAAGAUAAACAAAUUGUUUCAUUAGCCUUUACCUUAUCUGCUGUGAUGAUUCAAAUUAAUGCUGUUUGGUAGGUUGCAAAAAACGAAAUGAGCUGUCUGUUCGUAUUAUUUAGUCAGAUCUAUUGCAAUAAGUUGAAGUUCAUUGUCACAUGGGUUGGGAGUAGCGUGGGCUGUGAGUAGUAGAAUGGAUUUAUGGAGUUGAUACAAGUGCCCAUAAUCUAUCAUGUCAUUCUAGGAUUAAAUGGAUUGCACAUUACUGUAAAGAUGGAGGUUAAAUUUAUAUAAUUCGGAUUGAUUGUAAAAUGGGAGGCAGAGAUGAGUUAGAAAAAGAAUGACCUGUGUCCUUUUUGAGCUGUUUCUAAAUCUCCCUGGUGUGCUUCAUGCUUAACACGUGUCUUUCCAAAUAAUUUUGCUUAACCUGUGCUUGUCUACUUCUUGUGCUAUUCUGUGCCUGGUCCUGAGCUGUGUUGGUAGAUUGACAUAAUUUUGCUCUGCUAAAUGUAUAACUUAUUAAUCAGAGUCCUGUUAUUAUGGUUUGACACUACUGACAUAUUGUGUUGGUAUUUAUUUGUACUUCCCUUGGUUGAAUUAUUUGCUGUCUCCAUGCAAUUCGAUAUGGUGCUACUUGGUUUUUGAUCAUCCAUGACGCUAUAUAUAUGUAAAGGAUGAAUUGAUUGUUUUGGCUUGUAUUCUCACAUUUUAUGAUUGAUCGAUGGAAAGGUUUUCAUGCAUUAAAUUCAACCUCACAAGCGUAAGAUUGACAGAUUGUGGGCAAAUUUUCAGGAAAAGAAACUAGACUUCAUGGAAGCAAUGAAGCUUGAAAUUGAACGUCUGCAGCUGAAUCUUUCUGCAGCUGAAAGGGAUAGAACUUUAUUGUCAAUUGGAACUGAUCCUGCCUCUAUAAAUCCAAAUGUAUUGCUUGAUGAAUCUUACAUGGGAAGACUGUGUCGAGUAGCAAACACUCUUGCAUUACUUGGCCAAGCUUCCCUAGAAGAGAAAAUUGUUGGUGCAAUUGGCCUUGAGAAUAGUGGUGAUAGUGUUUUAGACUUCUGGAAUAUUACUAGAAUCGGAGAGAGUUGUUCUGGUGGUGGGUGCGAGGUUUGUGCAGAAACUAAGGUGCCUGCUCUUGCUUCCUCAACUGCAACAUCUGUUGGAUCUUCACAAUCCCCUUUGUUGUGUUCUCAAUGUGAAAGAAAAGUUUGCAAAGUUUGUUGUGCAGGAAGAGGAGCUCUACUGUUUUCAAAUUAUAAAUCAAGGGAUGUGACCAACUACAAUGGCUUCUCAAGUCAGAGUGGAUCAAGCCAUGGAAGCCAAGUUGAUGUAGCUACCAGUCGUUCACUAACACUGGAUGGCGUUAUCUGUAAACACUGUUGCCAUGAGAUGGUGCUUGAUGCAUUGAUGUUGGACUAUGUUAGGGUCUUGAUUAGGUUGCGAAGAAGUUCCUGUGCAGACAACGCAGCAUACAAUGCUUUGAAUGAGGUUGUUGGAUCCUGCUUAAAGGAUAGUCUUUCUGAGAGGAUUCAGUCUUCCGAUAAUGCGCAAGCAGCUAAAGUCCUGCACCAAUUAUGUGGUGGACAGGAAGCACUUGCUGAAUUUCCAUUUGCUAGCUUUUUGCACUCGGUAUGUUCUUGGUUUGUAUUCAGUUCUCAUCAUAUUAUGUUUUCCUUUUAAAUUUCAUUUCUUGAUUAAAAUUUUUAGAAAUGUGUUUUAGCAUUUAUUCUUAUGAUAUAUGCCCGGAACAUUCAUCCCACUUAUCCAUGAGAAUCCUUGUCUGGUUUGAUUUUCAAUUGAGACAUUUUUGGGAACCCUGCGCAGGUUCCAUAUGCUAAUAAUCUUUGAGGUAAGGUGUUGUAGGAUGCCUUGAGAAGCUAAAAACCCAUUACAAGGAAAAGGUCUUGCAUUGUUUUGUGCAAUCUGUGUGCGAGCUAGUCAUGUCUCUAAUAAUUUCAUAGUUUGCUUGAUUGGAAUUUUUUAUCUUGAUAUGGAUUGUUUAUUCUAGAUUCCUUGGUGCCACUGUAGGUUGAAACAGCAAAAGAUUCAGCACCGAUUUUGUCACUGCUUGCUCCAUUAAAUUCUGGAUCAAGGCACUCAUAUUGGAGAGCUCCACCUAGUACUACUUCUGUUGAAUUUGUUAUUGUUCUCGGUUCUGUUUCUGAUGUCAGUGGGGUUAUCUUGCUUGUUAGUCCUUGCGGCUAUUCUGUGGCUGACACUCCGAUGGUAAGUGCCAUAUUUAUUCCCUUAUUUCCUUGUUGUUCAAUAAAUUUGGUGAUAAGCCAAGUGGCCUUAAUAAUGAAGCCCAGUACCAGGGUUGGUGGGUAAUAGAUAUUCAACUUGUGAAUAUUCCUAAGCAAACACUGAAUCAACAUAUACCUCGGCUAAAGUUCUCUAUGCUAUUAUAACAAAAGUCAUAUUUUGAAAUGAUUAAAAGAGUCCCUGUGUAGUGCCAUUUCCAAAGAAAUUGCAGCUGGGGGUUUAGUUUCAUGUAGGUUAGUUUCCGAUAAUAAACUUUCUAUUUCAUUAAUUGCUGAUGAAAAAACCAAGUAAGAACAGUUUUGUUGCUCGUCAUUUUUGUAUAUUUUGGUAAACUGUAAUUUUAAAUUCUCAACGAUCUUCCCUUUGUAGGUAAGAAGAUGGUCCACUCACUUGAUAUUUAUGAUUGUAGAUCAGGUUUCUAUUGGUUUGCCUUUAUCAUUUAGAACCCAUGUUUGAUAUUAACAGAGAUCACGUCAAUAAUAUCCUAUUUGGGUAGAUGUGGGUGAGGAUUUAAAAUCAAAUUUGAAAUUGAGGGGAAAGAAGAGAAAAGGAACCACAAUAAUUAAACAAAAUAAUAGGAACUAUUCUGAUGAGUUUUAAUCUCGAGAGGAACAAUUUUCAAAUGCACUGCUAGAGAAAUUGUAGCUUUUUGUCAUUAGUUAAAAGGAAAAAGAAUAAGAACUAUCCGGCCCUUUCCUUCAUGAAUGUGUGUUGAGGUUGCUGUAUUAUUUAGUCAGUAUUUGUAAUUUUCUUCCCUGCAGUGCUCUCUGCCUCCUGAAUUUGCUUCCUAUUGCUGUUACAGGUGCAAAUCUGGGCAAGCAAUAAGAUACACCAGGAGGAAAGGUCAUCAAUGGGAAAAUGGGAUGUCCAAUCCCUCAUCACAUCUUCUUCAGAUUUGUAUGGUCCAGAAAAGUCUGCUAGUGUUGAAAAAUUACCUAGGCAUGUAAAAUUUACUUUUAAGAAUCCUGUUAGGUGCCGCAUUAUUUGGAUCACAUUACGUCUUCAGAGACCUGGUUCGGCUUCAGUUAAUUUCGGGAAGGACCUCAGUCUUUUGUCUCUUGAUGAAGAUGAAAACCCCUUUGCACAAGUAGACAGACGUGCUUCAUUUGGAGGAGCAGUUGAAAAUGAACCAUGUAUUCAUGCCAAAAGAAUUCUUGUAGUCGGAAGCCCAGUAAAAAGGGAGGGGCUUACCACAUCACAGAGCUCUGAGCAGCUAAGUAUUAGAAACUGGUUGGAUAGAGCUCCACAAAUGAGUAGAUUCAAGGUAUUAGUUGCUUUCACUCUUUGUUCAUUCAUAAUUCCAGCUUUCUGCUUCACUGAUAAACCUCUUUUUUCUCUUCAGGUCCCAAUUGAGGCCGAGAGAUUGAUGGACUACGAUCUCGUCUUGGAACAGUAUCUACCUCCAGCGUCACCUUCGCUUGCCGGAUUCUGUCUAGACGCUUUCAGUGCAAUAAAACCUAGGGUUACCCAUUCACCUUCCUCAGAUUCAGAUAUCUGGGACAAAUCAGUAACAUUUUUAGAAGACAGGUACAUCUCUCAAGCUGUAUUGUAUUUACAAGUAUCCGCACUCCAGGAACCACAUAACAUGGUAACUAUUGCGGAAUAUCGACUGCCGGAGGCUAGAGCCGGAACGCCAAUGUACUUUGAAUUCCCACGACCGAUACAGUCCCGACGAGUUUCAUUCAAGCUUCUUGGAGAUGUUACAGCAUUUGCAGAUGAACCUUCAGAACAAGAUGAUUCAGGAUUGAGAGCUCCACUUGUGGCCACAGGUUUGUCUUUGUCAAACAGAAUCAAGUUAUAUUAUUAUUGUGAUCCUUAUGAGCUUGGAAAAUGGGCAAGCCUUUCUGGAGUUUGAUCGUUAUUUAUAUGUCAGAGAAAGAGUUUUGGGUUUGAUUUUGAUUUUGAUUUGUAAUUUUUGUCAGUUUAUUGAAAUUUUUUUGUUGUAUAAAAGCAGAAUGUAAAGGUAUAAAAAUUCAUUGAUGCUGCAAUGUCUGUGCUUUUGAGAAAGAAGAAUUCAAUGUCUUUUCUAUGCCAUUGGAUUUUCCCACUGCUUGUAAACUUGGGCUGUCGAGUGCUCUGUGAACCUUAAGGGCUAUAAAGUAAUUUUUUAGACUGAAGGAUUUAUUAAUCGAGUUCAAAAGAUUGCAAGUUGGUGAGCGUUGGCAUUUAAAAAUCAAUUGUUAUUCUCUCAAUAAUCUCUCUCUUCUGCCGACACCCCAAGCUCAGAAACCCAUUGUUCCGACGGACGUGUAACACUUCCAGAAAUUAGCCUUUUCUUCUAUAUGAAGGUUGAUCUCUCCUCGUGAAGUGAAGGUGGUUUUCCAAUUACAUACGUCGGGGGUCUUAUGAUAUCUAAUGUGUGAAAUUUCUUUCUCAUUUUACCAUAAAGAAAAGUUCUGUAAUGAUCUAAAGUUGGGAGUCUUAAAUUAUCUUAAAUUUAUAUUUAGAGUGGAGUUAUUGGCACCCUACAUUAUUCUUACAAAAUUCUAUUUUAAAUAAAAUUAUAAUUAAAGACAAUUGAAAAUUAUAGAUUUUUUUACAGCAAAUUACUUAAGUCAUAAUUAAUCCUUAAAAAAAAAUCUAUAUGUUACUUCUUAUUUAAUUAAAAUAAAUUGUACAAAUUUAAAAUAAUUUAUUGUUUUCUUUUGAUUUUUUAUUGAUUAAAUAUUUUUAUACUUAAAAUUACUUUGAAAUUAUAAUUUAAAAUAUGUGUUAUAUGCAAUAGUUCGAUUUACCGAACCACAAAGGGAGCCAAUGUGGUUUUGCCAAAAUCACAUACUGUAGCAUAAUAACAGAUAUUAUUAUUGUAUAAUAGAUGGGUUUAGAAAAAUUGAAGAACCAAGUAAGUUAUUUGAAAAAUGUCGAUUCUCGUACCAAACCCAUGUUUUAUGCCAAUUGUUUUUGGAUUGGAGUGCAGGCAUUAACAAUGAUGGAGAUGGAGGAACUGUAGCAUUAGUCAUAUGAAGAGUACGUGUCAGGUUUGAUUUUCAUGUGAUUUGGUUAGUGACGACGAAAACGACGACGUCGUAGUUGAAAAGCGUUUGAAUUAAUGUUGCGUUAAAAAAAAAAUUUAACUUGUUCCACUAAUUAAGUCAACAUUACUGAUGUCUUAUCACCCUCGGCCAACUUAACAAUUGGUGUCCUUUGGACAAUUAAAUAUGAUUUAUUCAAAAAAAAUAAAACUAUUAAAUAUUAAAAAUUAGGUCCAUUAAUAAUAAUAAUAAUAAUACUAAGAAUUAAGAAGAUCUAAUUACAUAUCAAAAUGACUCAAACAAAUUAAUUAAUUUCAUAUUAGCUAGCCAAGUAGGUUGUCCAUCCCACUCAGACAUGCACGAAAGCUAAAUUCAUCAAAUGAAUUACUUAAGGAGUAUUUGAUAAUUUUGAAAUUAUAAUUUCAAAUUAAAAUAGUAGUAGCAAAAUCGUAGUGCACAUUCAAUUAACCAACUAAUAGUCUAAGAAGCAAAGAGAGGAUUACAAGUUCACAACACCAUUAAAAAGGAUUCAAAAUUCCCACACGAAAACAUCAAUGUACAGAUUAUAAACAAUCCGAAUUGGACACAAGAAAAAACCCUUCAAUGGAUUGCUUGCCUUCCCAAUGCUAUAUACUGUGCAAACUGCGCACUGGCCAAGAAAAUAUUUUCAAUUUAGUGUAUUUUCAAAAUGCUUAUUUUCUCAGAAUAUAAAAAAAAAAAAAACAAAAAAAGAAUUCUUACAUGUUUCAUCAGCAUGAUUAAAAUCAAAGAAGAAAGCGAAGACAUAAUGUCUCUGACAUAAUAAAAUUACAAUUUCAUGCAGCAGAGAUUGAAGAGUUGAAUUCCACUUAUAGACACCGACCUCUUGUUUUGUCUAAUGUUAAUAACGAAAACAACAACAGAGGAUUAACUGAUGCUUUGACUUAUUAUCAGGUUGCAAUGAAUUAUUAACUGAUGCUUUGACUUAUUAGUUCUGCUGCUAAGUUAAAUAAAAUAAGGUAUUUUCAAAAGCAAAAUGGAAUACAUAGAUAAAACAUCAUCUUAAACAAAUCAUAAUCUAGAAUUGGAGACAUACCCAAGGAGAAAGAAUACGUGAAAAUGGGUGAUUCAUUUGUUAAGGAGUGUUGAUUUGGUCGUCUCUGCAAAUUCUUUAGGGACUCGGUUCCAGUUCCUCUUCAUCAAAACUGUAAUAUAAUUCCCCUUCAUCAGAACUCGAAUCGAUGCAAUAAAAUUCCCCUUCAUCAGAACUCGAAUCAAAUUCACUUGCAGCAGUUCCACUCGCGCUUGGCAAAUCAUCCAAUUUCCAAACUUCGGUAGCAAAAUUGAGAGUAAAAGUGUUGGCUUUGGUCUCUCUGGGAUUUGCAUAUACUGGACAUACUCCGCAACGUUUUAGCUUAGUGAAGAACUUAAAUGAGGCAGUUGUAUGAUGGUAACCAUCAGGAAACCCAACAUUCAAGCAAGGUUUAAAACCAAGUAUGACAUGAUCUGAAUCAAGGGAGCCAGUGCACACCAUGAAACCCAGAUCAACAUGUUUGGUUUCAGAGAGAGUCUUUAUUUCUAAGUCGAGUUGAAAGCGGACGUAAAUAUUGCAGCAAUAACAAGAAUGAAGGUGCUUAAAAUCAAGAACAGCACAAAAAGCAAACCCGAUUAAGUUUCUGCAAGAAGACUGCGGUGGCAGUUGAAUACAUAUCGAAGAUCCUGAACUUUGAUUGCUGAACCAGUCAGGAAUUUCGCUUCCAGGUAAAACAAUUAGGGAUCCCCUCAGUUCAGAAAGUUUCUGUGAAAUGACAUUUAAAAAAAAAAAUUGUAAAAUGAAAACCAUGAUUUCAGAUAUAACAAAGAGGGACAGAGUAAACAAGAGAGGGAAUUUGAUACCUCGUUGAUUGCCUUUUCAUAGCCCAGUCUCAGUGAUGCAAUUGCCACAUGCCGAAUUCUUAGUUGUGAAUCUGCCAAAAUCUUGUUGUUUGCUUUUCCAUUCAGUUUCAAGCAGUUAGUAAACCCAAAAUAAAUUGGUUGUGACUCCAGAAGUCCGGUUGCCCAUUGACGAAGGUCAGGAGAGGGUUUCGAUAGCUUUUCUAGUACGGAUGCAUCUAGUUCUUGCAGACAUGACGGAAUCUCUGGCAAAGAUUGAAGCCGGUUGCAGUUCGUUGCAUCUAGUUCUUGUAGACACAAUGGAAGUUCUGGUAAUGACCGAAGCAUGUUACAACCCGUCAAGUGAAGAUAUUUUAGACACAAUGGAAGUGCUGGUAAUGACUGAAGCAUGUUACAACGCCUCAAGUCAAGAGAACACAGCCGCGACAGUUGCUUGAUACUUGCAGGUAAACUCUCAAAGUUAUUUCCACGUAGAUCCAAGCUUUUCAGUGAGGAUAGAUAGGCAAUCUCUUGUGGAAUUUCCAUUACAGCACAGUUCAUUAUGUAUAGAAGUCCCAAAGAAGAUAAACCUAAUAAUAAUGAUCGAGGCAAUGAUACCAAACCUUUGCAGCGAGAGAAAUCAAGAAUUAAAAGUGCGUUUGAAUCUGCAACAGAGGAUGGUAGUUGACUAAUAGCUGAUCCAGCUGCUGAGAUGUGACGCAAAGAUUCUAAAUUGCCAAUGUUAUCCGGCAACUUAUCAAGUUUAGAGCAAUCACUUACGAACAAUUCUUCAAGCCCCGGUAGAUUUUCAAAUGACGAUGGCAGCUCUGUAAUUGCCGUCCCGUCUAAAUUGAUGCGUUUUAAAUGUUCCAUUUUCUCCAAGAUUUCUGGGAAGCGCUCAAGGUUCAAGCAGCCAUUAACAAAAAGAUCAACCAAAGAUCUCAAUUUACAAAACCUAGUUGAAAUCCUCUUCAGCCGUUUGCAAUCCCUCAAAUCCAACACUUCAAGAUCAGUUAGGCACUCUAUUGAUGAUGGAACUUCUUCUAUUGCAGACUGGUCUAAGUAUAGCCGUGUAAUUUUCCCAGAAAUCUGUGGAAACUCUAUGAGAGUAACACAAUAGGAGAAAUUAAUAGUUACUGGACAAACAAAAUGAAGAUUGCUUGGAAAAGACCUAAGACUUUUGCAGCCCUCAAAAGACAGCGCACUGAGAUACUUGAAAUUCUGGAUAGAUGAGGGAACACAAGCCUUUUCUCCUUCCCAAGGUUGCUCAACUUUACUAAAACGCAAAUUCAGUUCAACAAGGUUCUUUGGCUUGAAAUUUGAUGGCAGUAUCCUUAAUGGAUAUGUGUCCCAAUGAAGAUAUCUCAAUUUUUCAGGAAGAUAUUCUAGGCCAUUUGGAAGCUGCACUUCAGAGUAUGAAAGUUGCUCUUCAAUGCUCAUACUUAGAAACCUUUCAAUCUCAUAAAACUUACUUGGAAACCUUUCAAUCUCAUAAAACUUAGGUACAUAAAAUUUGAGCAAUCUCAGAUUAGACAUAUUUGUGAAGGCUCCGGGGUCUAAAUUGAUGCAUUUUAUUUUGGACAAAUCCAGAAAUAUGCCUUCAAUUGCAUCGGUCCCCUUAUAAAAAAAAAAAAACAAAGAAUGAGUAAGCCAAAAAUAAAAAAGCAACAUGCGUAAACUUUAUUAACUAAGAGCUCCUUAAACAAAAACAAAUUCUGCAAUCUUUGAUUUUAUUUUUUUAAUAUAUUAAAUAUCUAUAUGCGAGAAAAGAAAAUUUUGGGGACCAUUGCAAAAUUAAACUAACCGAAAAAAAAUUCAAAAUUUCUCUAAUUUACAAUCCUAUUAUCUUAAUAUCUAGAAGUUGAGAAGAGAGUGCCUAUUUGAUUGGUAUAAGAUUUCGAAAUUUUUUUUUUUUAGUCGAUAGAAUCCAAAAUGUUAGUUCAAAAUUAGGGAAAAAAAUAAAAGUCAUUUUUUUUCCACUAGUUAAAACUGUAUCCAAGUCAAAUUAAGAUACGACCCUUUUUAAAAAGAUUUAACCAUCUUACAGCCUCCUUAAGGUACAUUUAAGCUAAAAGGAGUAAUUUGAGGCAGAACUAGGUGGUCCAAUCAGUCCAUUUUAUUAGUGUCUGUUGCUUAAAAAAUUUAUACUCUAAAACACACUUUUUUGGAAAAAAAAAUAUAAUUACAUUGAAGUAGAAUCAGGUGGGCCAAUCCUCAUGGCACUCACUUUAUUUUGACACUCUUCACUAAAUUUGAAGAAAAAUAAAAUUAUACUCUUCACACUCUUAUUCAACAUUCCAAAAUUGAUAAAAUCUGGAGUUUUCUUUAAAAAUUUAAAAUUUGAAGACUUGUUCUCUUGACACCCUCAGUCAUUAAUUUUACCUAAUUAUGGUUUUUAUGAUUUUGGUUGUUUUGUUCAUAAAAAUGAUUUUACUAAAGGAUGCUCUGGUAAUAAUAAAAUUUAUAAAAAAAAAUGGGUGUGCUGGUAUGAUUGGAAAAAUAUGAGUGCAUAACUCCAAACAAAUAAAAGAUAUAUAAAAUAAAUGGAGGAUUCUUACCUUUUUAUGCUUGAGUACGCGGCGGAUUUCCUUAGGAUCCCACAACCUGCUGCGUUUGCCAGGCUCUUUCUCAGAUUCUUGGCGAACAAUCUGUCGCCCCAUUUCUUGCAAUAAAUCAUGCAUUUGCAAGCAAUUACCUGAUAUUGAUAUGAGUGACUUAUCAAUAAGGACAUCCAGUCCAUCAGACUCAGAAUCAUCAAGAAUCCUUGCCACAAAAUCUUUAUCCUCUCCCUCAAAGAAACACGCAAUAUCUAGAAACAAACUCUUCACCCUAGGAAUUAAUUCAUUAAAACUAAUCUUUAAUAUUUCAUAAAUAUUAUGAAUAUCAGAUUCACAAAUCCGAUUUAAGUCGUGCAAUACAUUUUCCCAAUGGCUUUUCCUCUUGAGGCACAGGGAGGAACCCAACACUUUAAGAACUAAGGGAUUGCCUUUGGCAUACUCUACAACCCUCCGUGAGUGCCAGUUGAGAUUUGUAGGACAAUGAUUUUCUUUAAAAGCGAAGUUACAAAAAUGCUCGAAAGCCUCUUCAAAUUCCAAUCCAUUAACCCUAUGUAUUUUCUUCUCCUCCCCUCUAAAUUUUUCGAGGACUCCUUUAUCCCUGGUGGUUACAACAAUUCUACUUCCUGGACCAAAUUGAUCAAGCUCUCCAAUCAGACCCUCUAAUUGUCCAACUUCAUUCACAUCAUCGAGUACUAUCAACACCUUCAUACGCCAGACCCUCUCUUUAGUAAAAUGUGGAAUAUUGGCACCAGCUACUUCAAGUUUUUCGCUUAAUAUUGUGGAAAGCAUUUCCUUUUGGAGAUGUUCUAAUCCACCUCCUGUUUCAGAAUUUCUCCUAACAUCUGACAUAAAGCAGCUACCAUCAAACUCACCAGUGAAUUGAUCGAAAAUAGCUUCAGCAAGGGUGGUUUUGCCUAUACCGCCCAUGCCCCAAAUUCCAACAAUUUGGACAGUAUCCGACAAAUCCAUACACAAAAAUGGUUUAAUCUGCUCAAUUCGUGAAUUUAAUCCAACUAGGCCAUUGGAUGAGUCCGUUGCGACUGUUAUUUUUUCCAAAUUCUUCAAAACAUCUUCGACAAUUUUGUUUACAAGUUCCGCAUCGUGCCUAAUAUAAAGGUGCAAAGAUGCAAAAACAUUGAGUCAAAUCGGGCCAAGACAGAAACAGAGAUAAGAUGAAUUAGGAAAGAGAGUUACCUGAAUUUCGUGGAUUCGUGGCCAGCAAGACCGGAUGUUUCUCUCAGUGCAUCCCUCCACCUCUGAACCAUUUCUGGCUUCUCUUCGAAGUGUUGUUUCAGCUGAUCAAAACCGUGCUUAAAAAUUCCAGUUUGAUGCCGCACAUCGGAUGGACUUACUCCAUAGAAAACCGGAAUAAUGAUUUGGCGGUUUGUGUGCUUGCAUUCAAGAAUCUUGACAAGUUCAUUCAGGCACCAUUUUGAAGAACCGUAGUCCUUUGAGAAAAUGACCACCGAAAUUUUUGAACCUUGGAUUGCGUUCAAAAGGGCAUCUGAAAUCUCAUCUCCUCGCCUAAGCUUUUCAUCAUCCAUAAAUGUUUUGAUUUUCUUUUUGUCAUACAAAUCAUCAUAGAGAUGGCAAGUAAAGAUCCUACGAGUGUCCUCCCCUCUAAAAUUGAGGAAGACUUCAUAAAUGCAAGAAGAAGAAGAAGAAGAAGAAGCAGCCAUGAAGGAAAUUUUAGAAAAUUGGUGACAGAAACAGAGAAUUAAUCUUGAGAGUUGAGAGAGGAGAUGUAAGAAUGAACAUGUGUGAAGAUUCUUGCAAGCACACAGAAAAUAAUUGAAUGGCUGGAGCUUUCUUAGUUUCCUGGAAAUUUCCUGGAGCUUUCAUAUACAUGAUUUGUCAAGUCAAGAAACAUAAUCAUGAUAAUGGGGCAGACCAGGAAGAAAAGAAAACUUGAUUCAACCAAUAAAGGAAGGAAAAGCAAAGAAAGAAAAUUUGAAAGUAGAUUCAGAGAAUUAUAAAAAGCUAAAGGAAAUUGGAAUUUUGUACAAUUUCUCCAGCGAAAAUUAAGCAUAGAAUAAUCCUAAAAUUUAAACUCUAAUAUCUUAUAAUGUAUUGAUUAAAAAUAAUCCUAAGAGUUCCCAAUUGAAACUUUCAUAAGUAUUUUAAUUGUUUUGGAUAAACAAAUUGUACUAGGAUAAAAAUUUGGCAAAUUCAGAGGAUAAUGGAAAAUAGUUAUGCUUCAAUAGGCCAAAGAUUAGAGAACAAACAAGAAUUAGUUAUUGAUACACAAAAGAGAAACACUCCAAAAUUUCAAGCAAAAAUAGUUUCAUAUACCAUUUCGAUUUUGGAAGGGGUGAGGUUUUGAACUUCAAUAGUUUCCUCUAAAAUUAAAAGGCAGCAAUUAAACUAGAAAGAGCAAUGAAGACUUAUUGGUACUUUAUUGAAGGUAAACAUUAUGAAACUUUCAAUGUCAUUACCUCAUUGUUCAAUUUUUAUUGAGAUUUGUGUAAGCAUUUAGCUAAAUCUUACCUCCGCCUUUAAAUUCAUUAGUUUUGAUUAAUUAUGAGACCUGGGAGAUAUUAUAAUCGAACUAAAACUUAAAAUUUCAAUAUCAUUAUUCUUUAAAAAGAAAUUGAGAUUUCAGAGUAAUAUCACAUAGAAAAACUUGCCCACGGACGGUAAGCCAAAAGUCUAGUCAACCACACGCAUAAAGCUAACUAGAACAAGAGAACAGAGAAACGCGUGGGUCCCUAAAAGAAAAGGCGUGGGUCCCAAAAGUCUAGUCAACCAUACCGAUGAAAAUCACUGAUUAAGAAUAAUAUAUUAUGUGGUUGAAGAUUUCUUUUUAUCAAUCUUCUUUCUACCCAUUAAUUUUCCCACGACUUUCCGGUUUCAUUUCUUGAAUCUCCAUGGAUUAACUUUCAAUAAACCAUAAAAUAAACUAAGGAAUCAUUUUCUCGAACACAGCUAUGAUUUUAAUAAAUGGGCGGACCAUCUAGAAUAGUAUAUAUAAUUCUGUUUAAUUAAUAAGUUGAAAAAACCAUAAAGAGAAAUUCUAAUAUUAUGAGCUUGACACGAAUUCUUCACUAAUUCCAAAACAAGGAGCUGUUUUAUAAGAACUGUGGUUGGAUUAUUAAGUUUUACAAUUUGAAUAUAAAUAAGAAAAUAAAAUCAGUCGCGUCGAUGUUUUCGAUACAUUUCGAUGCUAACUUAAUUAAUUACUUUACUUCAACUUUAUUUCCUGACGGACACUAUAUGGUGGGUCCAAGAUGGGACCUACAAUAAUCAAUCCUAGAAUUUAGUAUGGUUACCAAAUAGCUAGUGUUAUUUUGUGUUUGGUGGAAGAGAUUGAAUAUUUAGUUUUAACAUAACCAUUCAACUAAUUAGAAAAUAAAUAAAGUUAAAUGAAAUGUUUAGAUAUCAAUUUAAAUAUUAAUAUCCGGGAUAUAAAUUAGUUAUAAUAUAGUUCAUUACAUAAAAUUGAUUAAAUUAAUAAUUACACAUGAACAUAGAUGUAUAUGCUUUCCAAUUUCCAAAGUGCUCAAAGCACUUUUCUCACCAAACUUUCCUCUGAAUUUCCCGUAGCUGACUCCAUUGUUUGCGUUUUGUGAAAUUUCUAGGAACUUUUUCUAUUUAGAAUAUUGUACAUUUUUCUUUUCAGCUGAGAUUAAUUUAACUUAUAGAAAAUCUUAUCCUUUUUUUAAUAUUAUUUAAAUAAAAUUUGUCUAUCUUUCAUUUUAUCAGUCUACUUUUUACCCAUUAAUUAAGACUUUUCGAUUUCUUUUUUUCCUGAGGUUUUCAGUGACUAUCUUUCAAUAAACCAUAAAAAUUAAUGAGUCAUUUAUCGAACAAUUAGAUGACCAUAUUUCAAAAUAUCAACUAGAAGUUGCCCUGAAAUAUUUAAUUAAUAGUUGAAGAAUUGUGAUUAGUGUGGGCAUCUACAUAAAAAUUAUAUUAAAACACCGCUAAAAGAUAAAAAUAAAAUAAAAUAGUACAAACAUACACCCAUAGGUUAAAACAAAGAAAAAACACGAACCAAUACACUAAAAUGUUUUAGCUGUAGUUAGUUUUCAGUUUCAUUACUUAAGUCCCACGUGCAUGUCACGUGACUGAGGUCAAAAAAUGAUUGUCAGAUUAAAGUUCAAAGUACGGAGCAGGGUAAUUAAGGAGUGGAGCUAUUGGCACCCCUCCAUUAUUCUUACAAAACCCCACUUUAAAUCAAAUUAUAAUUAAGAAUAAUUGAAAAUUAAACACUUAUAGAUUUCUUUACAACAUGUUUAGUGAUAAAAAAGCACCAGUCGGGCAUGUCCCCAUUUCUUACCCGGGGCCGAAUCUCCUCGGCCGAAUGGUAUGAGUAGACUCUUGGUGAUGUGUUCUAUGUGGAGCACGUAAAACAGACCAGGAACUAGUACCAACCAGAAACGAGUACUGAUCAGAAACAAGCAUGACCAGAAACGCAUACCGACUAGAGACUUGUGGGUCCCUAAAAGAAAAGGCAAGCACAUAAACGAAAAAGCCAUUACAUUUCUAUUUUACAUGUCAUUCCUAAUUUUUGUAACACGGUGUGGCAGCAUAUGCACAAUCAAAUGAGGCAAAAGGGAUUCGACUAUCGUGGCAGAACAUGGACGAGGAUGCGUGAUGAAUAAUUCCUUCGAUAAAACGAAAAACAAAUGCAGAGAAAAGAAUUUCUUAUAUGACAAGAAAUUAAAGUAAUGUGACGGAACAUGAUGAAGAAAUUGCAGAUCGAUCAAUUAUCCCCAUGGACUCCUAUAAAUUCAACCAAAAUAACAAUUCCAAUAUUACCAAAUUCUUGAGUUAAAUUUAUUCAAUGCUUUUUUUUUUUAGAGAAAUUUUUUCCAAUGCUACUUUCCCUUUUUUGGGGAAAUUAGAACUGCGGCAUGUAUAGAAGACAUUGAGGUAUAAAGCAACAUUAAUUUCAUGGGUUAUGCGUUAUACGCAUAAUAUAUUGUCAGUCCAAAUUCAACUAUACAAAGAGGCUUGAGAACUUAAAAUUAAGCACAAACUAAACAGACGAAGUAAAUACAUGAUUAUGCAACAUAACAUUAAUUCUCUUAAUUUAUAACUGUUUUUGCCACAUGAAUCUUGCACAGUUAAUCCUAAUUGAAGACUAAAAAAGAACAAUUGGAACAAGGUUUUGAAAUAGAAUGAUAUACAAUCGAUAUGAUCCAUUUCCAGUCGUCAACGCUAAUUAACUGCAGUUUCUAGACUCCUAAUUAUACUAGCCAUAAGAAACUGUUUAGAAAACUGGUGAUCAGAUUAGAUUUUGAAAAGAAAUAAUUUUCAUUUUCCCUUCGCUACCUUUUUUUUUUAAUUAUUUUUAUACCAAAGAAUUCUAUCAUGAAAAGAAUCAAUUUAAUCACCUUUUCCAGCAGCACAAUUUUUCUUUUAUAAAAUUUGACCACAGAGACAAAGAAGAAUUAUUCAUACCUUCAUCAGUAAGGAAAUACUUUUCAUUAUGGCUAGGGUGAGAAAAGGCUUUCCACAACACUUGUACUUUGUAUUCCUGUAAAUUUUCUUUAAAGUCAAUAAAAACCAUAAGUUCUUUACAAUAACCAUCUCUUUGAUAAAAAAGUGCCGUAUUCCUUUAGAAUUUAAAACCGGAAAAAUUGAAUCAGUGUCUUUGAAGAGACAUAAUGGUCGUAAUUCUUUAAAUGAGUUGGCUAUGGAAAUCCUUAUCCAAGAUUCUUUUACGCCAUAUUCUUUCGUAAACCAAAAUUCAUUUUGGAAUACUCUGUUGAGAAUGUCAAAUAAAACGGCAUUGAAGGAAGUUUUCAAAGGCAGAAUCCGCACUUGUCAAAGGGAUGAUCUGCACUUGUCAAAGACACGAUCCGCGUCGAAUGAAUCGACACAUUUCCUUUCGUAUUCGCAUAUGUAAUCUUUGAAAAAAUGUAGCUUCUGCAUCUAUAAAUAACGCUUAGUGUAUAAUGUUUUAUUCAAGAAAAGAAAACAAGUUUCUUCAUACUCGUCGUCCGAACAUACAGAGACCGUCUCUUAUAACUUCAGCCGAAUACUUAUGAUGAUGAUCAUUUGUGAUUUCAUCAGGCAAAGGGUUGAUGGUGAAAAAAUUUGUAUGUGUGAAGAAUUGAGCUGUGGAUAUAGGGGACUUAAGUGUAAUCGAAAGAGAGUUAUUAGGCCAUAGUGCAGAUUGCAUUCAGUUUAUGAGUCGAUAUGCAAAUAAUUUGUUGACGUGGCGAAAUUUGUUAUGGUCGUUACUAUUGUUUCUGGAAAUUUUCUAGAAACCUCAGCAUAAAAGGGGCUUUUGCAUAGCCUCUGGUGUGCGUGUGAUUUCUCUUUCGUUUCCUCAUCAAAUUCUGUAAUUCUUGCUUUGAUAAAAAGCUUGUAAUCUCUUCUGUAAUGUGUGAUCAGUGCGUAAUCAUUUUGAGCAAUAAGAGCUUGUGGGUUUUUCCUUCAAACAGUGUCGUUUUGGUCAGUUUGUUAGUUUGAUCUGUUGGUGGAAUUUUCUUUGGUUAUUUGUUCUCAAAUUUCAACCGUAUAUAAAGUUUGAACUCUAAUGGCUUAUAAUGUAUUGAUUAAGAAUAAUCCUAAGAGUUCCCGAUUGAAAUUUUUAAUGACUAUUUUUAUUGUUUUGGAUAUACAAAUUGCAUUAAGAAAAAAUAUUGUCAAAUUCAGAGGAUAACGGGAAAUAAUUAUGCUUCAAAAGGCCAGAGAUUAGAGAACAAAGAAGCAUUCAUUACUGAUAAACAAAAGAGAAACACUCCAAAAUUGCAAGCAAACUAGUUUCAUAUACUAUUUGGAUUUUGGAAGGGGUGAAGUUUUGAACUUCAGUUGUUCCUCUAAAAUCAAAAGCAUCAAUUAAGCGUUCUCAAUUAGAAAUAGCAAAGAAGACUUAUUGGUACCUUACUGAAGUUAACAUUGUGGCACGGUUGUUCAUAUGUAAUGGCUGCUCUGUUAUGCUAGCUUCUCUGUUUUUGCUUACAGUUUUGAACAUAAAUUCUUGCUCAAAUAACCCAUAAUUAAAUAACACUAAUAUGGCUCGUGAAGUCCCAUAAUAGCUAAUUACGCAACUUUCUCCUCCUCCUCAAUUAUGUCUUCCCCUGCUCGGACACUAACUUCAAAAUUCAAUGCCCCGAAAAACAACACAAGAAAUCUUUGAGUUAGUUCGUGACCAGUUUAUAUAUAGUAGCAAUUGAAAAAAGAAAAAGAAGAAAAAAGUUAAUUAUUAUUCAGACCUUCACUUAUUAGGAAGUUUGUUCUGCUAUUGGGUGAGAUCAAGCUCUCAGCAUAUACUUCCACAUGAUACUUUCUAACAUUUUCUUGAAAGCCAUCAAUCAUAAAAUCUUCAUACUUUUUUCCAUCCUUUGGAUCAAUAAGUACAAUUUUUUCAUCUAAAACAGACAAAAUAAAAUCACUGUCCUUCAUGGAACACAAUGGCUGCAAUGCCUGAACUGAAUUGGCUAAUGAAAUUUGAGUCCAGGAUUCUCUCAGCCCAUAUUCUUUCAUAAUCCAAAAUUCUUUUCUUUCUCGACAUGGAACAUAGUCUUCUUUUCUUUCUCGACACAUGUCUCUGUACUUUUCUCUCUCUACUGAUCCACACUUUUUCAUACUUCUAACUAUCAUUUUGUUUUUUUUUUUUUUUGAGUUGUGAUUUAUUCAAUUAUUUUGUAUUUUUAAUGACAAUUGUUUAAUAUUUAGUUAGUUUUGAUAUUGAUUAGUGAUUGAAAGUGUAUUUUAGAAGACUUCCGGUCUCUUGAAAAAAGGAAAAAUGGAGAAGAAGAAGAAGUGUUCUUGAUUUUUUUGUAGGCAUUAAAGUUAAACGGUUUGAAAUGAUAUUUUGUUUUUAUUUCACUCAUUAAUCUCAUUCAGGAUAAAAUUAUAAAUGCAAAUAAAUGGGGUUUCAUAAGUAUUUUUAAUAGUGUUAAAAGGUCUACUCACUAAAUAAACAUGUUUUACCCAAACCAAUCCGAUUAAUAAGUUAUUAGGUUGGGUUGAUCAGGUUAAAAAUCAAAAUUAAAAAUUAAAUAAAUAAAAGGCAUAAAAACUAUCUGUUACUUGAAAAUAAAAAGAAUUUCUAAUAGUUAGUUCUAAUGUCCCAUAUCCAAAACAUGCAUAUUGUGAGGUUUGCUGGUGAAUCAAACUCAUCAGAACCAAAUGAUGACGUUUUGGCAAUUGAAGGAGCACUUAAAAGACACGUGAAACGCACGUCUGUUGUCACUUAAGAUUAAAGCUUGAAACGGCAGUUCAACCAUGUCGUUUAAAGGAAGCUUAGAAGUGAUGCACGUGACAGAUGUGUGAAGCAGCUCAUCUCAGUUCGUUAAGUUUGUUAUGCUACGUGUAAGCAAUCAGUUCGAUCUGGGUUUAGCUGGUUAGUUGCUCUGUUAGUUAUAAGAGCAGGCUGAUGAAACGAUUUGGGUUAAGCUUGUGAAUUCAUAUCAGAGAGAGAGAGAUUUCAGUGAAAGGGUUAAGAGUUCUCUGAAAUCUUGUAAACCAUUCUCUGUAAGAAAGAUCCUCCAUUGUUGAAUAAUAAAAGCUCUGCAGAAAACUUUUCCUGUGGAUGUAGAUUGUACCAAUUUGGUACAACUGAACCACGUAAUUGAUUCUUGUGUUGUCUGUGAUUUGUUUGUUUCUUGAUUCUCUAUUCUUUCUAGUUCUUGGGUACAUUGUUUUCACUUGGCUAGAUUCAUUCCUCAAUCUGUGCAUCUUGUAUAGUUCUUUAUCAAAGGUCCUGGGAAGUGUUUUAUUUGUCUUGCAUGUUAUAUAGCAAAUUAAAACACUACACAUAUUAAAUAAUAUAUUAUAAGUUAGAAAUACAAUAUCUAAAGAAAGAAUUAAUGAAAUAACAUAUUCUUGUUGAGAAUUAAGAGUGUGAUUUUAAUUUUGAUAUUGGAGUCUAAAGCAAUAGAUAGUACAAUGAAAUCAUGAAUGCUACGUUUAAAUAAUCUCUUUUAUAAAAUAAUAAAAAGAGGUUAAAAAUUAGGUUAACAUUUAGGGUUUAGCAGUUAAGGAUGAAUAUAUUAUUAUUGUUGUUGUUGUUAUUAUUAUAAUAAUAAUUAUUAUAAUAAUAAUUAUUAUUUAUAUGUUAAUUAAUUCAAUCCAACUUAAUUAUUAAUGAAUUUGAAAAAAUUGACCCAAUUAAUCCACAAUAAUUCAUUCAACUCGUCUAAAUUAGAUUAAGUUGAACUUAAUUUGCUACCCCACAUUGAGCAACAAACCUCAACGUCAUUCUACGAGCUCUUUGAUUGUUUAUAAAAUUGAUUUAGAGUACAUAAAGUGUAUCGACAAUGAAAGUGCAAAACAAAUUAUUGUACAUAUUAAAAUGUGCAAAAACAAUGAAUUAUAUGUACAAACGAGUGCAAACACAUUUUUCAAUAAGAAGUUGGAAGAUAUUUAUGCAUGAAAAAGCCUACGUUUGUAGUUAUUCUAAAUUUUAAAAACAAAAUUUACAUUUAGAUUCCUAAAAUUUACAUAUAAGUAUAAAAGUUUCAAAUAUUGUCUAUUAUUUUUUUAACAUGCCUAUUCCUUGUGGAUAAUUUUGUCUCAUCACUAAUGUUGUUUCUUGCUUACAAAAACCAAAAGCCACCUCCUUUUUGCAAUUUUUAUAGCGUCUCAAAAUAGACAAUAGGGGGAUUUUGAAUUUUUUAAGUCUCAAUAUAGUCUCUAAUCUUGUGAGAAAUAUUUUCUUUCAAUAAUUUGGAGGUAAACAUAACAUAACUUUUUGGACUAAAGCCUAACUCUGCUAAUAAGUAAUUGGUGGUAUCCUUUUCAAGACUUGAGUCUUUAGAUUCGAGUUUUAUAUAGUGUGCAUGUGUAUUUAAUUAAUAUUUUUUUUCAAAAAAAAUUACAUCAAAUACUAAUAUUCAUGACAUAAUUUAGUUCAUAAUUUUUUUAAAUACAUCGAAAAAUAUAAUUUUUUAACAACUUAAAGGCAUGACAAAUUUCAAGAUAUAAAUAUCAGUCAAAAUAAGUGAAAGAAAUAAUGGUGUCAAUUCUAAUUUCUUAACUAAAUUAAUUACUGCAUGAGCCCCGAAUAUGACACGAGAGUUUGAUGGGCUAACUUGGCACAAGAACGUGAAUAGUUAACUCAUUUAAGAAAUAAUUCAACAAAAAAUAUAAUUGAUAAGAAUGCAAUAUUGAAAUGAAUUUUUUACGAAACAUUGAAUUAAUGAUUAUUAAGCAAGAACAAUAAAAAAAUAAAAUAAAAAUAAAGAUUAACCAUUGAUAAGCUUCAACAAGAACUUAACACAACCCUCAAUCCUAAUUCAAAUUAUAAAUGUCAUUCAUAUAUUCAUUAUAAAUCAAUAACAAAGGUUAUAAAUGUUUAGAAAUUCUAGAGGGAAGGAAGCUAUCGCCGGGGAAUCAACAACUAAAAUUGAUGUAAUUGUGGCACGAGAUGGAAUAUGGAAACUACACCAUAAUUUUAAAUGCCGCCAUAGACAUUGACUUAUCUACAAUAACAAUGAUCUAAUUAAAAUAAAAAUAGAGUUUAUGGGCAUUUAUUAUUUUGACAUUCCUCAUUUGCAAAUAGGGAUACAAUUAUAAUUUAUUUAGUCAAAGCAAACAGUAAUUUUCUUCAUUAUAGGAGUGAAGUAAAAACAUUUAGAUUUUAAUGUAUGUAAGGAAAAAUUUAUCUUUAAAAAUACUUUCUUAAUGUGUGUAUGCAUAUUGAAAUACUCAAACCAAUUUUGGUUAUAUAUAAUUAAACAAAUUUUAAAAUAUGAAAAAUAUAAUGUAGUUAUAGUGGAUAAACAAUAAGUGAGCACAAUAUAAUUAAUCAAAUAUUGUGCUAUCAAAAGUUAAUUUUAGAAAUUCCAAAUCCAAUAGCUAACACAAUUCUUUAAAGAAAAAAAAAAGGUUGACACAAUUAAUAAAAUUAGCGACAUGAAUUUCACGCCAUUGAUAAUCAGCAAUUAGUAUUACUUUCUAAACUUGCUUCAACUGGUCGUUGAUGUCCGGGUCACCAAAAGUAUAAGCGAUAAUAAGGGGCAUUGGGCAAGAGUGAUGAAUGUUUAGUGGGUGCAUUUGAUUGAUAGAUAUAUAAAGGGCCGAAACUUGAGAUUAUAUUACUUUUACAAAUUUUAAUCCAAUCACAUAUUUAAUGAAAACAAAAUGAGUUAGGAUACUUUAUUUAAAAUACACAUUUUAAUAAGGCUUCAUUUAAUUAAAUAAAAUUAUAAAAGUAAAAUAUAUUUUAGAUAUUUUAAUAUUUAAGAAAAAAUUUUCAAUCUUUACUUUCAGAAGCUCAAAUUUUUAAUUUUUAGUUGUAGAGACAAAAUAUCUUAUUUAAUGUUUAAAAGUUCUGCUAAAAACAAUCAAAUAACUACAAAAAUUUUAAUAAGAGCAUAUAAAAUUAAAUAAGCAUUUAUUAAUAAUCACUUUAGUGUACUUAUCUAAUAACAAUAAGUGUUUAUUUAAUCUAAUAAGUUUUUAUUUAAUCUAAUGAGCUCUUUUUAAUUUUUUUUUAGUAGAGCUUUUGAAAAUUAAAUAAACUAUUUUGUCUCUAUUAAGAAAAACUUAAAAUUUAGGUUUUUGUAAGUAAAUGUUUAAAUUUUUUUUAAAAAUAUUAAAAUAUUAAAAUAUCUUUUCUUUAUUUCAUAAUCUUAUUUCAUUCUUCACAACAUAACUUUAAAUAACUUACCUAUUAAAAUAAUUUCACAAUUUCUAAUAAAAACUCCGAUUAACAAUCAAGCAAUAAUUUUUUUUUUUUUUUUGUAAAAAUUCUAUUUGUAAAAACUCUAAUAAUAAAAAUUCUACUUAAAUAAAUUUUAUUUGAAAAGGUAUACUAAACGAACCUAAGAUAAAAACAAAAAUUUUUAGAUCCAGACAAUUAAGCUUAAAACAAUUUCAAAUGAAUUUUAGACUAAUCAAAGUACAAUACGUACCAAGUUUGGUAAUUUAUUGACAUCUUCUUAUAUACCUUCGAUCAAGUCGAUUCUCACUUGACGACUAAUUGGUAGUUUGGUACAUCACCGUUGUUCCCUAUACUCGCAUGCAUCCGAUCACAAAUCUCACUCCAAUUGUUGUCUUUCUUCGGCGUUUUAGCGCAUCCUUCUUGAAUUUCUCGCAUUUCGUUCCCUUACAAGUCUCCGGUCAGGUCAGUUCACUUGACGAUUAAUUCGGCAAAUCUUGAAUCUCUUCUCUAUCCCUCUCGUUUUCUCGUGUCUCCUUUCAGUUAAAGCGAUUGAAUCAAUUUUAUCGCAGUCUAAGAGAAAUUAAGUAAUGCUCUUGGAUUUAAAAUUUUUUUGCUUUCGACUUUAGAUCUCGAAAGUCAAACUCUUCUACGAAUCCAUAGAUUCUCAAUGUUUAUAAUCUUAUUUGUGUUUGACCAGGUAACUGGAUCGUGAAAUUCGUCGUUUUGUAUCAAUUCAAGCUUUCGCGAGCUCAUGGAAUCACCUGGUGAGUUGUGGUGAAACGUUACCGUUUCAAUUUUCGCUUAAUUCUUUAUUGCAUAUUUUUUUCUCUAAUAUUUCAGUUUAAUUAGAAAAGAAAGAGGACCCAAAAAGAGAGAGAGAGAGAGAGACUCUACCAUACUCAAUUCCUUGCUCAUUCUGAUUUGGCCUGAAUGUUGGCAUUGACUAUUAUUUGUUUUCAUUUCGAUUUAAUUCUCAUUUAGACAGUCUUUACUAACGGUCAAUAAUAGUUUAAGGAAAAUGAUAAUAGGGAUUCUGCAAUAAUCUUUCUGCAUUGUUCAAGUUAGUAGACAAUGAAUAGGAUGUUUACGUUUACCUCAUUUUGAACCCCGAGGGCUUAGUUGAGUAGUUGAUUGAUUCAAUCUUGCAAUGUGUUCCCACAAGGUUUUGAGUUUGAUUCCUAAUUAUGUGGACCUUAGUUUCGAAUUUGAGUUUGUUAGGUGGGUUGAUGGGGUUUUUGGGUAUUAAAAAGGGAGAAGAAAAAAGUUGCUUGCUUCAUUUUGUACAAACCUGUUGACUUUUUAUUUUUUUCUUUUUAUUUUUGUACUAUUUUGUUUUACAGUUGGUGGUUCAAGACAGACAUCUGUUAUUGUUGUAACUUUGGAUACUGGUGAAGUAUAUAUUGUAACCAGCUUGUAUUCUAGGACUGACACUCAAGUGAUAUAUAUUGAUCCAACUACUGGUGCACUUCGCUACCAUGGGAAAUGGGGCUAUGAUGUUUUUGGAUCUGAAAAUGAAGCAGUAGAUUACAUAACAAAUGGAUCACGAUGGAUGUGCAAGAGUACAACUUUUGCCAAGGCGAUAUUGGGUUAUACUGCCCUGGGAAGCUUUGGGCUGCUUCUUGUUGCCACAAGGUUAACUGCCAGCAUUCCAAAUCUUCCUGGUGGAGGAACUGUAUGCACGGUUACAGAGAGCCAAUGGAUCAAAAUUCCACUUCAAAAUCCUCAACCCCAGGGUAAAGGAGAAGUAAAGAAUGUUCAAGAGUUGCCUGAUCUUGACAUUGAUGGGAAGCACUACUUUUGUGAGACAAGAGAUAUCACUCGACCUUUCCCCAGCCGCAUGCCUUUGCAAAAUCCUGACGAGGAAUUUGUUUGGAAUGAAUGGCUUUCGAUGCCUUUUAAAAGCAUUGGUUUACCUCAGCAUUGUGUCAUUCUUCUGCAGGUUUUGCUUCAUACUCGGUAUCUUCAAAAUUUAUGCUCAUUAAACUUCUUUCAUUCCCCACCCUCUCACUAUCCCUCCACCUAAUUUUGUUUCCAAAAGUUUGUUUGAUAGUCUAUUGCCACUAUAUGUAAAUGUAUCAUUUCCAUUCUGAGCAUGAUAUUUUAUUCAUCAUCACUUGUUAUUCUAAUCUUUAGAUGAAAGAAUAUUUCGUAUUAACAUUUUUCAUGGGCCAGUACCUAUUUUAUGGUCCAUUGUAGAUACUAAAAUGACCAACUUUAUUUCUUGGUCAUAAAAAGUUGCGACAGAAAUUUUAAACAUGUGAAUAUUUAAAUCUGAUAAUUCAUUAAAGAUUUCAACCUAAUAGAUUGAAAACUUAGAUUCAUUCCAUGAAUGAAAGAUAAUAAAGCAUCAGCCGAUGGAAUAUGGGAAAUAGAAACACUUUCCCUUCUAUUAAGAAGAGCCUGCUUCAGAUGAUCCUCAUUUUCUUCAUCCACAGGCCAACCUAGAACAUACCACACCAAGGUAAGAAAGAAAAGGGGUAGCAGGAUUGCCUAGUUUGACAAUUAGCAAAGCCCCAAAUGUUCCUCUUUUACUUUUCUUUUAGAAAGGUAGACAUGUUUGACAGAUUUGGGACAUUGCAUCAUCCCUUUCUGCUGCACAUGGUUGCAAUGUUUUACUUCUCACGUGAAAGCCUAGAAAUCCCAAUCCAAUAAUAAAAGGCCAUUUUAGAGUCAAUGUACAAAAACUUCCUUCCUUGUCUCUAUAUCCUCUUUUACAAUCCAUUCUUAGUUGAAUUGAGAUUAUGCUACAGCUGCUUCUUCAAGUUAACAUUGUUAUGCAAUUCAAUGGUGAUUUACGUGUGUACUUGUCCUAAGCAUGUGAUUUGAAAAUAAUAUGUUAAUAUUGUUUUCACUGGAUAUUAAUGUAUAGGGAUUUGCAGAAUGUCGAAAUUUUGGAAGAUCAGGUCAGCUAGAAGGGGUUGUUGCUCUUAUAGCUCGUCGUAGUAGGCUGCAUCCUGGUACUCGAUACUUGGCUAGGGGGAUUAAUUCUUGUUUUAGUACAGGUAAGAUAAUCUUUAACAUCUCCAGACCUGGAAAUUACAUUUUUGUUGUUGAGAUUCACUUGGUUCUUCUAUACAAUCAAAAAAAUUAAGGAUUUAGUUUUUUUUUUUUUUAAACGGAAUUUUCUUUUCCUUUCAGUACUCUUUGCAUUCUGUGUAUGCUGUUUAUUCUGAUUGUCAUUGAUCUCAUGCCUUUACAAGGAAACAGGUAAUAGUUUCAGUGGUAAAUUCAAGUGGAAUUGGUUUUGAUUCUGUUGUUUAGAAAGAUGGAUUGUAGAACUACAGAACAUUAAUCGUGCCACCUCAUGGCUCAUGCAUGCUUUUGGAGUAUUCUUUACCUGUAGAAUUUUUGUUUUUGUAGUUGACUUGGAAUAUAACUUUACCAUUUUUUUCAAAUAAUAAGAAUCAAUGAGUCUCAUCAAUAUUAAUCAAUAAUGAGCUAAAGAUAUAUAACUUGUGUCUCAGAACUAUAUAUGAUAUGCUUGUGAAGGUGUAUUAUUUUAAGUAGAGAUACCAAAUGCUACAGGGAGAAGCAAAAAAGAACAUUCUCCAGUGAAAACCUUCUGACAGAUUACAUUUUUGGGAUAAAAAAGAAACAUUGAGAUCAUCAGCCACACUUUUUCUUCUUGUACUGUUUAAUUAGUUUAGAGGCCUUUUAGUUGGUUUUGCUUGCCUGGAGGUGUCAUACAGUUCACUUUUUGAAUACCCUGGUUUUCUACAGAUUAGAACUUGGUUUCCUUUCACUCCACAGCUUUUGCUUUCCUACAUCACGUCCUUUGGGAUAAUUGAAUAAUGAAUGAAUGAAAACAAUCAAAUAAUUUCUGACAAUUAGUUAAUAACUUUUAUUUUGUAUGACCCUUUUGAUAUGUGUGGUCCUUUAAUUUACGGUUGAAAUAUAAAUAUGAAAAAAGUCUGCCAAUUAGUUUUACAAAUGACUUUUGUGCCAUAGAAUAUAUAUAUUUUUUUUUUGCCGAAAAACAAAACAAAUUCAUAAACAACAUUGUAUUUCACCAAUUAACAGUGCAAGUGUCAUUAUAGUUUCCACAUAUUAGUUCUGUUUUCGUUAGUUUCAUUUUCAUUCUGUUAUGUAACUGAUGUUUCAUUGCUAUAAAAUUAAUUGUCUGUUUCUCUUCACAACUGUUAUUUUGAAUGAUUUUUUCUGAAUUUUAUAAAGAAUUUGUAUAUGACAGGAAAUGAAGCAGAGUGCGAGCAACUUGUAUGGAUUCCUAAAAGGUCUGGUCAGAGUGUUCCUUUCAAUGCAUACAUCUGGCGGCGAGGGACUAUUCCAAUAUGGUGGGGUGCAGAAUUAAAGCUUACUGCUGCUGAAGCAGAAAUUUAUGUUGCAGAUCGGGAUCCUUAUAAAGGAAGUCUGAAGUAUUAUCAGAGGUUGAGUAAUCGAUAUGAUGCUCGAAACUUUGACUUAGCUGUUGGGGAAAAUCAGAAGAAAAAGCCUUUUAUUCCAAUUGUAUGCAUUAACUUGCUUAGGAAUGCGGAAGGGAAAUCAGAAUCUAUUUUAGUUCAGCAUUUUGAGGAAUCUUUGAACUAUGUCAGAUCAACUGGAAAACUUCCUUAUACUCGAAUAAUUUUAAUAAAUUAUGACUGGCAUGCCAGUACAAAAUUAAAAGGUGAACAACUUACAAUUGAAGGAUUAUGGAAGCAUCUAAAAGCACCCACUCAGGCCGUAGGCAUUUCUGAAGGGGACUAUUUGCCAUCACGGCAACGACUUAAUGAUUGCCGAGGUGAAGUCAUCUGCAAUGGUGACUUUGUGGGUGCCUUUUGCUUAAGAUCCCAUCAGAAUGGAGUGAUACGCUUUAACUGUGCAGACUCUCUUGAUCGGACCAAUGCUGCUAGUUAUUUUGGUGCUCUGCAAGUAUUUGUGGAGCAAUGUAGGCGGCUUGGGUUCUCCCUUGACAGUGAUUUUGCAUAUGGCUAUCAGUCAGCUAAUAACUAUGGUGGAUAUACUGCUCCUUUGCCACGAGGAUGGGAGAAACGAGCUGAUGCAGUGACAGGAAAAACAUAUUAUAUCGAUCACAACACUAGGACCACAACAUGGAUUCAUCCAUGCCCAGACAAACCUUGGAAGAGAUUUGAUAUGACAUUUGAGGAGUUCAAGCAAUCAACAAUUUUAUCACCAGUGUCUCAGCUAGCAGAUCUUUUUCUGCUUUCUGGUGAUAUCCAUGCAACCCUUUAUACUGGUUCAAAAGCAAUGCAUAGCCAAAUUCUUAAUAUAUUCAAUGAAGAACCAGGAAAGUUCAAACAAUUUUCUGCAGCACAAAAUAUGAAAAUUACCCUGCAGAGAAGAUACAAAAAUGCAGUUGUCGAUAGCUCUCGUCAGAAACAGCUGGAGAUGUUUCUUGGAUUGAGGCUUUUCAAGCAUCUUCCAUCUGUUUCAGUUCAACCUCUACAUGUAUGAUACUGUAGAACUUCAGAUUACCUAUUCAUACAAUCUGAGUUCAAUGAUUAUCAAUUUUCAUGAGGGAUGGAGACAAUAUUACACUAGCUACUUGUUUCUAACCUAAGCAUCCCUAACUUCUGCACAUAAAUAAAUGAUGCGCAAAGCAUACCAUAGCUAUAUCAAUGCCCAUUUCCUGUUUGAUGUUGACCAAUAAUGUUUGGAAGUUAGCUAUUGCAUGGUAAGAUGAUUUGAAGCUUCAUUUAAAGCUUCUAAGCCAGAGCUUCUAAGUCAUCUGGCUUAGAGAAUUUAAAUGUCCUCCAAAAGUCUGGAAUCACUGUUGCAUCUCAGCCUGAUUGAUAUUUGUUAUUGUUAACUUGGAAAUAUUUUGUUAAUCUUUCGGAUUGAACAACGUCGUGCUAUGAUCAUUAUUCAAGAAAUGACCUCAAGAACUUGUUGCAGUUGAGUGAUUUUUUGGUAAUGAUGAAAAUUAUUCAUGUUUAGGAACAGCUCUUUAGGGGAAAAGCAUAUAUGGGCUGGCUGGCCCUUUUUGGUGUAUUUGAUGAACCAUUUCAUAUCAUGCUGGUAACUGCAGGUUCUUUCUCGACCAUCUGGUUUCUUUCUCAAGCCAGUUCCCAACAUGUUCCCAAGUUCUGAUGGUGGAGCUAGUCUUCUAAGCUUCAAAAGAAAAGACAUGAUCUGGGUAUGGGUUGCAGCUAAACUUAGUCCUUUGUAGCAUUCCUAAUUCUCUGAUUGUCUUUUCUUUGUAGCAUUCUUAAUUCUCUGAUUGUCUUUUCUGUCCUUAAUGGAAUUCAUGCAUUUUUGGUUCUUUAGGUAUGUCCACAAGGCACAGAUGUGGUUGAACUUUUCAUCUACCUUGGUGAACCUUGUCAUGUCUGUCAGCUUCUUCUCACCAUAUCCCAUGGUGCAGAUGAUUCAACAUAUCCAGCAACAGUUGAUGUGAGAACAGGACGCCACUUAGAUGGGCUUAAACUGAUUUUGGAGGUUUGUAUUGGUUCUAUUGUACACCUUGCUUACAAAUUUUUUAUUUUUAAUUUUUAAUUUUGUAUGAUAUGCUCUUUGUUGGUAAAUUUCAUUUGACUUAGAAGAGAUAGUUUUAUCCCAACAGUGGGAUACAUCAUUGAGAUGCAUGGCAGAGUGAAUAUAGUAGACAAAAUCAUUGAGACCCAUGGUGGUGUGAACAUAGUAAACUUUGUCAAACACAGCUAAGAUGAGCAAAUUGUUUCAUUAGCCUUUAUCUUAUCUGCUGUGAUGAUUCAAAUUAAUGCUGUUUGGUAGGUUGCAAAAAAACGAAAUGAGCUGACUGUUCGUAUUAUUUAGUCAGAUCUCUAGCAAUAAGUUGAAGUUCAUUGUCACAUGGGUUGGGAGUAUCGUGGGCUGUGAGUAGUAGAAUGGAUUUAUGGAGUUGAUACAAGUGCCCACAAUCUCUCAUGUCAUUCUAGGAUUAAAUGGAUUGCACAUUACUGUAAAAAUGGAGGUUAAAUUUAUAUAAUUCGGAUUGAUUGUAAAAUGGAAGACAGAGAUGAGUUAGAAAAAGAAUGACCCGUGUCCUUUUUGAGCUGUUUCUAAAUGUCCCUGGUGUGCCUCAUGCUUAACACGUGCCUUUCCAAAUAAUUUUGCUUAACCUGUGCUUGUCUACUUCUUGUGCUAUUCUGUGCCUGGUCCUGAGCUGUAUUGGUAGAUUGACAUCCAGCUUGAACUUUUAGGUAUAUCUUUUGUACAUAAAUUCUGAAUACCCAUGGACUUAGCGUGAUAUAAAGUCAAGGAUCCAUUUAGCUGAGUCCUUCAAGUUUUGUUAGUAUGUCUUCGGAUUAUAAAUAUGUAACAAAAUGAGGUGUAGAAUACAUUUAAAAAGAAAAGGAUAAAAAAACAAAAGAAAUGAAAAGAGGUGUUUAGAAGUAAUAGCUAAACUAGAUACACUCUCACUAAUUAGCGAUUCUGAUGAACAGUGCCCAUAGCUUCUUUUAUACCUUGAAGUUGCAGAAAUUGAUUCUUGGUGAAUUAAGUCACUUACAGACAUAACUUUUUCUUCCAUCUAAUUUUUAUUAGGUUAGAUAGGAGAAGACUUGUUUCAGGGUGUCCUGACCCUAGUAUUAGUUUUCUUGUCAGAUUUUUCAUGAAAAUUUACAAUGCACGUGACAUACAACUUCUAGUAAUCCUAGGACUUUGUUCACAGGGUGCUUCUAUUCCUCGUUGUGGAAAUGGGACAAACCUUUUGAUACCUUUACCAGGAUCAGUUAGUGCUGAGGAUAUGGCUAUUACUGGAGCUGGUGCACGACUUCAUGAUCAAGAUGCACCAACCCUUCCACUGUUGUAUGAUUUUGAAGAAUUAGAGGGAGAAUUGGAUUUUCUUACUCGUUUUGUGGCAGUUACCUUUUAUCCUGCUAUUUCUGGAACAAGUUCCAUGACUCUUGGUGAGGUAGAAAAUAUUUUCAUAAAAUGUUAAUUGAUUUAUCUACGCACUUUAUUCUUAAAUUAGUAUUUUAGACCAUGAGCUUUGUGGAGUGGGUUUGCUGUAACUGCUGCUGGUGACAACAUAAUUGUUAAUAUUAUUACAGAUAGAGAUUCUUGGAGUUUCUCUUCCAUGGAGGGGGGUAUUCAAUAAUGAAGGCCCUGGUGCUAGAUUAAUUGAGCUUGGCAAAAAGUUUCAGAAGGAAACCGAUCCAUUUUUGUCAAAUUCAGUUACAAAUACGGUUCUGUUUUCCAAUGAAAAUGUGUCAACAUCAAUGCAAACAGAAGCUGCUUCCAAUCCUUGGGUUGACCUGUUGUCUGGAGGGGACACAUUUUCUGAUCCUCUUUCAGAGCCGUUUUCUAACCCUCUUUCUGAGCCGUUCUCUGAUCCUCUUUCUGAGUCGUUCUCUGAUCCUCUUUCUGAGCCAGUGACAAGAAAUGUUGCAUCUGGAGGGGCUGAUUUGCUUGAUUUCUUGGACCAGCCUAUAGUUGAAGAUCAUGGUGUGGAAACUUAUAAAAGAUCUUCAACACAGGAUGGCUGUUCUCUGGCUAGUGGUGCCCAGCAGUACAUAAGCUGUCUAAAAUCCCUUGCAGGGCCACGCGAGGUAUAGUACUGCUCUCUUGUGUUUUUUGCAGCUCUACAUCUUAGUAACCUCAUCUUUUUAAUGGAGUAAAUUCUAGAAGUUCAACAAAUUUUGCUUUGCUAAAUGUAUAACUUAUUAAUCAGAGUCCUGUUAUUAUGGUUUGACACUACUGACAUAUUGUGUUGGUAAUUUAUUUGUACGUCCCUUGGUUGAAUUAUUUGCUGUCUCCAUGCCAUUCGAUAUGGUGCUACUUGGUUUUUGAUCAUCCAUGACACUAUAUAUAUAUAUAUGUAAAGGAUGAAUUGAUUGUUUUGGCUUGUAUUCUCACAUUUUAUGAUUGAUCGAUGGAAAGGUCUUCCUGUAUUAAAUUCAACCUCACAAGCAUAAGAUUGACAAAUUCUGGGCAAAUUUUCAGGAAAAGAAACUAGACUUCAUGGAAGCAAUGAAGCUUGAAAUUGAACGUCUGCAGCUGAAUCUUUCUGCAGCUGAAAGGGAUAGAGCUUUAUUGUCAAUUGGAACUGAUCCUGCCUCUAUAAAUCCAAAUGUAUUGCUUGAUGAAUCUUACAUGGGAAGACUGUGUCGAGUAGCAAACACUCUUGCAUUACUUGGCCAAGCUUCCCUAGAAGACAAAAUUGUUGGUGCAAUUGGCCUUGAGAAUAGUGAUGAUAGUGUUUUAGACUUCUGGAAUAUUACUAGAAUCGGAGAGAGUUGUUCUGGUGGUGGGUGCGAGGUUCGUGCCGAAACUAAGGUGCCUGCUCUUGCUUCCUCAACUGCAACAUCUGUUGGAUCUUCACAAUCCCCUUUGUUGUGUUCUCAAUGUGAAAGAAAAGUUUGCAAAGUUUGUUGUGCAGGAAGAGGAGCUCUACUGUUUUCAAAUUAUAAAUCAAGGGAUGUGACCAACUACAAUGGCUUCUCAAGUCAGAGUGGAUCAAGCCAUGGAAGCCAAGUUGAUGUAUCUACCAGUCGUUCACUAACACUGGAUGGCGUUAUCUGUAAACACUGCUGCCAUGAGAUUGUGCUUGAUGCAUUGAUGUUGGACUAUGUUAGGGUCUUGAUUAGCUUGCGAAGAAGUUCCCGUGCAGACAACGCAGCAUACAAUGCUUUGAAUGAGGUUGUUGGAUCCUGCUUAAAGGAUAGUCUUUCUGAGAGGAUUCAGUCUUCCGAUAACGUGCAAGCAGCUGAAGUCCUUCACCAAUUAUGUGGUGGACAGGAAGCACUUGCUGAAUUUCCAUUUGCUAGCUUUUUGCACUCGGUAUGUUCUUGGUUUGUAUUCAGUUCUCAUCAUAUUAUGUUUUCCUUUUAAAUUUCUUUUCUUGAUUAAAAUUUUUAGAAAUAUGUUUUAGCAUUUAUUCUUAUGAUAUAUGCCCAGAACAUUCAUCCCACUUAUCCAUGAGAAUCCUUGUCUGGUUUGAUUUUCAAUUGAGACAUUUUUGGGAACCCUGAGCAGGUUCCAUAUGCUAAUAAUCUUUGAGGUAAGGUGUUGUAGGAUGCCUUGAGAAGCUAAAAACCUAUUACAAGUAAAAGCUCUUGCAUUGUUUUGUGCAAUCUGUGUGCGAGCAAGUCAUGUCUCUAAUAAUUUCAUAGUUUGCUUGAUUGGAAUUUUUUAUCUUGAUAUGGAUUGUUUAUUCUAGAUUCCUUGGUGCCACUGUAGGUUGAAACAGCAAAAGAUUCAGCACCGAUUUUGUCACUGCUUGCUCCAUUAAAUUCUGGAUCAAGGCACUCAUAUUGGAGAGCUCCACCUAGUAUUACUUCUGUUGAAUUUGUUAUUGUUCUCGGUUCUGUUUCUGAUGUCAGUGGGGUUAUCUUGCUUGUUAGUCCUUGCGGCUAUUCUGUGGCUGACACUCCGAUGGUAAGUGCCAUAUUUAUUCCCUUAUUUCCUUGUUGUUCAAUAAAUUUGGUGAUAAGCCAAGUGGCCUUAAUAAUGAAGCCCAGUACCAGGGGUGGUGGGUAAUAGAUAUUCAACUUGUGAAUAUUCCUAAGCAAACACUGAAUCAACAUAUACCUCGGCAAAAGUUCUCUAUGCUAUGAUAAUGGAAGUCAUAUUUUGAAAUGAUUAAAAGAGUCCCUGUGUAGUGCCAUUUCCAACGAAAUUGCAGCUGGGGGUUUAGUUUCAUGUAGGUUAGUUUCCGAUAAUAAACUUUCCAUUUCAUUAAUUGCUGAUGAAAAAACCAAGUAAGAACAGUUUUGUUGCUCAUCAUUUUUGUAUAUUUUGGUAAACUGUAAUUUUAAAUUCUCAACGAUCUUCCCUUUGUAGGUAAGAAGAUGGUCCACUCACUUGAUAUUUAUGAUUGUAGAUCAGGUUUCUAUUGGUUUGCCUUUAUCAUUUGGAACCCAUGUUUGAUAUUAACAGAGAUCACAUCAAUAAUAUCCUAUUUGGGUAGAUGUGGGUGAGGAUUUAAAAUCAAAUUUGAAAUUGAGGGGAAAGAAGAGAAAAGGAACCACAAUAAUUAAACAAAAUAAUAGGAACUAUUCUGAUGAGUUUUAAUCUCGAGAGGAACAAUUUUCAAAUGCACUGCUAGAGAAAUUGUAGCUUUUUGUCAUUAGUUAAAAGGAAAAAGAAUAAGAACUAUCCGGCCCUUUCCUUCAUGAAUGUGUGUUGAGGUUGCUGUAUUAUUUAGUCAGUAUUUGUAAUUUUCUUCCCUGCAGUGCUCUCUGCCUCCUGAAUUUGCUUCCUAUUGCUGUUACAGGUGCAAAUCUGGGCAAGCAAUAAGAUACACCGGGAGGAAAGGUCAUCAAUGGGAAAAUGGGAUGUCCAAUCCCUCACCACAUCUUCUUCAGAUUUGUAUGGUCCAGAAAAGUCUGCUAGUGUUGAAAAAUUACCUAGGCAUGUAAAAUUUACGUUUAAGAAUCCUGUUAGGUGCCGCAUUAUUUGGAUCACAUUACGUCUUCAGAGACCUGGUUCGGCUUCAGUUAAUUUCGGGAAGGACCUCAGUCUUUUGUCUCUUGAUGAAGAUGAAAACCCCUUUGCACAAGUAGACAGACGUGCUUCAUUUGGAGGAGCAGUUGAAAAUGAACCAUGUAUUCAUGCCAAAAGAAUUCUUGUAGUCGGAAGCCCAGUAAAAAGGGAGGGGCUUACCACAUCACAGAGCUCUGAGCAGCUAAGUAUUAGAAACUGGUUGGAUAGAGCUCCACAAAUGAGUAGAUUCAAGGUAUUAGUUGCUUUCACUCUUUGUUCAUUCAUAAUUCCAGCUUUCUGCUUCACUGAUAAACCUCUUUUUUCUCUUCAGGUCCCAAUUGAGGCCGAGAGAUUGAUGGACUACGAUCUCGUCUUGGAACAGUAUCUACCUCCAGUGUCACCUUCACUUGCUGGAUUCCGUCUAGACGCUUUCAGUGCAAUAAAACCUAGGGUUACCCAUUCACCUUCCUCAGAUUCAGAUAUCUGGGACAAAUCAGUAACAUUUUUAGAAGAUAGGUACAUCUCUCAAGCUGUGUUGUAUUUACAAGUAUCCGCACUCCAGGAACCACAUAACAUGGUAACUAUUGCGGAAUAUCGACUGCCGGAGGCUAGAGCCGGAACGCCAAUGUACUUUGAUUUCCCACGACCGAUACAGUCCCGACGAGUUUCAUUCAAGCUUCUUGGAGAUGUUACAGCAUUUGCAGAUGAACCUUCAGAACAAGAUGAUUCAGGAUUGAGAGCUCUACUUGUGGCCACAGGUUUGUCUUUGUCAAACAGAAUCAAGUUAUAUUAUUAUUGUGAUCCUUAUGAGCUCGGAAAAUGGGCAAGCCUUUCUGGAGUUUGAUCAUUAUUUAUAUGUCAGAGAAAGAGUUUUGGGUUUGAUUUUGAUUUUGAUUUGCAUUUUUUGUCAGUUUAUUGAAAUUUUUUCGUGGUAUAAAAUCAGAAUGUAAAGGUAUAAAAAUUCAUUGAUGCUGCAAUGUCUGCUUUUGAGAAAGAAGAAUUCAACGUCUUUUCUAUGCCAUUGUAUUUUCCACUGCUUGUAAACUUGGGCUGUCGAAUGCUCUGUGAACCUUAAGGGCUAAAGUAAUUUUCAAGACUGAAGGAUUUAUUAAUCGAGUUCAAAAGAUUGCAAGUUGGUGAGCGUUGGCAUUUAAAAAUCAAUUGUUAUUCUCUCAAUAAUCUCUCUCUUCUGCCGACACCCCAAGCUCAGAAACCCGUUGUUCCGACGGACGUGUAACACUUCUAGAAAUUAGCAUUUUCUUCUACAUGAAGGUUGGUCUCUCCUCGUGAAGUGUUUUCUUUUUUGAGUGAAGGUGGUUUUCUACUUACAUAUGUCGAGGGUCUUACGAUAUCUAAUGUGUGAAAUUUCUCUCUCAUUUUACCAUAAAGAAAAUGUUUGUAAUGAUCUGAAGCUUGAGUCUUAAAUUAUCUUAAAUUUAUAUUUAGGGUGGAGCUAUUGGCAUCCCUACAUUAUUCUUACAAAAUUCCACUUUAAAUAAAAUUACAAUUAAGAACAAUUAAAAAUUAAACACUUAUAAUUUUUUGUACAGCAAAUUACUUAAUUUAUAAUCAAUUCUUUUAAAAUAUAUAUAUAUAUUUGUUACUUCUUAUCUAACUAAAAUAAAUUGUACAAAUUUAGAAUAAUCUAUUGUUCUUUUUUGAUUUCUUAUUGAUUUAAUAUUUUUAUACUUAAAAUUACUUUGAAAUUAUAAUUUGAAAUAUGUGUUAUUUUAGCCAAUAAUUAACACUUAAAAACUUAUCACCCAUAUAACUUUUUAAUUUGUGUGUAGGGUAAUAAUAAAAUUGAAAAUAAUUAAAAAUAGCACAAUAAUGAGUUUUAACAAUAAAACAAAUCAAAUGAAUAUUUAAAAUUUUAAAAAGUAUAUCUAGAAAAAGAGGUAUUUUCGGAAAUAGUUUGCAUAUAACUAAAAAAAAGUUUUAUGAGGAGAUCAGAUGGGUGCCAAUAGUCCACCUCGUAAUUAAGAAUCUCCCAUUAUAUUGUGAACCAAAAAGACACUUGCAUAAGAAGAAGAAUUUUUCUGUUUGAUUUUAUUUGUGGAUCCAACAUUUCUCAUAUCUUGAGCGCCUUUCCGUAUCAAAUUAAAAUAGUAGUAGCAAAAUUGUAGUGCACAUUCAAUUAAUCAACUAAUAGUCUAAGAAGCAAAGAGAGGAUUACAAGUUCACAACACCAUUACAAAGGAUUCAAAAUUCCCACACGAAAACAUCAAUGUACAGAUAUAAACAAUCCUAAUUGGACACAAGAAAAACCCUUAAAUGGAUUGCUUGCCUUCCCAAUGCUACAUACCCUGCAAACUGCUUACUGGCCAAGAAAAUGUUUUCAAUUUAGUGUAUUUUCAAAAUGCUUAUUUUCUCAUAAUAUUAAAAAAAUAAAAUAAAAAAGAAUUCUUACAUGUUUCAUCAGCAUGAUUAAAAUCAAAGAAGAAAGAGAGACAUAAUGUCUCUGACAUAAUAAAAUUAUAAAAAUUUCAAGAAAAAAAAAGGUUAAAACAUGUAAGGUGGAUGAUUGAAAACAAUUGUAUGAUGGUAACCAUCAUCUUAAACAAAUAAAAUAAGGUAUGUUCAAAAGUAAUAAGGAAUACAUAGACAAAACAUCAUCUUAAACAAAUCAUAAUCUAGAAUUGGAGCAUUUUCGACAUACCUAAGGAGAAAGAAUACGUGAAAAUAGGUGAUUCAUUUGUUAAGGAGUGUUGAUUUGGUCGUCUCUGCAAAUUCUUUAGGGACUCGGUUCCAGUUCCUCUUCAUCAAAACUGUAAUAUAAUUCCCCUUCAUCAGAACUCGAAUCAAAUUCACUUGCAGCAGUUCCACUCGCGCUUGGCAAAUCAUCCAAUUUCCAAACUUCGGUACCAAAAUUGAGAGUAAAAGUGUUGGCUUUGAUCUCGCUGCGAUUUGCAUAUACCGGACAUACUCCGUAACGUUUUAUCUUGUGACCCUUUUGGUUUCGGUAACACUCAUUGAAGAACUUAAGUGAGACAGUUGUAUGAUGGUAACCAUCAGGAAAGCCAACAUUCAAGCAAGGUUUAAAACAAAGUAUGACAUGAUCUGAAUCAAGGGAGUAUUUAGAAUAGGUAGAAAAACCCAGAUCAACAUAUUUGGUUUCAGAGAGAGUCUUUAUUUCUAAGUCGGAUUGAAAGAUGACGUACCAAUCGCACUUGCAACGAGAACAAACUUUCUUAGAAUCAAGAACAGCACAAAAAGCAAACCCGAUUAAGUUUCCGCAAAAAGAUUGCGGUGGCAGUUGAAUACAUAUCGAAGAUUCUGAACUUUGAUGGCUGAACCAGUCAGGAAUUUCGCUCCCAGGUAAAACAAUUAGGGAUCCCCAGAGUUCAGAAAGUUU